UCAUAUUUGAACUAUCAUGUGUAUGAACUACCAUCUCUGUGGCUCUGUCCCAAUUUAUAUGACAUAUUUCAUUUUUCGAGAGUCAAACAGUUUAAGUUUGAUCGAGAAUUUGCUUAUGAAUUUUUCAAACUUUUAAAAUGAAAUUUAUAUAUUUGUAAACUACGUAAAAAGUACUAUAAGUCACAAUAAUUGACAAUUCAAAAUAUUUAAAAGAUACAUUUAUGAAAAAUUUAUGGUCAAAGAUAGAUUUGUUUGAAUCUUGAACUCCGAAAUGUGUCAACAUAAAUUGGGACAUAGGAAGUAUAUGAAUUAUUAUCAACUAUUAAUCAAAAUACAUAUCAAUUAUCAAUUAUUCAUUUUUUUAAAUCUAAAGUCUAAACAAUGAUACAUUUUAGAUAAGAAGGGAGAACAACGGAUUGUUGAGAUGUAUUCUAAUAAAUAAUUGGUGACAGUUCAAAUAAAAAACUCGUACAUCAUAUAGUUCAUAUACAAAAACUCAAAUAAAUAAAUGAAACAUCAGUAGCAUAUAGAAGGUACUGGAAACUCGAAAGUGGAUAAACUCACUUCCCUGUUUAGAGCACCAAAAUUCUCUACCAAUGGCUUCUUCAUCAUCAUACAAAAAAUUUGAGACCCGAAAACGAGAUCCAGACUCGAAAUCUGCUGUUCUAUUGGCGAUUGAUAUGCAGAACUACUUCUACUCCAUGGGUAAACCGAUUCUACCAGCAAUCAAAACCACAAUCGAUCUCUGCCGGCGGAAUUCCGUGCCGGUGAUAUUCACGCGCCACCGUCAUAAGUCACCGGAGGAUUACGGCAUGAUUUACGAGUGGUGGAACGGUGAUAUUAUCAAAGAUGGAACCGUUGAAGCUGAACUUAUACCGGAGUUGGAUCGGAGAGACGGUGAUUUGGUGGUCGAAAAACACACUUACAGUGCCUUCAGAGGUAUUUUUUUUCCCACUGAUUUUGUUUUUACAGUCAUUUUCUUCUGUUUGCUCUGUACUCUGUAGUUACUUUUUUUGUUAACUUUUAACUUUUUGGUGAAAUUUUAGCUGGUUGUUUUAGCCAAAAAUUGUCAAAAAACAUAAUUAAACUAUCACAUUUUGUGAAUUUCAUUGGCAUAAUAUACAAAUGUCUGCACAAGUAGACAUUUAAACUUGUAUAAUAUUGAAUAAAUAGAUAAAAACAUUAUUGUAAUUCACGUGAAAUACGCUCGUCCUACUACAUACGUGUAUCUUACAUUGUAAUUCACGUGAAAUACACUUGUCUUACCUGGAAACUGAUUUGUAUUAUGCCAUGUAUGAUAUGUGUUUAUUUAUUGAAUUUUAUACAAGUUUAAGUGUUUACUUGUGCGCACACAAAAUUAUUGAAUGUAGAUGCUAACUGAGGUCGAGAUAAAUGACAUGCUUAUGUAUUAUACCAAUUUGAGACCUCAACUAGAUAUUGUUCCAUUUUAAGUGAAAGGUCAAAAACACACAUGAAGUAUUUGGUUUUUGCGAGUUUCAUAAGUUUUUUAUAUGAACUAUUACCUAAUGUUUAUCGAAACACACCUCAACUAUAAAUUGUUUUCUUUUCGUACUUGAAAUAUCAAUAUUGUUUAGGUAGGACAAGGAACAACAAAUAGUUGAGGUCUGUUUUGGUAAAUAAUUGGGUGUUACUUGGUCAACUCAACAUUCAUGUGUCUAUUAAUACAAAGAGCUUAGGUCGGUAAAGAUAACAAGGAAUAGUUGACGUAUGAAACUCACGAGAAAAUUGAUAGUUAAUGUGUGUUAUUGACCAUUGACUAUUUUGGCAAAUGAUUUAUGGACCUUUUAAAACUGCUGUCUUAGAAUUCGUUUCGAGUAAACCGAAAAUAGGUCUCAGUCUAAUAUUUGUAAGUUAUUGUACACUUAAGAUCACAAUCUAAUGUUUUGUAUGUAAAAUUAUUCAAGAUACGAGUAAACAUUAGACUUGAAUCUAACGUUAUCUGAAAAGGUAAUUUUAUAAGGACUAUAUUUGCAUACAUUUUCAAACAUUUGCAGAUACAAACUUAGAGGAGAAACUGUUGGAAAUGGGGAUAAAGGAGGUAAUAGUGACUGGAGUAAUGACCAAUCUGUGCUGCGAGACCACAGCCAGAGAGGCAUUUGUUAGAGGGUUCAGAGUCUUCUUUUCCACAGAUGCAACUGCAACUUCCUCAGCAGAACUGCAUGAUGCUACAUUGAAGAACUUAGCUUAUGGUUUCACUUAUUUGGUUGAUUGCAAAAGGAUUCAAGCUGCCUUCUCAAUUCCCUGAGCACUCAAGAGUCGAGGUAUUAUAAUCUAUUUUGUUCGAUUUCUUCAAAAAUGUCGAUAAAUGUGUGUUGGAUCCUGAGCACUCAGGAGUAGGGUACUAAAAUGUUGAUACGUGUGUUGGAUCCUGAACACUCUAGAGUUAAGGUACAACAAUCUAUGUUGCUCGAACUUUUCAAAAAAGGUUGAUAUGCGAGUAUUGGAUCCUAAGCACUCAGGAAUCAAGAACAACAACAUAUGUGCUCGAAUACUUCAAAAAAUGUUUAUAGGUGUGUGUUGGAUCCUGAGAACUCAAGAGUCGGGUACAACGACCUAUGCUUAUCCGUCUCUUAGAAAAAUGUCGAUAGGUGUGUGUUGGAUCCUAAGCACUCAAGAGUUAAGGUACAACAAUCUAUGUUGCUCGAACUUUUCAAAAAAAUUCUGCGAGUGUUGGAUCCUGAGCACUCGGGAGUCAAGUACAACAACAAAUGUUGCUCGAACUCUUCAAAAAAAUGUUUAUAGGUGGGUGUUGGAUCCUGAGCACUCACGAGUCGGGUACAAUGACCUAUGCUACCUUCAAAAGUAGUGUAUUUUUUGAGAAUCCGACUUGGGUGUGACAACAUUUUGGAGAGUAUGAGCAACAUAGAUGAGAACUAUGACAAAAUAUUAGUCAUGUCAUCCCAAUUUAUGUGAUGCACUUUGACUACGAACACAGUUUAAAAAAUAAACUUUUGAAACUUGUGGUCUAAGUUCGUUUAGACAUUAGUUUUUUUCGCUUCCUUUUUUGAUAAAAAAUAUUUCAAAACGUGAAUAACCCUUUAGUUUACACUGUUGCUUCGUGCCUUGUCACGGAAAGUAAAUAAAUAAGUGAUAAUUUUUUUGUCGUAGCUAAUAUUUUCGUGGUUAAAGAUCGCCUUUGUUAUAGUGUAGUAAUACUCAUGAUGAGGUUUCAUGGUGUAUGCAAUUUGCAGGUAAUAUUGUAGCAGACGAAACUGGUGAGGGAGGAACUAUGGAGAAGUACUUUAGUGAGUAAAUAUUUUAGAAUAAGAAGAUGUAAGAUAAAAUGAAUACAUGACAAGAUUUACCUUCUCACCUCAAAGGUGAGUACUUAUCUGCAUCGAGUGUUUACAUCGAAAUAAUGUAAUUUACCUUGAAAAGAUAUGGUUAUGGUAGCUAAAUGCCUAAAUCUCAUAUAUGUCUAUAGGCUGGUUUUAUAUACAUUAUUUUCUAUAUUAUAUGUUUUGGAAAUUCAAUUAUUUUCACUAUAUUUCUAUAGGCUGAUUUUAUGUAAAUUAUUUCCCAUAUAAUAUGCUUUGGAAAUUAAAUUAAUUUUGCCAGAUUUAUGACCAAAAAAUGAAGUACUAUAUUUAAUUGUUUUACUUAAUACUUUCUCUGUUUCUCAUGUAAAAAGUAAAAGAAUAUGACUUAUGGUAAGAAGAUCUCGUACAUGUCUAUAGAAUGUUUUUUAAAAAAAAUAUAUAUUUGUAUUUCCUUAUUUAUACAUCUCAUGAAUGAUUUUACUUAUAUUUUAGUUGGUAUAUACGUUGAAAUAUUAAUAUUGAUAAGUCCUCUCAUAAGUUAUAUUGAUUAGUCUGUUAAUUUAUUUUUCACCUAAAAUUUAUUGAUGAUCUAAAGAUAUAUGCCAUUAUAUGUGUAAGAAAAAAAAUAUUUUGUACAUUUCUAGUUGGGACACAAGUAGUGACUAUGAUUUUUUUUUAGUAAUAAAGGAAUAUUUUUGUCACUCUGAGAACAUAUAUAUAAACUGUAGAAAAAGAAUUCAUCCAUCUGGUGAAAAUUCCUAUAGCAUGAUAAGAAAAAUAAAUUUAGCUAUAGAUUUUUUCUAGGGAAAAAGGACAAAUAUACUAUCGCAAAUGAUAUGCAAAUGCCCUCCGUCAUACUUUUGGAACAUGCAUCUGUCGUUCAAAAACUAGAGCAUAUAUCCCCUUUAUACUAACGGACAUAUACGUGUCAUAAUCUUAUCCAUCGAUCUGACAUUUAUCGAUGAAUAAGAUUGCGUCACGUGUCCCUAUUUAGUCCUCCAUUAGAGUGAAGGGCAUGUAUGCUCUAGUUUUUAGACGGCAGGGGCACCAAUGUCUCAAAAAUAUGACGGAGGAUAUCUGCAUAUCAUUUACGAUAGUUCGGGGUAUAUUUGUCCUUUUCCUUUUUUAUAUGGAAGAAUAAAACUGAUAAUUGAAUUGUAACAUACUUAUGGACUCUUGCGACUAUUUCAUAUAUAAUUAUAAAAACUUAGUUAAAUUAAUAGAAUCACAAAACAUGUCCUUGGAGUAGAUAUUUUAUAUGAUCAAGAUCUAUCAGAACAGUCUCUUCAUGUCAUAAAGAUAUGGAUAAAAUUAACGUAUAUAUUUCACCUUUUUCAGACUCCACUUGUGAAAUUACACUCGAUAUAUUAUUGUUAUUGUUGAACCUACAUUGUCAAGAAUAAAUCUCACCUAUAGUUCCGAUUAAUACUUUAACUUUUAUGCCUUUUUUAUAUAUCCAUAAAAAGGGGUCUCUAGUCUUUCUUAUUAUCGUUACUUAAAUUCAACUUAUAUGAAAUGUCUUUAUUGGUCAAAUUAAAUUUUAGAAAACUUGAAUUUUAUACACUAAACUAAGGGUCUUUAUUUUCAUUUAAUGGAAAUCACAACUAACUGGAAUAUCAUCACAUUGCCCUGAGAUGCAUAUAUAUAAAAGGAGUAAGAGAAGUAGAGAUAGGCCGAAGAAGAUUUGAGAGGAGGUGGUUAGAUAGUCGAUAGAAUAUGGUGUAGUUUUAGCUUAACGAAGACAUGAUCCUAGAUAACAAGGUGUAGAGGGUGAAGAUUAGGUUAGAAGGUUAGUAGAUAGUUGAGUGUUGUCGCACUUUGUUUGAGGGCUAACCUCCUCUCCGUUUUUUAUAUAUAUAAUUAAUAGUGUUAUUAGUAAUCACACAUUUCUUUUCAUCAAUGUGUAUUCUAUUUGUCGCUUGACCAUUUGUCUUGUAUCUUGUUAUUUUUCUGUUAUAUUUUUGUAUUGCCAUGAUAUAAAUUCUUCUCUUUUCUUUCUAGUCGAAAGUCUAUCGGAACAAUCUCUCUACUCCAAAAAAGAUAGGAAUAUAAAUUAUACAUCAUUUUCUCUCUAAAUUCCACUUAUGAAAUCCUACUGAUUAAGUGGUGGUUGUUGUUGUUUUGACCUAUCAAAAACUAUGCAAAAAGGUGAUCACAUCAAUUGAGAGUAGCAUUUAUUUAUAAAACCUUUUAGCUAUUUUUACUUAAUAUAGUAUGAGAGCUCCAAUAAUAAAAUAAUUUAAUGAUCUAAAAGCAUUGUGUCAUAAUGUGAAGAAGAUAAAUAUCAUUAACAACAACAUACUCAGUAACAUCUCAAAAAUUGGGAUGAACAUACCCAAUAACACCUCAAAAAUGGAAUAUGAAGAAGAUAAGAUAUACGUAAUUUUAUUUCUACAUUAUGAGGGUAAAGAUACUGUUUACGAUUUAUCCUUGUCUGGUCAGUAGUUGUUAAUUUAUAGUGUUUAAAUCUAAUUGGUUGAUGGUUGCAGGCCUGAAGCCUUUUUCUAAUCAUUCAUAUUCCUUGUUCCAUUAGGUAUCUUUUGAAUUUAAAAUUAUAUGCAUUGGCACAACAUAAUUUUUUUUCUAUAUGAUCAAUGUAGUUUAACUUAUUAUAGCACAUUAAUUUAUCUUAAUUAGUUGAUAGUUCUAAAAAAAUAUUUUAUAAGCGAUUUUCUUGUAUAAACUUUUUUUUACAAUGUUGAUGCAUGGAUAAGGAUGAAGCCACAAUAGAAAUAUAUGAAUUUGACAGAAUUUAAUAAUUUUGACGUAGAUUUUAUAUUUGUAGAUUUUAUAUUUUUAGUAAUUCUUUUAAUUUAUAUGCAUAAAUAAUUUAAUCAGAAUGCAAUAUGUUAUCUUUUCGAAAAAAUCAAAACCUAUUCAAAUUCAAAUUGUGAUUAAUUGUUCACUAAAAUUAAAUCAAACUUCUUUAUUUAAUCAGGUUCACCAAAUUGCGAUUUUAUUACUACUCUAAUUUUUGCAAUAAAUAAAUUGAAAAUUGCAACUAUAGUAAGACAAUUCAUUACAAGAAAGUAGAGAUACAAAACUUGUCUAGUUCACAAAACUUGGUAUAAGAAGGAAAUCGAUCCCUAUAAAAGACUCGAUAAAAUUGUAACGAUACAGAGAAAAUCAGUAUAAAUAAGAAAUCAAAGAACGACUUUCAUAUCCCGUUCUUACAAAAGGCUAGCAACUUCUUAUCAGCUUCAAAUUUCGCCAUGUCAUCGGCUUCGAGAUUCACCCAAGCUUCCACCCCAUCACCUAAUUUUGUGUCCAUAAAUCCAAUAAUAUUCUUCGUAGCGAGUCGACCCGACCCGACCCAAAUGGGCUUGCCCCACCCAAAAUCAGCUUCAUAAAGGGGAAAUUUACACAAACUUGAAAAACAAAGCAAUUCCAUGUGCCCUUUUCUUUUUUCAUUUGCUCUUUCUUGUAGAAAAUUCAAAUGUUGUUGAUCAUUUUUCUUGAAUUGUGACACAAAAUUAUUAUUAAUUUCUUGUAUAGAUUCUCUUACUUUAUUCAUAAACUCAAAAACUUCGUUUUCACUACCUUUAUCGAAAAACGGGAUCACAAGUGCAGACCGCAUUAUGUUCCCAAAUAAAAAUUCAUGCAGGGGCGGAUCGGUCCGCCCCCGCAAAUUGACCGUAUGUGUCACGGCAUAAAUCUUAUCUGUGUCCCUUUCGGAAUGAACGGUCGCCAUGUAACGGCUCCACAAAAACGCCGAUAAAGCUAGAAUCCUCGAAGGGUGUUGUCCUAUUCUUUCAAAUACACUGCCCUUCAUCCUUUGAUCCGUGUAUUUAUCUCUGAGAGUUAAUAUAUCGGAGUUAGAAAACACGAAUUUUUUUGUCACGAUGUUUUCUUUUCGAAUUUCCAAGCACACAUCCCUAACUAGGGAUGCGUCCUUAGGUGGAAAAAGUGUUGAAGAGUCAAAAGAGGGAGAGAAAUGACACGUGUCAUCAUAAUCACAACGCGCAAUGGAUGCCCACAUGUUGAUAAACAUGAAACAUGACGCAGCGUCAGCUAGCUUAUGAGAAAUGCCUAUGCCAAUAGCCAUUCCUCCACAUUCGAAAAAAUUCACUUGUACGACUAAUCCAAGAUCUUUCACAUCAUCCAAUUCAUAAGGAAUAAAUUUGUUGAGUUCAUUAGGAAUAGGAUUGGAAAUUAUAUCCGUGAGGUUACACUUGACUAUAACUUCAACGUAGGGAACACCCUCGUCGUUGCAAUCAACAUAUAGGUUGUCCACGACACGCCCUGCUAGAGGGUAGAAUUUGGUUAAGGCUUGAGAUAACGAUAACUUUAUCUUGUCUGAACGCUCUGUGUUAGAAAUUAGGUCACUCGCGGGGUAAAAAUAAACAAGGGGCAUGAAGAUAGAUGGAAUUAUUUGAUCAAGAUAAGAAAGACUAUAAUGGCGUAAUUCGAUUGGAGUCGGACUACAUGGCUUGAUUAAUGUUUCCUUGGAGAUUACUUCUAUUUCGAUCUUCAUUUGUCUUUUUUCUUACCAAGCGAAAUAUAACCCUAAAUUCGAAAGAUCUCUUUUUGUGGCGAAAAAUACCAAAGCUAAAAGGUGUUGGCGAAGAAAUAAUGGAGGAUCUGAUAUAAAUUGAAAAGAAGAAAAACUAAGUAUGAAGAAAUUGAAUCUCUAAUGUGCAUUUAAAUAGACUAAUGUGAAAAUGUAGUUUUCUCUUGUCAUUAUAUUUUUGAACUUAAGCAUGAAGAAAUUAAAUCUCUCCACUUGGAAGAAAAAGAUGAAAAUGCUCCUUUAUUUUUAUUUUUUUUGUCUAUACAACAAAAGAACAAGCAAUAUGCCAUUUUUCAAAUAAAUAAAUGGUAAUUUUAUGGUAAAAAUAAUUAAAUAGAAGGCCAAACAAAAUGAUAAAUGCAAGCAACAAGCAAUAACAAACAAGAUUGUUAAUUAAAAAUGUUUUGAACUUUGAUUGAUAUGUUACUAAGCAUAUUUCAUCUUGAUUAAUUGAAAAUGUGUGUUUCCAAUCCAUAAUACAUAAGUAAAUAUUUAAAUUAUUUCUAGACCUAUAAUACCUUCAAAUAUGAAGUAUAUCAUCAAAUGGGAAGAAAAAGUGCAAAAAAUGCAAAUAAUUUUUUGAGAAAUUCGAAAGUUUAGAGAGUUUUCUAGCUAAAAUAUGUCGCGAUAUGCCUGUGUGGCAUGUCACGUCAAUAGAGACUUCAAAAGACGAUCUCAACGAUGUAACAACACCAUCGAAAGAACAUGAAUGUCACGUUGAGUUUACGACGAACAUCUACUUACCUUUAAGUCACCUGUUCAAACUCUCUUCAACAGUUAUUGCAGUAGCACAGAAAUUGGAGACAUGUAACUGCAGGGGAAAAAUGAAUUCUUAUAUUACACUUUUAUUACUUCAAGAAGUUAAGUGAUACAUACAUUAAGCUGUAUGAAGUUGACGAUAAUAAGGUAUCAGUGCGAUGAAGGUAAAGUGCGCCAGCUAUUGGCAAGAAACAUAGCGUGAUCUCGAGAAAAAGUGGACAUCUGUUGAAGUAUAACAUUUUUCACGGGAUGAGCUGCAGCUUCACCAGCGCGAGCAGCAAGUUCCAGAUAUACCAUAGCUUGCAUCCUCUCCCCAUCCUGUUCAAUGUGAGCGCGAGUGGUUAUGAAAUCUACUUCAAGCCUAACUACAGAGGCAGAAUAAAUGAGAUAUAAAGAACUACAAGUGGAAACAGCUUGUCUACUUGCGAUCCAGCUUUAUACAGUAUCAUCUUUGGGUUCUUAUUGAAGACCGUAAAUUUUUGCUAGAAACUAGUAAGGCUUCUAUUGUUCAUAUUUGGAGAGAAGCAAACAACUCCGCUGACUUCUUAGAAAAUGAAGGUCACAAACAUAUAGGAGAGAUUUGAUAAUUCGGGAAGUUGUUGGAAAUGGAGUCCCUUCUCCUAGCAGUUCAAUCCAAGUAGUUUAUGAAAGAUACUAAUUAGUUUAUUUAGUCUUUUCAAAUGUACCCCAAAAAAAAGAACAAGGUGAGCACGAGUGGUUGAAAAAUCACAAGAUACAAACAAGCAAUGACUAUGCUUCAGUCCUAGAUAAGUUGGGUUCCGCUAUAUAAAUCCUAACUGACAAUAUUUCAAACUCAUCUCAGAAUAAUAUUACAUGUUCACUGGCUACUAGGGAAUAAAAAGGAAUGAGAUUUGGGUUUUAUUCCACGCUUAUACUUAUGUAUGAGGAAAUUGAACUAGAAAAAGAGUGGAGGAGCAAUUUAGGCACUACUUACAGAAGACAGACUCAACCCAUGCUCAAGCUGGGCUUUGCUAUGACCUCGAUCAGCUGCUCUCUUCAUCCAUUUUUUUGCUAAUUCAUGAGACUGCAUUAAACCUUCUCCCACCGAGUAGCAUAAUGCUGUGUUAUACAUAGCACGGACAUAUCCACCUUCUGCUGCCCUCAAGUACCACUUUGCCUAUGCAAUUAAGAGGAAACCUUUUAAGUAUAGUUCUCAUUAGGCAUAUUUCUGUAAUAUAAACAGACAGUUGAAACUAACUAAAUAACUUAAAUGAGGUACACUUUUCAUACCGUUUCCUGGAGAUUUCUCUUCAGACCAUGGCCUUUAUGUAAAGUAAGUGCAAGCUGGUACUGAGCACGAACAUGACCAGCAACGGAAGCUUUAUAAAGCCAUUUAACAGCUUCCUCGGGUUCCAGAGGAUUCACUACAUAAGAAGAUAGAGUCAGUGUUUUGGACGGAAAGGCGACAAGGGUCUGUGGAAGGCGACAUAAGACCGUCUGCCUCACCUCGCGGGAGGCACUCACCUUUUUGAAGUGAGGCAUCAAUUAAUACCUUAAACUUAAAAUAUUUAAUUGCAUAUAUAUAAAUAACCAAAAUCUCAACAGCAAUAGGCAGGGCAGACAAUGAUUCGAGAGGGCAAUGAUUUCACAACAAUUGCAUAUGAGCCAAUUGUGUAGGAGCCAUGUCAAAAUCGUUAAGACGGCAAUGAUUUCACAUGAAUAUAUCUAUUUCUAUCAAUUUGGUAGGAGCAAUGUCAACAAUUGCGAGCAAGGCAACAAGGUUCUAAAAAACAAUAACAACAAGAGCAAAAAGAAUACUAACAUGAAUGAACAUUAAUAUUUUGACAGAUGCAAAUGCAUUUUAACAUAAAAAGCACACACUUCCAAAACAAGUCAGCCACAUCAAAUAAAAAAUAGAAAAGAAGCACAAAAGGAAAAUCCAGUCAGAGUAGGAAGAAAAAGGCAAGGAGCUAUACUCACUAAACCUUUCAAAGCUAUCAACUUCCUCCUCAUUAUUCGUUAGUAUUAAUUCACGCAAUUAAGGUUGCUAUCUUCCACAUAUUCAGCUUAGUUUGAUACAAAUAUCUAUUAUGCAUAACUUACAGGCUAACUAACACACGCUCCCUUCUGAACCAUAAAGCCUAUAAUGCCUCCAACACAGCUGAAUUCCUAGGCCCUAGACUUAAUUGAAUGAAUAUAACUCAGGGAUCAUAGAUCAUGAGUCCAGAAAAUAUGAUGCUAUCAACACUGCAAAGCUAGUUCUUUCACUUAGUAAACAGCCCCAACAAAAGUCAUUCAUCCAAUCCACAGAAGCAACUGAACACAUAAGCACGAAUAAAAUAAUGCAACAAUCUCAGCACCUAAUGGUCAAGAAGAACCAUGAGGCCUUAAGUUCAAUUCUCAGUAUCGCAGAAUUACCAGUCACCUAAUGAAAUAGUUGAAGUGUCUGCAACCUACCUCGACACCACCGUCAUUAAAAUAAAAAAAGAAGGGUGAAGGAUCAAAAUCACACCUAAUCCUGUUUUUUUGAGUUUUCUACCUAACAAUCAUGAAUUAUUUAUACAAAACACACCUCAACUAUUCAGUUAAUUCUCUUUUCCUAUCUAAAGUGUGUUUUUGACUAUUAACUUUAAAAUAAAAAGAUAAUGCAACAAUCUGAAUACCCUGCAAGUAGAAGUAAACGAAGGAAGUAUGUAGCACAUAAUCCGCACCAAUACAUGCGCUAGUAUGAGUUAGCAUGGACUUAAUCAAACAGUCGAGGUGAGUGCAACCUAGCCCGACACUAUAGUUGGCCUUGAUAGUGUAGUGAUUCUAUCCCUCUCCCUACGUUUUCUUUUGCUAGUAUGAGUUAGCAUGGACUUAAUCAAAUAGUCAAGGUGCGUGCAACCUAGCCCGACACCAUAGUUGGCCAUGAUUAUGAAGUAAUUCCACCCUAAAAAGCGAAAGGCAGUAACUAUCACUAGUUAACAGAGUCUUUCACCAUCUCAGUUGGUGAUGGAAGUUCACCCAAGCUGUUGUGGUUCCGUUUUCGAGCAUGUUUCCGAUUCUCCCAACCUUGAAUCUAUAUUUCCAUGUAUAAUUUAGCUAUUGAGCAUCAAAGUUUAUGUUUUUACGAAAAAAAGAAGAAGAUAAUGCAACAAUCUGAAUACCUUGCAAGAGAGAAAUCCCCAAAUUACACUGACCAGCUGGGUCACCAAGUUCAGCAGCUUUUCUGUACAAACCAAUCCCUUCUUCUCUUUUGCCCAUCUCCCAAUAAAGUAACCCAGCAUCCACCAUAGCUAGUGUAGACCCACGAGCAGCUCCUUUAAGGAAAGAAUCAAGGGCUUUACUCAAAUUAUGCUUAACCCCACCUCGUCCAUGCUUAAAUCUCUUACCCCAUCUGAGAAAAACCAUAGAUUCUCUCAGCGGUCGAAGUGCAUCGCACCAAGACUUGCAUACUAGAGAAGAUGCCCGUACAUUCGACAGCGAAAAAGUAGCAGCAAUUUUAAAGAUAAUAUCGUGGGGAAGCUGAGAAAAGUCCUGAUUGUAGCAGUACUGAUUACUACUACUACUACUACAACUAGAAUUGGAUGAUGAUGAAGGAGUUGUUGGAGUGAUCUUUUUGGAGUGAUUGAAAAAGGGGUUUUCCGAUGGACGAUUUUGAAGAUGGGUCUGUUUUCUGAUGAAAGGGAAAGCGGUGAAACGACGAGGGCCGUCGGAAUUGGACUUGGUCGGCGGCCAUGUUUUCUGAUUCAUUCCGGUGGAAGGAAGGAAAGCAAGGAAGAGAGAAAAAUCGGAGGUGGAAAGUAGAGUUAUGCAUAUAUUAAAUUUUGUAUAAGUAAUAUUCUUUUAAAAACGAUUCCUGGCCAUAUUUUUAAUUUUUUUUUAAAUAUUUAUAAAGUUGAUUAAAAGAGGGAUUUAAUUUUUUCUAAAGGCAAAUAAUACAAUAUAAAUUAUUUUUCUUUCACACAAGAUUUUAUUUAAUAUAUAUAUAUAUAUAUAUAUAUUAGCGAGGGUUUGGGGAUCACACUAGAUAUAUUGAUAUAUUAUGAAAUAUAGAUACAUAGGGAAAGAAGUGAGCGAGAGAGGCAAUUACAUGUGAAUCCACUUAUAUACGGGGUAUAACAACAAUAAUAUACCCAAAAGAAUUCCACAAGUAGGAUCUGGGGACAGAGGCGGACCCACAUGCUAUUGUGAGGGUGCACAUGUACCCGUUAUCUUCUGGAAAAAAUCAUAUGUAUAUCUAUCUUGAAAAACUGAGAGAAACUAAAUAUAUUUAAUAGUGCCCCAUAAAGAGUAUGAAACGAUGCUUUGUAUUAGUGGUAUAAUCUAACAGAUCCAUCUAAAUGACCAGGGCUCAAUCCCAAGUAAACCUCUUUUUUUAUAACUUUUUUUAGCUUAAUAUUGGUGCAUCCGAAUUUUUCAAAUCCUGAGUUCGCCUCUGCUUGGGGAGGGUAGAGGGUCUGUGUGCACCCUCUCCAGACCCAGCUGUGGAAUUCCAUUAGGUAUGUUGUAGUAGUUGUUGUACACGAUAUCUAGGUAUAUUCACAUGUAUCUGACUCUCUUGCUGAUUUCUCUUCUAUGGCAGUUUGCCUCUCUCCCUAAGUAUCUAUAUUUCGGAAUGUAUCUCUUCUUUCUCGCUUUGCUUCUCUCUCUAAGUAUCUAUAUUUCAAAAUGUAUCUAGAAUAUAUCUAGUGUGAUUCACACGUAUCUGAGAUUCAUAGACUAUCUCGCUUGCCUCCCUUCUAUCUCGUUCCUCUUUCCUCUUCUCUCGCUCGCAUCUCUCCCUAUUUCACAUAUCUGGUGGCAAAAAUUAUGUAUCUAACUUUAAAUCUGAUAGAAAACUAUUAAUUAGUGCAACACUAUGUUAUUCUUUCAAACUAUGGGGAGAAUUGAUAAAUAUGAUAGAAAUAUUUGUGUAAUUAUAUAUUUUUUCUUUUUCUAAUGGGUUUGAUCUGAAGUGAUAAAAAUUAAGUGAGGUAAUUUAAAAAAAUAAUAUAUANNNNNNNNNNNNNNNNNNNNNNNNNNNNNNNNNNNNNNNNNNNNNNNNNNNNNNNNNNNNNNNNNNNNNNNNNNNNNNNNNNNNNNNNNNNNNNNNNNNNNNNNNNNNNNNNNNNNNNNNNNNNNNNNNNNNNNNNNNNNNNNNNNNNNNNNNNNNNNNNNNNNNNNNNNNNNNNNNNNNNNNNNNNNNNNNNNNNNNNNNNNNNNNNNNNNNNNNNNNNNNNNNNNNNNNNNNNNNNNNNNNNNNNNNNNNNNNNNNNNNNNNNNNNNNNNNNNNNNNNNNNNNNNNNNNNNNNNNNNNNNNNNNNNNNNNNNNNNNNNNNNNNNNNNNNNNNNNNNNNNNNNNNNNNNNNNNNNNNNNNNNNNNNNNNNNNNNNNNNNNNNNNNNNNNNNNNNNNNNNNNNNNNNNNNNNNNNNNNNNNNNNNNNNNNNNNNNNNNNNNNNNNNNNNNNNNNNNNNNNNNNNNNNNNNNNNNNNNNNNNNNNNNNNNNNNNNNNNNNNNNNNNNNNNNNNNNNNNNNNNNNNNNNNNNNNNNNNNNNNNNNNNNNNNNNNNNNNNNNNNNNNNNNNNNNNNNNNNNNNNNNNNNNNNNNNNNNNNNNNNNNNNNNNNNNNNNNNNNNNNNNNNNNNNNNNNNNNNNNNNNNNNNNNNNNAUAUAUAUAUAUUUAUUUAUUUUUUAGCACAGAGCAUAUCCAUUCUGUCUUUAUAUAAAGAUUGAAUAAGAGGUCGUGACACAAGAUGACAAGAAGACUAGAAACUUUAAGGGCUCGUUUGGUAAAAUAAAUAGUGAAUAACUAAUUUUGAAAUUAAUUUAAUAAUAAAUUUAUUUCAUGUUUGAUAAAAAAAUAGCAUAUCUCAAAAUUAUAGUGUUAUUUUUAUCUCAUAUUAAAAAUGAAAUAACUAUACUCGAAAUAAUUAAUCACUAAAUAACUCAUUCUCAGUUAAACAAGUUGUAAAUAUACUAGGAAGGAGAUAAAAAGAAAAAGUAUAUAUUCCUUCUAUCUCAAUUUAUGUGACAUUUUUUAUUUUUCAAGAAUCAAACAAUUUAAGUUUGAUCGAAAAUUUGCGCAUGAAAUCUUCAAUUUUUUGAAAUGAAAUUUUAUAUUUGUUAACUACGUAAAAAAUAGGCAUAAUACAUAUAUUGGACCUUAAACUUGGCUUCAAAUUUUAACUUUGACCUCCAACUUUUCAUAGUGCACAAACAAGCACUUUAACUAUCCAACCUUUCAAUAAAUAAACACGCGAUUUUUGGAGCCAAGAGCGUGAAAUGCAAACGCUGCCACGUGUAUUAGUGAGCCACUCAAUGGCUGCCAACUAUUAAACACUUUACACGUGCAUUUUGAAACUAAAAAAAAAAUUAAUUAAAUUAAGGGUAGAGUUGUCAUUUCAGUCAUUUUUUUUACUGUUGUAGGCCUCAAAAAUCACUCCUAACUCGCGCAAAAAACGUGCACAUCACGCGUUUUGCCAGGUAAGACACGCGUGUUUAUUUAUUAAAAGGUUGGAUAGUUAAAGUGUCUGUUUGUGCACUAUGAAAAUUGGAGGUCAAAGUUAAAAUUUGAAGCCAAGUUUAAGGUCCAAUAUAUGUAUUAUCCCUAAAAAAUACUAUAAAUCACAAUAAUUUGUAAUUCAAAAUAAUUAAAAGAUAUAUGAAAAAUUUACGAUAAAUUUGUUUGAAUCUCGAAAUCCAAAACGUGUCACAUAAAUUGGGACAGAUGAAUUACUUAUUAAAGAAAUUAAAAGAACAGAAUGAAGACAAUAGAGGAAGCUUCGUGUAUAAAGCAAACUUAACCAUAUUAGGAAAUAUUAUUUGAUGUGGAUUUUUGUUAAAAAGAACAAAGAUAAAAAAAAUUAUUAACUUUCUUGGUUCAAUUAUUGAGAGAUUAAAAGUGUGUAUUUAUUUUUAAAAGUGUUUUUUUUUUUUAAAAUAUGAUAAAUUUGUCAAGCUUCCGAAAGAAAAUAAAUAUUUUCUAAAAAAUAGUAGAUGCUGUUUUUAAUAAACUAAUUUUUUUUUCUUCAAAAGUACGUUUUUAAAGAAUAUUUCUAAGAAAAUAUAGAAACACUUACAAAAACUUAAUUAUGUUGUUGAUCAUACUAAUAUAAUUAACACAAAUUGUUCCUCGCCAGAACUAUUUUUUCAAAAAGCAUUUCUAAAAAGCUAGUACUUUUUAAAAUAAGGUGCUUUUAGAAGAAAAUAAAUAUGUCCAAAAAAAACACAAACUUAAAAAAAUGAAAAAAAUUCAAGAUUUUUUUUUUGAAAAAAUACACUUCUAAGAAGAAAAGACACAUUUAAACACUUGACAAAACACUAGUUAUUGUUCAAUUUUGAGAGAGAAUUCAUCAACAAAAAGAUAAGUAAAGAUGGAAAACAAAGAUUGAAAUCAUAAUUUUUUUCUUCUACAUUAUCGAAUAGCGCGCCACCGUGCGCUAUUCAUAGUGCUCGAUGAAUUCAUGGUCACGCUAUUCAUAUUGCGCCAUGAAUUCAUCGUUGAACUUUUUGAAACUCGCCAUUAUCGAAGGCAUCUCCUCUUCAACUGGCAAAAUAGUUGUCCUUAGGUGGAACACCCUACAUAGAGAAACCAUCAACCACUUUCAAUAAUUGUAACAACGUGUAGUGUAACAUGAAAUGAUCUCCUAUAACCAGUUAGAAUAAUAAAAAUACCGUCAACUAACCACUUUUUGGCCAUGUCUUUGUAAAAUAGACACCGUCAUAACGUGACAUGACAAUGUCAUGGUGUUACACCCGUGGAAUUUGCAACUCCACGACAAUGUCUAUUUUUCAAUUACAAGGACUGAAAAGUAGCUAUAUGUGAACUAAUUGUAACAACCUGUAGCGUUAACAGGAAAUGAUCUCCUAUAACCAGUUACAAUAAUAAAAAGUGUUAACUAACCACUUUUUGGCCAUGUCUUUGUAAAAUAGACACCGUCAUAGAGUUACAUGACAAUGUCUCGGUGUUACACCCGGGGAAUGUGCAACUCCAUGACAAUGUCUAUUUUUCAAUUACAAGGACGGAAAAGUAGCUAUAUGUGAAUUUUAUCGUUAUAUUUGAGAUAAAAAGAGUCGAAAGACCCUUGGAUUGAACUCACUCACCCUUCUUUUUGGCCAAAACCCGAACCCGGGACAGUAGAGAUGCCUGUUGCUUCCAACAAUUUGAGACAAUAGAAAACAUCAGGAGCUUUCUCUAGCUUCUUUGCAGCGUCUAUCGCUCCAGGAGGCAAUUGAAUUUGCGGGAAGGAAUACAUAGCACCUGUUAUAAACAUUCAAUUUCCUCGCGAAAUGUCAAUGAUUGGUCGCGGUUCAACGUCUAAUAGAAUACGAAAACAUGGGAAAUGACUUGCCUUCUGUGAAAUUACAAACAACAUUUUUGCAGCUGUUGAACCCGUCGGUCAUUAUAUGAGCCCUUCGUCUUAGCGACUCAAGGAUGCCUUUGCUGCAAAAAGCAUCAACUACUAUUUGUCAUGAAUUCGUAAAAAUGUUUCGACAAGAUCAUUAAACGAGUAGAAGAUCAUAAGAUGAACAGACUAAUUUUGAGCUUUCUCUGUAUUCACGAAGUUAACGACACAAAGUUCAACAUCAAUAUAUACAAUGUUACUCAAAAGUCCUAUGUUGUUUAGACUGUUCAAAAUUGUUGCCGCACCCAUAUCAAAUCCUCCAAAAUGUCCUACUUUUAGAGGAUCCGACACGCACACAUUGGCAUUUUCAAGAGUCGGAGCAAUAUAAGUUCAAAACCAAGUGAAAAGAAUGAGACUUUCUACUCUAUUUCCGACAAUUCCACAGAUGAAGUUCAGGUAUUUCAUGUAACCAGAGAUGUCAGCAGUAAUUAAUACCUUUCUCUGGCAAAUUGCUCAUACGAGAUAUCUCCGGGCUUAGGUGGAUUCGCCAGUAACCCCAACUGUUGAAACGAGAAAGAAUACAAGCAUUUCUUGUCAGCACAGGGUUACGAUUAAGCAGAAUAAACUAGCAGCAACUUUUAGGUAACAUAAAAGUAAGGUAAAAUUCGAGAUGUCGGAAAAAGUUGAUUGUCAACUCUAUAACACAAUAAGAUUUCCUUUCUGGAAGGAUAAAUCUUCGAGGGAAUGAACAGAAGUUACUCACAAAUAUUUGUGCAGGUACAUUUGGACUGAGCGAUAUCGAAGCAACCUUGUAUAUCUCUUCAACUGACUGCAACAUCAAAUUAGAGAAAGGCCACGUCUCAGUAGUACAUCGAUCAUGCUUGGGUAAUAACACGACCCUCAAGUGUUUUAUAACAUAGAGCAUUUUGGAAUAGCUCAAAUUCAUCGAAAAAAUUCCUUUCAAAUUUAACUCUAAGUUCAUCUCUAUAUACUAAAAUAGUAUGUUGCUCGGACACUCCAAGAAUGUUGCCACAACCCCAUCGGAUCCUCAAAAAAUGCAACAUUUGAAUUGGGGAUGACGAAACAAACCUUGGGAGGAAUGUUAGUCAUCUCAAAGUAUCCACCACGCUGUCCACAUUCGCCCCAAUAACCUUUGGAGACCGUAUGAAAUGAAACAAGCUGAAGCUCCUUGCUUAUGGGAGGACCCAUAUCAAAUAAAACCUACAAAUUUUGGUGAACAUGGAUGUUAUUCGAGAUACAAUAUAAUAUUUAGGGGUUAACAAAUUCUUAAAGUGAAAACUAUAUUUGUAUAUUACCUUUCGUGCACUUAUGAAUAGGGGUGUGCAAAAACCGAACCGACCGAUAAACCGAACCGACCGAUGUGUUAUUGGUUUAUUGUUACUGGGUUAUUGGGCUAACGGUUAUUUAAUGGUUUUACAAAAAAAAAUUAUUGGGUUAUCGGUUUGUUAUUGGUUUUUUAAUAUUGGGUUAUUGGGUUAACCGAUAACCCAUUAAGAAUAUAAUAAUAAUUUAUAUAUAUAUAUAUAUAUAUUAAACAAAAAAUAUUAAUAUAAUUAGUAGUAUAUUAGACUAAAAAUAUAAAAUUCCUACGCAAUAAAAUAAUAAUUGACAUUACUUAACACUUAACUAACAGACUCCCCUCUCUACUAUUAAACCUUUAGGUUUUACAUUUUAGGAUUACUUAUUUACUUUAGGUAGGUCAAAACUAAAACCUAAAGAACGGCGACGACAAGGAUAAAGGAUUUGUGAGUUGCGACGACGACGACAACGGCAAGGAUUUGUGAGUUGCAACGACGACGACAACGACAAGUAUUAGGUGACGACUAAGGUUCUGAAACUGAAUUGUGAAUAUUUUCUCUGCCUUGAAACUAUUUCAUGAUUUGUUGCCUUCAUUAUUGUCUAAUUCAUAGUUUCCUUAAGAAACUCUUUUUUUUGUUUUCCAGUGAUGAUCUUUUUAAUUUCUCUUUAGUUAAAUUGGUUUACCUUGAAACUAUUUUAUGAUUUGCUGCCUUAAUUAUUGUCUACUUCAUUUUGUAACAGAGACAUAUACAUGACUGAAAAUAUUAUAACUGAUGAGGUCGUUGUCCUGGUCGAUGAAAGUAUUAAUUCAAAUGCUACACGUCAAACAAAAUCUGUUCAGUUAAAGGUAAAGAAAGAAAGAAAGAAAAGAUCUCGGGCAUGGAAUCAUUUCAGAUCAUUUGUUGAUGAAGAAAGGAAUAAGAAAUCCAUGUGUAAGCAUUGUGGUGCAGAUUAUUUUGCUGAUUCAGGUAAAAAUGGUACGACGUCAAUGCUUACUCAUAUGUUAACAUGUCCAAAGAUGCCUCGAAUUGUUGAUAAAAAUCAAACUCAAAUAGGCUUUAAAACAGCUCAAGGGGGUGAUACGGAUGAUGUGGUUGUUGUUUCUUGGAAAUUUGAGCAAGAGCAAUGUAGGAGAGCUUUAUGUCGCAUGGUGAUUGUGGAUGAACUCCCUUUCAAAUUUGUAGAGAAGGAAGGUUUUAGAAACUUUAUGAAAGUAACGCAACCUCAUUUUAAGAUUCCUUCUCGUACCACUGUGACGCGUGACUGUUUUAAACUUUUUGAUGCGGAGAAACAGAAGUUGAAAAGAUCUUUCGGAGAAGCACAACAAAGAGUUAGUCUUACUACUGAUACGUGGACCUCUUUGCAGCGAAUUAAUUAUAUGUGUAUCACUGCACAUUGGAUCGAUAAAGAAUGGAUGAUGCAUAAGAGGAUAAUUAACUUCUGUCAAGUUUCUAGCCAUAGGGGUGAAGAUAUGGCUAAUGAGAUAAGUAAGUGUUUACGUGAUUGGGGGUUGGAUAAAAAUUUUACCAUCACAGUUGAUAAUGCUAGUUCGAAUGAUGUGACUGUGAAAGAGUUGUCGAAGAUAUUCACCAAACGGGGUACCAAUUUCAUGAAUGGAGAACACCUUCAUGUGAGAUGUAUGGCACAUAUUCUAAAUCUUGUUGUUCAAGAUGGUUUGAAAGUGUCGGCUGCUUCUAUUGAACGGGUUAGAAAAGCAGUUAAAUACAUUAGGUUGUCUCCUGCAAGGUGUAAGAGGUUCCAUGAAUGUGCUGAAGAUGUUGAUAUCAAUUGUAAGAAAUCUUUAUGUUUGGAUGUUUCUACGAGGUGGAACUCCACAUACUUGAUGUUGAACAGGGCUAUUGAGUUUGAAAAUGUGUUUUCCAGUUAUGUUGAUCGUGAUAUUGGUUUGUUGCAUUACCUUCAAUUUGUUGAGGAUGAAGAUGGAACUGCUGCCGGUGCACUUUCGAGUGAUGACUGGAACAAUGUAAAGAAAGUUGCUGAUUUCCUUCAAAUCUUCUAUGAUCUUACCAGAGAAGUAUCUGGAUCACAGUACGUUACAUCAAAUUUACACUUUCUUAAGAUUUGUGAAGUUUCUUGUUAUUUGAAAAAAUUGAUAGUGAGUGAAGAUGACACUGAUGAUCUUUUGGGUAAAAUUGCUAAAAAUAUGAGAGAAAAAUUUGAUAAGUAUUGGGGUACUCCUAACAAAAUGAAUAAGAUGAUUUUUAUUUCUUGUGUUUUGGAUCCUCGACACAAGUUUGUUUCGGUUGGCUUUGCACUUCAAAUGAUGUUUGGAAAAGAAAAAGGACUAGUUCUAGAGCAUGAAGUUAGAGGCUACAUGGAUUUAAUGUUUGGUGAAUAUGUAAAGUCUCUUUCAAAAGAUAAAGAUAGUCAUCACUCUUCAUUUUUAUCUAGCUCUUCAUUUGAAAAGUUCAGUUCACUGCCUUCAAGUUCAGAUAGUACUGUCCAAUCAAUAGGAUCUUUGGGGUCAUUCAUGGUUGAUCUAAUGAAACAUAAAGCUGGAAAUGCUACAAUUGUUAAAACAGAAUUGCAAAAAUAUCUUGGUGAAGAAAAUGAAGUUGAAACCAAGAACUUCAACAUCUUGUCUUGGUGGAAAAUAAACUCACCUAGAUUUCCAAUUCUUGCCGAGAUGGCUCGGAAUGUGUUAGCUAUUUCUAUUUCAAGUGUGGCAUCCGAGUGUGCAUUUAGCACUGGUGGACGUAUUUUGGAUUCAUUUAGGAGUUCAUUAACUCCUAAAUUGGUGCAAACUCUAGUGUGCCUUCAAGAUUGGAUUCGAAGUGAAUCACGACAUGUUAGUGUUGAGGAAGAUAUAGAUGUCCUUGAACAAGGUAAGAAUAUUCUUAUUGUAUUCGUUUCUUAUUGGUAUUAUAAUUAGUCAUUAAUAUUUUUCUAAAUGAUUAACAUUAAUUCUUUAUAGAUUUGGCUAAUACUAGCAUUCUUGAUGAUUAACAUGGAGUUGAAACUCUUCUUUGUUGCAUUUGGAUAUGGACAUUUGGUAAGUUAUUCUUAAUUCUAGAUACAAGUUAUUUUAACUUGUGUAUUUGCUUAAAAUAAGUUAUGACGAUCUGGACAUUUAGUACUUUUAUUUGAUGUUGAUUUCAACUGUAGAGAUGGUAUUAAUUUUAGUUUGUGUUUUGGUUGCCCAUUAUGUUAGUAUUAAAUGUUGAAAUACUUCACAACUCUUUUCCACUUUUUCUUCCACGCUUGAGAUUAUCUUGGUUAGGAAAUUAAUGAAGAUUUUGUUGAUUAUCCGAUGGAUUUGGCAGCUGUUAAAGAUAGUUCAAGAUGAACUGCCGAUUUACAACUGGGCUUGGUUCUAAUUAGUUUUAGUUUAUAAUUGACUAAUAUUAGCUUUUGCACGAUUGUAAAUAUUAAAAAUUGACCAAAGACUUUGUUGUGAUGACCCCCGUUUGGUAUGAUUAUUUUGAUGUAUGCGUAUCGUCAAAUUAUUGGAUAAAUCAUAUAUUUAUUUUGAAAGCAUUUUCUUAUUGGUUAAACCGAAAACCGAACCAUUAAAGACCUAAAACCGAUAAACCGAAAACCGAUAACAAAUAUCUUAUUGGUUUGGUUAUCGGUUUAGCAUAUUUAAAAACCGAAAACCGAUAAACCGAACCGAUAAUACUUAAAACCGAACCGAACCGACCGAUACACACCCUUACUUAUGAAGGGAUGCUCAUCUUGGUAAAUAUUUUGUUGAUAAACUUCGUCUCCUAGUAAUACUAAAUUUUCUUCGUAGCAGAAUUGUAUUAUUUGUCUUAGAUUUUGUUCACUAAGACACUGUCCGGUAGGAUUUCCGGGGUUUAUAAUCACCAUUGCUCGUACCUAGGCAAUAAUAUAAACAUAAGAUGAAUGCAUGUUACCAUCGGAUAUGCUAAUUAUUUACACUGGUAGUGUAAAAAAUUGACUACACUAGCUGUGUAAAUAACUUAAAUCCUCGUAAAUAUGUGUCAUUAUGAAGAGACUCAACCCUAUAAAAAGCCUUCAAGUUGCCAAUCCCGGAAAAUAUUUGUUAGUGACAAGUUUCGGAUGUGCUGUAACGGUCCCUUUUCUAUGAAAUAUGGACUCUGGCACAACCUAAAACCUAUUGUUCGGACUCGCCUAAUAUGUUGGAUCCUCCAAAAAUACUUUAAGAGGAUCCGACACACACACGUUGAUAUUUUUUGAACGAGUCCCAGCAACGUAGCCUAAAACUCGCUCAAAAUUUGGAAAUGUACAGAACCAACCAUACAGACGAGAAUGCGUCUGCACGUAUCUGGAAAGCAAAAUUUAGGCAUAUAUACUCACAGUUAUUCCGUUCUGUCGGGCUUGUUCAAUAGAUUGCCGAAGGUCAUUGAUAUCAAGACCCCAGUCUGCAGUCUCUUCAAGAUAGUAUGGAACAAGAGAACCCCCAUACAAUGAUAUUGUAGCAGAGUAAAGCGGAUACUGUGGAACAGGAACCAACACCUAACAAAAAGUAUGUAACAGUAAGGAAUAUUACGAUGCACGUAAAAUCUAGAACCUGAAAGAAUUUUCUGAACAUAUUGGUUAGCCUUUUCCCCCUCUUUUUGGUUAUAUAGUUACCCCGUCAUUUGGGCCCCGAAUGAUAGUAUGUAAUAUUUGCAUUAUUCCUUUGCUGGCACCAUCCGUGAGAAAUAUGUGUUCCGGAUCACUGAUCAAAAGAACAGCCAGAAAUGUAAUCUUAGUAACUUAAUUGAAGUCACCGAAAAGAAACCAGUUAAAAUGAAAAGAGAGAUGUAACCUCGGAUAUCCAUCACGUCUCUCAAUGAAAUCUGCAAUUUCUUUCCUUACACCGGGAAUGCCACGGGAGUCGCUAUAAGCACCUAAUUAACCAGAAAUAUAAAGUUACUCUCAUUUCUCAAGACAAAAGAUCAUAGUAAAGUCGGAGAAUCGAGGCAAAAAGACCUAUAAUGUUGGAGAAAGUGCUAAUCACCAUGGAGAGUUGUUACUUGAGAAGAAGAAUGAGGAAAGUGUGUCCACUGUGAAAGAGAAAACGUUCCAAUUUCUAUUCUUCUUCAUUUGUUUUAUCAUGGUAUCAGAGCAGGUUCUUUAAAUCCUACUCUAUCUGUUUUCGUCUCUCUUCUUUUUAUUGUGUGACAUUCAUCUCUUUUCAUCAACAACAAUGGGUGAAAACACAACCACUGAAGUAACUACUGGUACACAACCAGCAACUAGGGAUUUGAUUAAUCCCUCUCAUCCUUACUUCAUCUCGCCAUCAGAUUCACCAGGUAUGCAGUUGGUGAAUUCUUCUUUUGAUGGAAAAAGUUUUGCUGGUUGGAGAAGGGGUAUGCUGAUUGCGCUUACUGCCAAGAAUAAGGCAGGAUUCAUUGAUGGAUCUUCAUCUGAGCCUGCUGCAGAGUCUGAGUUCCACAAAGCUUGGAGUAGAGCUAACAAUAUGGUUAUUUCUUGGCUUUUGAACUCACUCUCACGAGAAAUUUCUGAGAGUGUCAUUUACUCAACGACGGCAAAGGAGUUGUGGGUUGACUUAGAGGCCAGAUUUGGCCAAAGCAGUGGAGCUAAGCUUUUUCAGCUGCAGAAGGAGCUUAAUGAUUUGGUUCAAGGAUCCAGUGACAUAGCCACUUACUACACCAAGAUAAAAAGGCUCUGGGAUGAACUUGAUAGUCUUGAUGCUUUUGUUCUUUGUCUCUGUAACUGUACCUGUGAAGCAAAAAGGAAAAACAUAAAGGCUAAACAGGAUGAAAGGCUGGUUCAAUUUCUUAUGGGACUCAAUGACAGCUAUUGUGGUGCUAGAGGUAACAUUUUAAUGAUAUCUCCUCUUCCUACUAUUGCUAAUGCUUAUGCACUCUUGAUGCAAGAGGAAAAACAAAGGGAAAUGCAUUCUACAGCUAAGUAUCCGGGUGAAUCCUCUGCUUUCAUUGCGGCUGAACAAGACAUGAAUGGACAAAGACCACCUGGAAAUAAUUUCAGAGGACAAAGGUAUGCUGUUGAUAACAAAAAGUUUGACAAUACUUGCAAAUAUUGCAGGAAACCUGGACACACAGUCGAUAAGUGUUAUAAGUUGAAAGGUUUUCCACCUAAUUUUAAAUUCACCAAGCAAAGAAACUUUCAGAACCCUGUUCAGGGUAACUUUGCCUGUUCCAAUGAAGCAAAUGGUGAUUAGCACUUUCUCCAACACGUCGAUCUUGAUUGUCAUUUUGUUAGACAACAAUUUUUGGCAGGUUUAAUUUCCCUCUCUUUUGUUCCAUCACAGUCUCAGCUUGCUGACAUUUUUACUAAGCCACUCCCUGGUCCUGCUCAUCAGCAUAUCUUGGCCAAGUUGGGGUUGCUGUCUGCCCCCUCCAACUUGAAGGGGGGUGUUGGAGAAAGUGCUAAUCACCAUGGAGAGUUGUUACUUGAGAAGAAGAAUGAGGAAAGUGUGUCCACUGUGCAAGAGAAACAAGACAUGUGUAUACCAAAGGGCACGUGACAAGAAAUACAAAAUUGUUGCAAUCUUAGUGGUUCUAGAAUUCUUUUUGUCAUUAUCCUUUAUGUAGAUAAAUAUCUAUUUUCUUUUAUACAGCUGUAUAGUUUGUUGUUAUUAGGGAACAAAUAGAUAGAUGACAAGUGUAUAGGCCGUUAGACUUUCUUUUCUAUAUAAUGAGCACUGUACAGAAUUGAUGAAGACAGAGAGAAAAACGUUCCAAUUUCUAUUCUUCUUCAUUUGUUUUAUCAUAUAACAACAACGUGGACAAGUAGUUGCUUAUCGAUAGAGCUCAAGAAGCAGGGAUGAUAAAUGCAGGGAUUUCUAUACGAGAUAACAGAAUAGAUCUUUAAGCACAAAGAAGGAACUAUAGUUUUAAUUCACAAAGAAGGAACUAUAAUCCGAUGUUCACUUAAACACAAAAAGGGGAUAGUAACUCUUGAAGAAAAAUUAUGUUUGUGCUUCUCUAUGGAAGAGACAAUUAAAGGAAAUAAAGACGGAGUCAAAGAGGCAUAACAAGUAGAGUAGAGUGCCACAUAAAAUCUAUGUUGCUUCGACUCAUGAAAAAUACCGUCGGAUGUGUGUCGGAUCGGAUCCUCCAAAAGCUAUGCAUUGUCAGAGUAUCUGACAUGGGUGCGACAACAUUUUCCAAGUGUCUGAGUAUCAUGGAUGAUAAAAAUUACUCAAUUCCUAAAAUAAUAUAGUUUAGGUAGGAAAGGAUACCUAGACCUCCGGAAUUCAACGAAAGAUAAUGUUUAGCUUUUGCGAUUGCAUCAGCAGGGAAUAAUUGUCCAACAUUAGGAUCAUCCAGAAAAAAUGGAGCUUGGCAGAGAGCAAUGACCUGAAAAUAAAGAGCGUCAAUGCUUUACGUAUGCCAAAACCAUAAGCCUCUCAUAGAAGUGGCAUUCAACGACUACAACAAACCUGGCGCGGAAACGUCAGCGGCUUCUGUCCGAGGGCAUGAGGAUUACCUACAUUUGUGAAUAUAAUCUGCAGAGCAAGAGGAAUCAUGAGAUUGUUACACAAGUAUAGUGGAGUAACUAAACUAAGUAUUUAUAAGUCAAAAACACACUUGAAGUAUCCCUUUUUUAGAGUUUCAUACCUAAACUAUGAGAUGCGCAAGUUUUCUACAUGAAGUAUCACCAAAUUGUUAUCGAAACACACCUCAACUAUCAAUUUCUCCCUUUUCCUACCUGAAAUAUCACUAUCAUUUAGGUAGGAAAAGGGAAAAAUUGAUAGUUGAGGUAUGUUUUUGAACUCGUAACGUAACGUCACUAAACUAUGUGAUUUUGCCCAAAAAUACACGUCAUCAAAAAGUCAAAUUUCCGACGCUGGCAAAAGACAUGUCAUUGCCACAUAAUCAUUUUCCCACUAUGUAAAUGCUACACAUUUUUUUACUUAAACAUUCACAUUGUCAUAACCAAUAUUUUAAACAUAAACAAUUAACAAAACAUCAAACGAAAAAAAAACAGCAAUUUUGAACCGCAUUUGCCACACUACAAUUAAAUCUUUCCGGGAUGCAAAAGCGUUUAAUUGUACCUUCUUUCCUUCCUUCUGAAGUUGAGAAGCUCGAAGAUAGAGCUCACCUCGUACAGCAUAUUGACACUUCUUCACAUUCUCAUUCAAAUUCUCAUAGUCCAACGGCUUAGACGACAUUAUAAACAACUAAAAAUAGCACCUCCUUAACCUACAACAUGUAAAAAGAAACAAUAUAACUAAUGGUAAGAGUACUACUACUACUACUACUAAAAGUAUAUCGAAACAACAAAAGUCAUCACUAAUCCUAUUUAUCAACAAAUUAUAAAAAUUUCUUCUAAUUACAAGCUAUUUAGCGACAAAUCAGCCACAAACAGUGUGUAAAAAGAAACAAUAUAAUUAAUGGUAAGAGUACUACUACUACUACUAUUAAAAGUCAGGAAUUAGCGACAGACAAAAUUUUAUAUGUAAACAACAAAAGUAAUCACUAAUCCUAUUUAGCAACAAAUUAUCAAAAAUUCUAAUAAUUAUAAGCUAUUUAGCAACAAAUUAGCCACAAAAUUCAUAGCUAAUUUCACUUUUUCUAGUUGAAAACAAGCAAAUUAAAGAACUAUAUAAACAUCAUUUAACUAUACUAAUCUAGUGACCACAAUAAUACAACAAUUUCACAAAAAAAUGAGUACCUCAACAAUUCUAGAUCUUGAACAAAGAAUUCAAAAAUCAAAAUUCAUCACUAAUCCUAUUUAACGUGAAAUUAGCAUAAAUUAUCAAGAACUUUGAUCAUUACGAGCUAUUUAGCAAUAGAUUAGCUACGAAGUUCAUAGUUAAUUUUUAGCGGAAAAUUAUACUAAGAAGGUUAUAUAAACAUCAUUUAACCACUUGUUUUUAAAUUACUUUACUUCUAUUUAGCUCAACAAAAAUAAUUACCUCAAUAAUUCUAGCUCUUGAACAAGGGAAAUUCAAGAAAUGGAAAAACACAAUGGAUUUUGUGCAGUUAUUGUAUAUUUUCCGUGGGUGUUUUUUGUCAUAUUAUUUUCUCCACGUGGCAGGCAUGCAGGUAUGAUGAUUUGUUAUCGUAUAAACUGAUGAGACCCAUUUUAUUGAGAUGUGUGCCCAACCAGAUAAGUUCAUUACUUGUCUUUGGGUAAAAAAAAAAAACUAUUUCCUCUGUCCCAUUUAUAUAAAUUAAUUUGACUUAACACAGAAUUUAAGAAAGAAAGAGAGAUUUUUGAAACUUAUCGUUUAAAAUAAGUAGUAAAUAUUUGCGUGACUAUAAAUCAUUUCAUCAAAGAUAAAAUUGAUAUUUUAAAGAUAAAUUAUUACUUAGUAUAGAAAAAUGUCAUUUUUUGGGACUGGUUAAUGAAAAGGAAACUAAGUCAUAUAAAUUGGGACAGAGGGAGUAUCUGAUUAGAUUUUAGAGUUUUUUUCAUGAAAUAAAUUGUUUUUAUAAGGUUUUUACGCUAUUAUGAGUGGUUUCUGAUGGACCCUCGGUUGAAGAAAAAUAUUUUUGAGAAGAUUUUUGGAAAAAAAUGUAAAAGUAAAAAAUUAUGAUGAAAGUAUUGAUUAUCAACAUAAAAAAUAGUAAAGAUAAUCAAAAUAAAAUAAAUUACAAUAUUGAUGAAGAAUAAUAAUAUGGUGGCAAGAAUCAGGGAAGAAAAAAAUCGCUCGACUAUUUACUAACUAUCUGUUCUAAUUCUUGAUCUCCAUGCUCUCCUAUCUAGGGUCAUGUUUUCAGGUUAGAUGUGAUAUGUUUUGUGUACCUCUCCAUAAAUCUAUCGUAUUACUUGUUGACACCUAAUUUUGACCCUCCCCGAUAAUAAUUAAUUUCGAGCUUCUUAAUUUUCAAAUAUUUUAAAGUAAUUAAUUUUAGAAAUUUCAAAAAAAAUAUAAAAAAAAAAAAAUAUAUAUAUAUAUAAUAGAAUAAUUUGCAAGUUGUUUCAAAUAGUUUGUCAAUUGUUAUAACUUUUAAAUAAUAAUAUGUCUUUUAUAUAAUUAUGUAUAUAAUUAGUGUAUUUUAUAAAUAUUGGAAAAUCGUCUCAAAAAGAUUUUGUUUAAUUAGAUAUUUUUGUUUAGUUAUCUAAUAGUUUACAAUUUUGAGUUAAGUAGUUAGUUUAUAAUUAAGUUAAUUAUUAUAUAAUUAUGUGUCUAAUUAGUAUAUUUUANNNNNNNNNNNNNNNNNNNNNNNNNNNNNNNNNNNNNNNNNNNNNNNNNNNNNNNNNNNNNNNNNNNNNNNNNNNNNNNNNNNNNNNNNNNNNNNNNNNNNNNNNNNNNNNNNNNNNNNNNNNNNNNNNNNNNNNNNNNNNNNNNNNNNNNNNNNNNNNNNNNNNNNNNNNNNNNNNNNNNNNNNNNNNNNNNNNNNNNNNNNNNNNNNNNNNNNNNNNNNNNNNNNNNNNNNNNNNNNNNNNNNNNNNNNNNNNNNNNNNNNNNNNNNNNNNNNNNNNNNNNNNNNNNNNNNNNNNNNNNNNNNNNNNNNNNNNNNNNNNNNNNNNNNNNNNNNNNNNNNNNNNNNNNNNNNNNNNNNNNNNNNNNNNNNNNNNNNNNNNNNNNNNNNNNNNNNNNNNNNNNNNNNNNNNNNNNNNNNNNNNNNNNNNNNNNNNNNNNNNNNNNNNNNNNNNNNNNNNNNNNNNNNNNNNNNNNNNNNNNNNNNNNNNNNNNNNNNNNNNNNNNNNNNNNNNNNNNNNNNNNNNNNNNNNNNNNNNNNNNNNNNNNNNNNNNNNNNNNNNNNNNNNNNNNNNNNNNNNNNNNNNNNNNNNNNNNNNNNNNNNNNNNNNNNNNNNNNNNNNNNNNNNNNNNNNNNNNNNNNNNNNNNNNNNNNNNNNNNNNNNNNNNNNNNNNNNNNNNNNNNNNNNNNNNNNNNNNNNNNNNNNNNNNNNNNNNNNNNNNNNNNNNNNNNNNNNNNNNNNNNNNNNNNNNNNNNNNNNNNNNNNNNNNNNNNNNNNNNNNNNNNNNNNNNNNNNNNNNNNNNNNNNNNNNNNNNNNNNNNNNNNNNNNNNNNNNNNNNNNNNNNNNNNNNNNNNNNNNNNNNNNNNNNNNNNNNNNNNNNNNNNNNNNNNNNNNNNNNNNNNNNNNNNNNNNNNNNNNNNNNNNNNNNNNNNNNNNNNNNNNNNNNNNNNNNNNNNNNNNNNNNNNNNNNNNNNNNNNNNNNNNNNNNNNNNNNNNNNNNNNNNNNNNNNNNNNNNNNNNNNNNNNNNNNNNNNNNNNNNNNNNNNNNNNNNNNNNNNNNNNNNNNNNNNNNNNNNNNNNNNNNNNNNNNNNNNNNNNNNNNNNNNNNNNNNNNNNNNNNNNNNNNNNNNNNNNNNNNNNNNNNNNNNNNNNNNNNNNNNNNNNNNNNNNNNNNNNNNNNNNNNNNNNNNNNNNNNNNNNNNNNNNNNNNNNNNNNNNNNNNNNNNNNNNNNNNNNNNNNNNNNNNNNNNNNNNNNNNNNNNNNNNNNNNNNNNNNNNNNNNNNNNNNNNNNNNNNNNNNNNNNNNNNNNNNNNNNNNNNNNNNNNNNNNNNNNNNNNNNNNNNNNNNNNNNNNNNNNNNNNNNNNNNNNNNNNNNNNNNNNNNNNNNNNNNNNNNNNNNNNNNNNNNNNNNNNNNNNNNNNNNNNNNNNNNNNNNNNNNNNNNNNNNNNNNNNNNNNNNNNNNNNNNNNNNNNNNNNNNNNNNNNNNNNNNNNNNNNNNNNNNNNNNNNNNNNNNNNNNNNNNNNNNNNNNNNNNNNNNNNNNNNNNNNNNNNNNNNNNNNNNNNNNNNNNNNNNNNNNNNNNNNNNNNNNNNNNNNNNNNNNNNNNNNNNNNNNNNNNNNNNNNNNNNNNNNNNNNNNNNNNNNNNNNNNNNNNNNNNNNNNNNUUUACUACCAUAUAAAUAUAUAUAAUUUAUUCAAAUUUAAAAUUUAAAACUAUUUAUUUAAGGUCAGUUAAAAAUUAACUUUUAUAAAAAAAAUUCGUAAUAAUUAUUAAACGUCACUUGCAUUUUGCAGUGAACAACAAAUAAUGCAAAAAAGAGGGGAAAAUUGUUGAAAAAAAUAUAAAAAGGGUUUAAUUGUCCUUUCAAUGCUUUUUUUACUGUUGACCCGCUGAAUUUUCACAUCUGACGCGCCUAAUUUGAGUGUAUUUCACGCAUUUUGCCAGGUAGGAUCCGAGUGUUUUUUUGUUUAAGUUUUGGAUAGUUAAAGUGCCUAUUUGUGCACUUACAAAGUUAAAGGUCAAAGUUAAAAUUUGAAGCCAAGUUUAGGGGUCAAAAUAUGUAUUAUGCCUUAAUAAUACAACAACAAUUUGUGAACAACAAUACCAGCCGACCCCAUUCCCAACAGUCUUUCCCUCUUUAUUUCCUUUAAUUGCCAGCCCAAUUCCCAAGCCAACCAACCCACUUCAAUUCCCAGCCCAUAACUCCUUAAACCCGGCCCAAAUUCCUUUCCCCUUCACAAUAGAAACCCAGGAACCACAGUAUGACAUCCCAGCAUUAGCGGCAGCAACCAAACAGAGUAAGACCACAACGUCUUCACGCUAGCAGGAAAAUGACAGAGCCAUUAAAUGCUCGACAGCAGCCAACGUCUCUCUCUACAGCACUAUAGCAGGCACGCCUCUGUCCUCCUUUCCCCUUUCGGAAUGAACCAAAACCUCAAAGAAAAGGUGUUCAGCCGGAAGGGUGAAAGGUUUUGAAGUUUUUUGAAUUUCGAAUUGGACUUUUUGAAUGGGAUUUUUAUUUCUUUCCCUCCGAAAAAAAAAAAGAAAGGGGAACCCUAGAUAAUCCCUAUAUGUAUUCCCUUUUAUUCACUGUUGAAAGGGGGGAUUUUUUUAUUUUUUUUGGAGUCGAAAUUUUGAGCGAAAAUAUAGAAAGCAACUUGAGUGGAGGUAGUUUGAUAAUACUCUAAAGGGAGGAAAUCAACUCGUUCAGGGUCUUUGCAUUUCCUUUUCUCCUCGUUGACGUUCACUACUCCGUCACGAGUUCCUUGGAACUCGAGGGAACUAUUGGGAUAUUCUUGCCCAUAUUUCUUUGCCGCUGUUUGAGUCCCGGAGUUGGUGGUAAAGUCGCGGUUCUCAUUGCUCGUCUAGUCUCAAAUCGCUGCCCGAAAAGAGGUAAACCCCUCUUCGCUAUUUGUUUUAGCUCUUAAUUUCCUCUGUGAUUUCGUUCAUGUUCUUAACAAGAGUAAUGUUGAAAUUGAAAUUUUAGAAUGAUAAUUUUGACACUUAUCUCUGCCUAAUGAAUGCUAAAUCGUUUCUUAAUGUAAAGUUAGUUGUCGAUUAAUUCUUUAUUGGUUGUGUAACGUUGUUUUUCGGUUAAGACGGGAUGUCGUCUCUAGUUACAUGCCUAGAUUUUUUUUUUGAUUUGUGUCUCUAUGUUUCAUCAUGAGUCAACUUUCUUCUCGUUUAAGUUGAAAUUUCAGAUUAUGGUGUGUUUCAAAGUUGUAUUCGUUUGAAUGUUGGUAUUCAUAGACAAUAAGUAGAGCUUCAUUUAUAUGAUGUUGGUUCAUAGGUUGAUUAUUAUUCUUCAUGUGUUUAUGGUAUGAUCCCCGGACUUUUUUUUUAAAAUCAUUUGCCCCCUCUCCCCUAAAAUUAUAAGAAGGAUGAAUUAAUGAUAAUAGCUAGUGUCUUAUUUAUAAGAUUUAAAUUUGAUCUUUUAUGGGCUGUUUUCAAUUCGAUACCGCGCCUGUUCGAACCUUGAUGCCCUUGCCUGUUUGUCUUGAUUUCGUAUAUACUUCAAAGUCUUGAGCAAUCAAUCUGUGAGAUUUUGAACUUAUCCCUUCUCUGUUUAAAAUACUAAAUCAUUUUUUUCUUCUAUUUUUAUGUCUUGUGUUCUUAAAAUAGCAUGUUCAUUUUUAGUUAUAGGAAGGACUUAAGGUUGGUAAGUUUGGAAAAUGUUUGCUGCCUGUGCUUUUGUCAUUUGUUGUUACAUAUUCUCAAUAUAGUAGCUAUAGUUAGUUGCUUCAUUUAUCUUAUUAAAUGUUUUGUGCAGUAAAUCUUUCAUAUACUAAUUUGUUCUCUUUCUUUGUUGUGAACCCAUCCGAGUCCAUAUUGGACUAAACUUCCGCAUUUCUCCGAGUUGGUUUCCUCUCGAGUCGACCCCCAUCCCUGUUCGGAUUUUGUUUUUUUAGAAGCUGAAAUACAGAGCUGAUGAACAGAUGCACAGAUUUUUUUGAAAUCUCUUAAGGGGCUGCAUACCUGCUGGUAUACACUGGUAUACAGAUUUUGUAUACAUGGUAUACACGGAAAAANNNNNNNNNNNNNNNNNNNNNNNNNNNNNNNNNNNNNNNNNNNNNNNNNNNNNNNNNNNNNNNNNNNNNNNNNNNNNNNNNNNNNNNNNNNNNNNNNNNNNNNNNNNNNNNNNNNNNNNNNNNNNNNNNNNNNNNNNNNNNNNNNNNNNNNNNNNNNNNNNNNNNNNNNNNNNNNNNNNNNNNNNNNNNNNNNNNNNNNNNNNNNNNNNNNNNNNNNNNNNNNNNNNNNNNNNUUUCUUUACAUUGGCUUACCUUUAAUACAUUCUUAUAUUUGUUUUUGUUCUAUCUUACUAAUCAAAUAUAUUGGCCAUGUUUCAUUUUAAUUAAAUCUUUUGUUUUUAAAAGGACAUGUUUUGAAUGCCUCUUCCUUUAAUCAUUUUGCUUAUUUAAAUGGUUUUAAGUUAACACUUUUCUCAAAUGAACUAAAAUAAAAUAAAAUUGUGUGUGUUCUCUUUUUAUCAAUUGAUUUAAAAUGGUCUCAUGCUUUAAUUGGUUCAAAUUAUUAUCUUAAAAAUGAAUUAAAUAAAUUUUAAUUAAUCUAGUUUUAUUGAAAUUCUAAUUACUCGUAUCACAAGUCCAAUGUGUCAUUUUGAAUUCUUUUCUCUAAAAAAGAAAAAGGUGUCGUUUAUCUAAUUAUUUUCUCAAAAUUAAUUAAAUAUUGUAAUUUAUCUAAAUAUUCUUAGUUAAAAUUUCAAAAUUAGUCAAAAAUCAUUUUUUAGUCAAAUCGUCGGUCAACUGCAAGUUAGCGGGCAUUCCGAGGGCCUAACACCUUCUUGGAAUGUACAUUUGAACUCGAACCCGUUUUCAAUUGAUUUUAUCUGUUUAAAUCUUUUUGAAAACUGUAAGUAUUUUUUCUUGAUUUUUUACUAAAAAUUAAGUGGCGACUCUGUUCUUUCGGAAACCCGAUUUCUCUUAAACCAUAAGUUUAAUCGGUUUUUCGAAAACUCAGUCAUUUUCCUUUUAUAUAUCUUUUUUAAAUAAAACAUUACUAUUUGUGCUCCUUCACUUCACAUAUCUGACCAUUUCAAUCUCGUUUCCCGCAUCUUAUCCAUCACAAAGGUCACUCACACCUUGCUUUGUAUAUCUUUAUUUCUAAUCUUUGUCUCUUUCUAUUUACCCACACAAGUAUUAUGAAACCUUGGAUAUGCAUCAUAAUAACCUUAUUCAUUCCAAACUAUCACACAAGACCAGAUAAAUACUACAAUUAUAGUACUUCAAAUAGCUAUGGUUUAUAAUUAAAAUACUAAAUCACAAAUUGACAAGACAUCAUUAAACAUGGUUAUUCCUAAAACAAAAAUUUAACAAAGGUUCUGCAUUUGGAAGAUAGUGUCCUCAAUAUAUGCAAGAUAAAAAGUAGAAUUUAUCAUCUUAAUUUCAAGGAGGUAAAAUGUAGCAAAGACAGAGUGAUUAUAAAUAGAGUUAAUCGUAAAAACCGCACAUCUAAACUAUAGUACCUUUUUUUUGCGAGUUUCAUACCUCAACAACUCAACUAUCACUCCCUUCGGAUUAGAAUAAGACACAUCGAUAUUGAGUUGACCAAGACUUCUUCCCAAUCGACAACAGAAUAAUUAAGGUAGGAAACUCGUGAAAAGGUAAUAGUUUAGAUAGGUAAAUAGAACAAUGGAUUGUUCAAAAACUUACAUUGAGUGCUAUAUAUGGAUGAAGACCUUAAAGACAAUUGUUUCCCAUGUCCUCUUGUUCUUGUUCAAUCUUUCUUGCAGACUCCUCAGCACCAAUGCUGCACUGAUAUAACUCAAUCGACUCGAAAGUACAAAUUUCUCCAAAAUCUGUUGGAAUUUCAUUAAGGUAGUUGCAUUUCUUUAGAGCAAGGCGUUUUAGAUUUGGGAAGCUAUCGCUGCUAGCUUCCCAAAUGCUCAAGAUCUACAUCAUGAAAUAACAAUCAUGUUUUGGUCCAAACACCUUAUCACAAAGUAACUUCAAACUGUUCUCUAAAUUCAAGAGGUUCAUCUCAUGGAUACAUUGCUACAUUUGUUUCCCUAGUAGUCAAUAAGAUUCGACUCCUAUUGUUGUAAUCGGUAGGAAACUUAUUUAUUUUCAUACUAAUCCCCAUGUAAUUCACACUUUUCUUGUAGUGUAACUAGAAGCAUCUCUUAUUAUUUCCUCCAAAGAUUUGAUUUUUUCGAGAUCAAAUCUACUUUUGCUAGCUUAGCUUCUUCAAUAACAUUUUGAAAAUAUUCAGCAGUAUCAUGAAGGAAUUCGAUUAUUUUGACCUUGAACGAGUUCUGGAUAUCUCUGCUGAAGUUGCUCAACAGUUCCAGAUUUUGAUUUCUAUGUAUGUACCCGGUCGAUACUUGAGAUCCUUUCCAAUUCCCUCACCAAAAAACGUACUAAACUGACCGAUAAACACACCUAAGUAUCACGGCAUUUCAAAUUUCAUACUUGAACUAUUAGGUUUCUAAGUUUCCUAUCCACCGGUUAUUUAUCAAAACAAACCUCAACAACAAAAAAGGGCUUUAGUUGGGAUUCGAACCCUGGUUUCAAGGAUGGUAUCUCUAGCUUGUACCAAUAGCACAAGAGCACUUCUAUGCUUCUCAAGGGUGCACUUUUAACUAUAUCCUAAUUUCAACCAGUUUUUCAAAAUAGAUAUACAUAUAUACAUAUGAUUUUUUCGGAAGUUAGCGAGUGCACGUACACCCUCUCUCCAUAGUGUGGGUCCACCUCUGGAUAGUUGAGGUGUGUUUUGAUAAAUAGUUCAGAUAUGAAACUCAAAAAUUGAAAUACUUUUGACCAUUAUAAUUAGAAAAAAGCUGAAAAGCUAUAAUCCCCACACGCUUAAAAUUUGCUGUGAGACACAAUGCCGGCCACAUCAGAUACUUGUGUUUGAAAGACACAUUUUAGACGAGUUGCUUCACAAGUUUUUACAACUAUUUAACAAGACGUGUCAAGUUUAAGGGGCUAUCUGAGUAUUUAGCCAAAAAAACGAAGAAGUUAUAUAUAAACAAAAGAAAACAGAUCCAAGUAUGAAUAGCUUUCUCAUACGCAAUGAACAAUAGAAACUUUAUUCAUUUCAAACUCCUAUUGCAAAUCGGCAAGACAUGCAUUAACCAUGCUUGUUUCCUAAAACAAAAAUUUAACAAAGGAUAUGAACAUAAAAGAAAGAUAUUACUAUUCAAAAUCUAAAUUAAAUGGUUGUUCAUUUGCUAGUUAACGCCAGAUCGUCCCUCAAAAUAAGCUUCAAUCCCCUGCAUAUAUGCAAGAUAAAAAAGUAGAGUCAUCGUCUUCAUUUCAAGGAGGUAAAAUGUUGCAAAGACGGAGCAAUUAAUGAAUUUUUUUAUUUUGGAGAAAUCUAAAACUUACAUGGAUGAAGAUCUUAAGAAAAUUGUUUCCCAUGUCCUCUUGUUCUUGUUCAAUCUUUCUUGCAGACUCCUCAGCACCAACGCCACAUUGAUAUAACUCAAUCGACUCCAGAGUACAAAUUUCCCCAAAAUCUAUUGGAAUUUCAUUAAGUUUGGUGCAUUUCUUCAGAACAAGGCGUCUUAGAUUUGGGAAGUUAUCGCUGCUAGCUUCCCAAUACUUAAGAUUAAGGCCAUGAAAUAACAAAAACUUAAGGCUUUCGAAUUUGGUUUCAGCACUUAAUCUCCAUACAUGAUCGUUGGCUGCGUGAUCUUUAAGUUUGAGCUCUUCAAGAUUUGGCAACAUGACAAGAAGAGUUGAAAUAUCGUCCCAAGGAAAACAAAACCCGCCGUCUAAAGUCAACCUCUUAAGUGAUUUUGGGAAAAAAGACUGCUUGAUGGAGAUCGGAGGCGUUGAAAACCAAAAGUACUCGCUAACACACUUCAAUGCUUCGAGUUUUGUCAAGCUGGACAUAUCAGUGAUGUCAUUGACUGAAAAAGCAGAUGAAUAUCGAUGAUGGACGAUCAAUCUCUUUAGAUCGGGAAUGCCAGAAAAGAUUUCAUUUGUACAACAGGAGAAACAUAAGUUAGAAAGUUCCUCUAAAUUUAAGAUACUAUUCCUACUAGGAAGUAGUAAAGUGCAGGCUUUCCUCACAUGUAAAUGCCUUAAAUUCCUCAUCAUCCAUAUAUUCUCUGGUAAAACUGGUGUAUAUUCAUGUUGACUCUCAAAAAUUAGAGUUUGCAAAUUCCGAAGCUUUAAGAUUGAUGCAGGAAGAAAAUGAUCAUAAGAUCGAAAUUGGAGAUAUCUCAAAUGACAUAACUUUGUAAUUUCAGGUGGAAAUGAACAAGAAGUUCCAUAUUCAUGGAAAACGGCCAAUACCCUGAGAUGGUGGAAAUGGGGGAAAACUUUAAGAUUUGCAAAAUAUCGAUUUUUUGGAUAUAAGUAGAUAGAUCUAGCAACGGAGGGUAAUAUCUCGAAACAAUGAUCAUCUAAGUUACUGUGAAUCUGAAAACUGAAGCGAUUAUGCUUUUGUGUUGAAAGAGUAGUAGGGACUAUGUCACUUGUCUCAACAUGCAUAAACUUUGUUCUUUCAACUUCAGUCAAACAGAAUUCACGGAGCAGAUCAUGCAUUCCACAUGCUUUUAUCUCACCGUUGAAUCUUUUUUUUCUAACCAUUAUCAAGUUCCUGCUGAUAAGAUCCUCCAAAUAAUCUUCUGCCGCUUCCUCUAAGCUUUUUUCACUUCCCGGCCUCUUAAUAAAACCUUCAGCGAUCCAUAAUCGAAUCAAUCUCCAAGUCUCAACCUGAUAAUCCUCCGGAAAACCACCAAUAGAAAGAAAGCAGGGUUUGAGGUGAUUAGGCAAAUGGUGGUAACUCAAACCGAGCACUCCUAAGCAUUUAUCUGGAUGACUAGCAAUGAUUUCACCUAAAGUUCGAGCAACAUCCAUCCAACUUCCUAAUGUCCUGGCCACUUUUGAGAGAUGUCCCGCAAUCACUGAAAUUGUUAAGGGUAGUCCUUGACAUUUUUCUGCUAUUUUCUUUCCGAUUUCUACCAACUCUGGAGGACAAUCAUGUUUUGGUCCAAACACCUUAUCACAAAUUAACUUCCAACUGUUUUCUAAAUUCAAGAGGUUCAUCUUAUGAGGGCUAACAGGAUUUGCAUACAUUGCUACAUUUGUUUCCCUAGUAGUCAAUAAGAUUCGACUCCUAUUGUUGCAAUCGGGAAAUAUUCCUCUUAUGUUAUCCCAAACAUCCGUACUCCAAAUAUCAUCAACAACAAGAAGGUAUCUUGGACCCUUUAGUUUUUUCUGCACCAAGUCAGCUAACUCGUUGUCAUCCUUCUCAUCAUAAUCUUUUCCAAUGUCAAUAUUUUUUUGUUUUGAAAUGCAAUGUAAAGCUUCUAACAACACAUUUCUACUUCCAUAUUUUUGAGAUACUGUAAUCCAAACACGAAUGUCAAAAUGAUACCUGAUUGUUAGAUGAUCAUGAGCUUUUCUAGCGAGUGUUGUUUUGCCAAUCCCACCCAUGCCUGAUAUUGUGACAACAUCUAGAUCCGACAUUGCUCCUUUCAAUCUUUCAACUAUUAUCUCCAAGUCAUCAUCAAGUCCGUGCACGAUACCAUCUUCCAAAUGUUGCAGCAUUCGAUUACUUCUAGAAGAAGUGUCACUCAAUGAAUCCCCGGCAGAUUCAAGAAUAUGAUCAUCGUCAAUAUCAUGAGUGCUAGUGCUAAAAUCAGAAACAAUCUCCAUCACUUCCUUCUUUAUUGUAUCGAUUCUUUCAACAACCGGUAGAAAAUUCUUGUUUAGUGAACUUUCAGAUGCAUUUCCACAUGUCCAGCUCAUUUCAAUAACAUUUUCUGCAUAACUAACAGCAUCUCUUAUUAUUUCCUCCAAAGACUUAAUUUUUUCGAGAUCAAAUCUACUCUUGCUAGCUUCAUCAACAACAUUUUGAAAAUAUUGAGCAGUACCAUGCAGGGAUUCGAGCGUUUUAGCAGUUUGACCUUGAACGAGUUUUGGAUGUCUCUGCUGAAAUUGCUCAAUUGUUUGUAGAAGAGAAAUUACCGCUAUAUAAGCUGCCAUCGACUACUCAAGAUAUCAAAUACACAAAGAUUUUCACUUGAAAUACCUUUCACAAGAUGAAAAGGAUAUCAAUAUAGAGAGAUUUGAACUUAAUAUUCACAGAUAACACAAUAUAAAGCUCUUUAACAUUUUUUUGUCACAAAUUUUUAAUCCAUCAACUAGUUGUACAACGUCAGAGGAGUAGGUGUAAUAAUACAAUAAUUCUUCCAUUUUAUUUGUCAUUUCAUAAUAUAUUCCCUUUAUUCUGAUGAACAACUUUUACUUAAUUGAAAAGGCAACAAUUUUUUUAAAUAAAUUAAAACAAAGUUAGAUAAGAGGAGUAGGUGUAAUAUAAUAAUCUCCCCAUUCUUUAAGAUUUUCCCUUUCUUCUGAUGGACAACUUUUACUUACUUGAAAAGGCACCAAUUAUUUUUAUUUGCCCUGAUUGGACUAGACACCAAUAUCGAAAACAUUGAAAUGAAACUAAUUUAUAUAUAGCGACCCCACUCCCAACUCUUGCUGAGAAGUAUAAGAGUUGAAUAUGAUUAUGAAAGCUCGAGUAUUAUUAAUACAAUGUGUGAUAUUUAUACAUGUACAAGUAUAGAUGAGAAAGGAGUUUGCUGGACAUAAGAGACCUAAAGAGAAGAGGAAAUAACUAUGUAUAGCUCAAACAUACUAACGUACUAGGACUCUACAUCCUUAUCCUUAUCAUGCCCCUUCAACAUUGGCUCAAUUUGCUUGAGACCAAUGUUGCUGACAAAGGACCUUCUGGGAAGUGCUUUAGUUAAUGCAUCUGCUAGUUGAGCUCCAGUUGUAAUGUGAUGAACUGAAAUUUGUCUAUUUUCCACUUGGUCACGGACAAAAUGAAAGUCAAUUGCGACAUGUUUCAUUCGACUGUGAAAAACUGGAUUACGACAUAGGUAAGUGACACCAAUGUUAUCGCAAAAAAGCUUAGGAGGACAAGGCAGCUUGACCCGAAGUUCUUGACGUAGGUUGGUUAACCAGUUCAACUCAGCUACAGCACUUGCUACAGCCUUGUAUUUUGCCUCUGUGGAAGAUCUGGCAACAGUGCGUUGCUUGUUGGAGCACCAACUAAUGGGAUUCUUUCCAAGAAAAAUAAUAUAAGCAGAAGUGGAGUGUCUAGUGUCGGGAAUACCACCCCAAUCUGCAUCUGAGUAGGCGAGUAACUGAGAAGAGUUGCCAUGUUUGAAGUGAAGUCCAUAGGUUAUCGUUCCUUUCAUAUAACGAAGAAGCCUCUUUGUUGCUUGCCAAUGUUUAGCUGAUGGAGAGUGUUGGAAUUGCGCGAGCUUGUUUACUGCAAAGCAUAUAUCAGGCCGUGUGAAGCUGAGGUAUUGCAAUGAGCCAAUGACCUGCCUAUAAAGUGUAGCGUCUGCUGAAGGAGAACCGUCAUCCAAGGAUAAAACAUCACUUGUGGACAGAGGAGUGCUCACUCUGUUUGCAUCCAGCAUAUUGAACUUGCUGAAUAUGUCCACAAUGAAGCUACUUUGUGUGAGAGUCAAUCCAUGAGCAUGCUGUAUAACUCUUACUUACUUGAAAAGGCACCAAUUAUUUUUAUUUGCCCUGAAUGGACUAAACACCAAUAUCGAAACAUUGAAAUGAAACUAAUUUAUAGCGACCUAACUCUAGCUGAGAAGCACCAUCCACCUACAUUCAUUUUUCAUGUGUAAAAAUUCCGCUCAACCAAUAUUUGAGAUCCUUUCUGAUUCACUCACCAGAGAACGUGCCAAACUGACCGAUAAACACUCUAGCUUGACAUAUACCAAAUGUUUAGUAUUAGGACAUGAUAAGAUAAGACAAGCUUGUGUUUGAAAGACACAUUUUAUACGAGAUCAAGUGUCUAACUGGUCACUUCAUAAGUUUUUAUGACUACGUAACUAGACGUGUCAAGUUUAAGGGGCUAUCUGAGUAUUUAGCCAAAAAAACGAAGAAGUUAUAUAUGAACAAAAGAAAACAGAUCCAAGUAUGAAGCUUUCGAUUCUUAAUUAUAUCCAUAGACAAUGAAUAAUAGUAACUUUAUUCAUUUCGAACUCCUAUUGCAAUACAUCAAUAGCUAUGGACUAUGGUUUACAAAAUACUUAAUCAGAAAUCGACAAGACAUGCAUAAAACAUGUUUCUUCCUUGAACAAAAAUUCAACAAAGGAUAAGAACAUAGUCCUUUUCUCUGUUUUUGUUUGUUUGUUUUUGCCUGAGUUCAACUAGUUGUUGAGCAAGAUUUGAUAUAUACGUACGUAAACUAAUAUUUGACCUAUAUGUAUACACACAAUAUAAUUUUUCGGCAAAAGGUGAUGGUUGUAGCUCCGCGUCUACCUAUAUAAGAGAUUUGACUAAAAAAAAUGCUUUUGUGUAAAAUCACAAGAAAUCUUACAUUUUAAACUUUAACUUAUUACUGAAAGAUAUUGUUAAGAAUUUCUACACUAGUUAGGUAAGACUCGGGGCCGGAGCUAGGAUUGUGGUUAUGGAUUUGGCAGAACCUAGUAACUUUUAGGCUCAAACUCUAUAUUUUUGUUUUAAAUCUGGUGAUGCAUUUGCGAUGCACCAGGUCCAUGAUCUGCACUACAUAUAUCGAAUUUUCAGUCGACUUCAACUUAUAUAAACCAACAAUGUAAUGAAAUUUUACACUAUAUCAGAUCGACACUAUUUUCUGAUUUGCCCUCGAUUUGUCAAGACUAAACCAUAUCAUAUAUACGCGAAAGUUACUCCUAGUCCCAUUUGUUGAGAAUAUAAUCAAAUAAUAAAAGUGUGCUCUCUCUAACAGCUUAAGCUUUUAGAUGAGAUGGCCACACACUUCAACAUGGUAUCAGAGCAGGCAGAGGUCCUGAGAUCAAAUUUCACCGCCACCCAAAUCAAAAAUAAAUAAAUCACGUGUUUGGCCCAUGAAAAAAGAAUCAGGCCCACUGCUUAUAGAACCACACAUGAGAGGAUGCAACAAGAAAAAUACAAAUAAAACGAAAAAAUUCUCAAGUGAAAUAGGAAAGUAAAAAAAAAUCUUCAUUUCUCGUUCGACUAGGUCCUUUUUUUUUUGUCUAUGAUGAUGUUUUGACUGAGCAAAUUACAUCUUCUUGCACCGAUGGCGAAAAAAGAUAUAUGAAAAAAAUUAAUCAUCCAAAUUGUGAUACAUAUUUAGAGCAUUGUCAAAUCAGAGUCAAUCAGUCAGUGUAUACAAGUUAAACUCUUAUUAUAAGUUAACAGCUCGACAUUGUUUCCUGAUUUCCCCUUGGUUUCCGGUGAGCACCUCUACCGCCCCAAGCUUGUUCAUGGCCACGCCGAAUUUGUUAAACCAUCCCACUUCAUCAUUACUAAAUCUUUGGACAAAUCCCCUUGUUCUUAUAUCUUGUGUCAAAACUUGAUCGGAUUCGAGUAAGCCUUUUUUCAUCAACAAUUGCUUGUAAAAUACUGAGUCCAUUUUGUAUUGUGUUGUUGCAUCAAACGCUAUUGUACUCAUUUGGCUAGUACAUGUAAAUUUCAUAACACCACCAAGUCGCGGAUCAACCAUUUGCGCCUUCUCGGGUGUGUCCAUUCGAUAAAGAAAGUUGAAACAAUGAGCUACUCCAAUUGAGUGUGCACCAAUUAAGACAACUAAAUCUUCAGCAUUUAGGCCUUUUCUGUUGAAAAGUUGAAUCAUUUGGUCUACUGUAUCAUCAGGCAAUGGGAGGUUGCCAACGACGUUUUCUACGCGCGAUUCCAUGCCAUCACGUCGGCCACCAGACACCUCGUAAUGCGGGAGUCCCGAUGCAACAAAGGCGUCACGAGAUAAAUAGGCUAAAACAUCAGAGCACGAGACAAUGCCCGGGCAGUUCUCUUCGAGUUCUGCUUUGAUCUCGUCAAUGAGUUCAAAUCCCUUGACUGUAAUGCCAUUUGACGGAGAUAACUUCUCUACUUUCCCACCACUUGGUGUUGUAUCGAGAAAUAUUGACCCGUCGCAACCCUGUAUAUAUGAUAAGUUACAUACACUAACAGUAUAAAGAAUUUUUAUGAUCAUCUCUGUAAUUUAAUAUGUUUUUGUAGUAAGUUAUCAAUGAAUUUUUAUUAAGUCUUGAGUUGUCAUUUAGAUGACCUAAAUAUUUCUUACAUCGCCUGUGUAUAAAACUUAAACUCUAUUUUCAUGGUUGCAAACAUCAAAAUUAAAGAUUGUCUUAGGAUAUGUUUGGUAUAUAAUAAAGGGAAAAAGGACAAAUAUAUCCCAAACAAUCGUAAAUAGUAUGUAGAUACCCUUUGUCAUACUUGCCGUUCAAAAAUUAGAGCAUAUAUGUCCUUCACUCUAACCGAAGACACUAAAUAGGGACACGUGGCACAAUCUUAUCCGUCGAUUCGAUAUUUAAUAAAUGUCGGGUCGGUGGAUAAGAUUAUGACACGUGUAUGUCCGUUAAUAUAACGGGUAUAUGUGCUCUAGUUUUUGGACGGCAGGGACCCCAAUGUUCCAAAAGUAUAACGGAGGAUAUCUGCAUACCAUUUACAAUAGUUCGAGGGUAUAUUUGUCCCUUUUCCCUAUAAUGAAAUAUUUUUCGAAAGAUAAUAGUCAUUUUCUGGUGUUUGGUUGUCCUAAACUAUUUUUCACCUAAAGAUAAAAGAAAAUCAUUUACUUUUCUUCAUCAAUUCUCUCGAAUGCUAAUAUACUUAUCAAUUUUUCGCUCUCUUUAACCAAACACCUGAAAUAUUUUUUUUCAUUUUCCGAAAAAAUGUGCAAAAUAUUUUUUUAGAAUUUAUGAAUAAUUGCGUAGAGUGGUGAGGAACUUACCUUGACAAAGCAAUCAUGCAAGAAAAGUCUAGGGAUGGCAGCAGCAAUAGUAGAGUCAUUUUGAAAGGCUCUAGUUAGGCCAUUUUUGAUAAUUUGCUCUGCUUGAGGACAUGUAUUUUGAUAAAAUCCCUCUCUUAAUCCACCUAAAAUCUCUGGUUGUUCGUGUUCUUCUGUAAUCGGAUCUACGUUAUAUCCAGGAAAAACAUGUGGAUAUCCAUGGUGGCCACCUCCUAUUAGGGGAUGCUCAAAAUUGAAAGCCUCAAAACCGUGUUCAUGAGACUUCAUUUCCUUUUUGUUCUUCUUGUUCUUAUUCUUAUUCUUGUUCUUAUUCGACUUUUUCUUUUCCUUUAAGGACCUUUCGUUCCUUGUCUCAUAAUUUGAGCUAGGAAUCGCGAUGUCAUUGACAUUGGCAUGAACAACAUUGUUAUUGUCACCAUGGAUCGUUACGUCUGUCUUACUAGAAUCAUGUUCUAGAAAUUCAGGACGAUGAUUGGGAAAUGAUGAGGCUAGCAAAGGUAAUAGGAUCGCGCAAACUAGUAAAAUAGCUGCAAAAAUCCCAACCUUAGCUGCCAUAAUUUGUUUAAGGUGAUAUGAUGAUAAAUAUUUGUUCAAUUUGAGCUUUUUUGGAUGGUCUUAUAAAUAAAUAAAUUUUAGAGAACAAAAAAAAGGCCUUUUAGGUUAUUGGUGGUAAAGAUCUUUCUUGUUAGUUAUUUCAGUUAAGGAAAUAAAUGGUUAAAAUUUUGAGAACCAAUGAAUUCAAUUUAACUAAUUAAAGAGAAAUUUCACCCUCACAAUAGGGAGUUCCUUAUAAACUUCUUUAAAGUUUUUUAUUGGAAAGGAAAUGGGCGGAAAAUACUUCUGAACUAUUCGAAUUAGGUUAAUUUUACCCUUCGUUAUGUUUUUUAGUCAAAAAUGUUCACGUUGUCGGUCAACUAGCUUAAAAAUGCGCUCUAACUAGUCAAAUAGUUGAAAAAUAUAUGAUUAUACUAACGGUUGCUCCAAAAUAAGGAAAAAAAAGUCGUUUUUAUUUAGUCAAGUCCCCUAAAGGUCUCUCCUUCUCUCUCCCUUUUAUUCAGAAGAAAAUUCAAGAUUUUAACUUUAUGGAUUCGACCUCUUUUAUUAGUGGACUCGCUAUACUUUUAAAAUUAUGAGUUUGGAAUCUAACAUUUGUUGUUUCACGCUCUCACAAAUACUGGUGUUGAUCGAACCCAUAGCAUUACGGAUACAUCCACCACCCGCCGCAUGUGGAUGAGGAGGGUCUACUUUUUCUUUACAUUUAGUUGAUACUAUUAUGAGAUAAUGGUCAAAAACACACCUCAACUAUCGUUUUGUCACGGGUUUCAUACAUUAACUAUCAAUUGUUUCCUUUUCCGACCUGAACUUCACCAUGUACUCAACUAGGUGUUUAUAACACAUAGAGUGUUAUAGUUCAAAUAGAAAAGGGGGAACAAUUGAUAGUUGAGGUGUGAGACUCGCGAGAAAGAUGCAUCACAAAGUUGAAAACUUGAAAUCACUAUUCAAGGAUAGUAAUCAAUCCCUUGCAAGACAUUUACAGAAUUGAGAAGAAGAAAAUCAUCAUAGAAAAUCAUUGAGUUUAUUGUGAAAGUAGAAAAUUUUCCUUGUGGAAUUCUAUAUUCAUCUUUUUACAGCAAAUCAAGUGUCACUUACAUCUCUAUUCAAGUCACAUCCCCCCCCCCCCCCCCCCCGAAGACCCCCCCCCCCCCCCCCCCCACAACAGAGUUACAAAUUACAUACAGACGAACAAUGUGAGAGACAUUGACCGUAAAAUCCAUUUCAAUUGCGAAAUAGAUUUUCGUCAGUGUGUAAAACAAUUACAAAGAAUGUGAUAAUGCAGAAUUUUAUAAACCAAUGAGAGAAGUAUCUUGCUGACUAUUCAGGAGGUACUUGGUUUGGCAGUGUUGUUGUCUUUCUUAAGACAUGUUUCCUGCAGCGCUCGAAUAUGCUGUCAUAGAUCAAAUCAAAUUGAACUCCAGCUCUUUCGCGAUUCACAACGAAAAGAAUGUGGUCGCCUUCUAUAAUUUUAUAGUACCUGCACAUGAGAGGAAUUAUCAAUACUGCUGCCUUAAACACCAUCAUAUCAACACGAGUGAUAACCUGAUUGGCAUGUGUUGCUCAGACUCUCCAAAAUGUUGUUGUACCCGUAUUGGAUCCUUAAAAAUGCACUACUUAUGGAAGACCCGACACACAUCCAAGCCAUCAUUUUUAAAGAGUCCGAGCAACAUAGGAUGUAUCCAUCUAAUUGAUAUCGGUACCUAUGGGGAAGGUAGAGUGUAUGCAGACCUUACCCCUAACUUGGGAGCUAGAGAGGUUGUUUCUGAUAGACCCUCGGCAUAAAUGUUCACUAAAAUCUGACACCAAAAUGAGUAAGGUCACAAAACUAAUGCCACCUUCACAUGAUAUCAUAUUACUAGAUUCUGCUCUGAAUUUCUAUAGAAGUAUGAUCGAUGCUACAUUGAAUCCUAAUGAGAAGAAAGGAUCACAUUCGAGUUAAGAUUCCUCUCACAAUGAAAAGAUGGCUAUAACAAUGGCUUAUCAUAAAACAAAAUUCCAAAUUUCCAAAACCUCAAUUCUUGAUAACCAGAAAAACUAUGACAUGAAUGAAGACAAUAACAAUGAGAACUGUCUAGUUUAUCUAUGGACACAGAAUUAGAAGAGGAACUCUAUAUUGGUAAUUUUUCUAAAUAAAUGCAAGAGCAGAAUCUGACUGGUCACCUACCAGAUGCCGGGUUGCAAUGGCUGGCAAUCAGAAUCUUUAAUAACAAGGCAACUAGGGUGUUCAACCGGCAAACGAGGGUGUGUCAUAGAUAUGGUGUUGAGAGCACCGUCAUUGUCCCACCAAUCUUCAUCCCUGCAUGUAUUAGAUGAAAUAAAAACAAUGAGAUGAUGAAAAAAGUUAUUGCUAGUAUUGAAUCAGUUAUUUGUCGUUCCAUAAUGCUUCUGCAUAUGAUGAUUACAUAUAUAAUUUUGAUUGAGAGUACUUAAUGGUGCAUUUGAGUAACUGGUUUUGAAAAUUGUCAGAUAUUAAACUUAUGACUCUAAACUGAUCAUAAACAGAUUGUUCAAAGGAUGAAAACCUACAUCAUACUAAGGAAAUUAAGCAAAAAGUCUUGAGGUACUAAAAUUAGGAGAACCGGAAAUCAACUGAAAGUGAUGUUACAAGAUCUCUAUUUUGGCACAGUGUACAUCAGUCAUUCAUGUAAAUCUACGAACUAGUCUAACAACCCACAAGAACUUGUCAUGAGAAUAUAACCCCAUGGGGGUAGGAUCUCAGUGCAAAGCAGCACGGCAUAACACACAGUCCCUCAAUUACAAUACUCGAUGCUUCAGAAAUUUUUUACUAACGGAGUUUCAAAAUUUUGCUGACUCAUUAGAAAUUAGACUGAAGUGUAUAGGGCUUGUACUAUAAUGUAUCUUCAUCUAUCUAAGUAGAUUGGCAACAGAGGAGUAAUAGACACUAACCUAUAGCCCUUAUACGGAGGAGAAACAUCUUGAGGAUGCCGCCAUUGGCUCAUUUGCAGGACUCUAAUGAAUAGCAGAGGAUGUAUCCCUCGAAUGCCAGAAGGAACUGCAAAACCCGUAACUUUUGUGGUAUGCUUGGUAGCAUAGCUGAAGUAGUAUGUUUGCGGAAAUGUACGUAAGUGUCUGUUCAACUUGAUUGACCCCUGGAUGGUAAGAUCAGGAAGUAUCCAGUCCCCUGAAGCAAAUGGACCAGCAUUCCCUAAAAGGUAAUCAAGAAGACCCCGGAUACCAACUUUCCCCCAGGUCAUACUGAAGUGAUCAAACCCAAAGUUGUAAUAGUCCUUCAUCCAAGGAAUGUCGAGCCACUCAUAAACUAUUACUCCAAUGCGGCAAAGUUGGAGCAAACUUACAGGCAUUAUCGACUUCUCGUCUUCAGGUCUGUAGAAGAAUACAGUCAAAUUCAGUAAAAUGCAGUUUUACAAGUCUAAGUAAACUGGUCAAAACAUGAAAUUUAAGAAAGCUAAAAACAGAUGAUAGCGUUGACUGUAGAAUUCAUGCAAAUCAUCAUAAUGUAAUGGAGUAAUUACAUGUUCUGUGCAUUGGGUGCCUCCUCAAGAACUAUGUACUCAAAAAUCAUAUAGGAAAUCAAAGCUAAAAACAUGAUAUAUUAACUCAGAGCUCGAUCAAUAACUAAGAACUAUCAGAAACUUACUGCAUUCCAUCGAAGUAUGUCCUGGUUGUCCCGUUAAGUGCUCCAGAUAAUGAUGUUAUGCUUAAGAUCCAGUUCUCUGAAGUGUUCUCAUAACCCUUGAAUGCCUAUCACAGUAAGCUUGAGGUUAACAUCGAACAGGUUAUUUUAGAUGUCACAAUUUUUCAAUUGAACGUGCACUAAUUUACCUUGUCAGCCAGCAUCUGGUGCAGAACUCGAACAACCUGUGCUCCAGCUGAAUGCCCCACAAAAUGAAUAGGGUGAUCUUCAUCCCACUCGGGGUAGUGCCCUGCUUCAUGUUUUGUUAAGUGAGGCAUUGAUCCAGAAAUAUGGAAAUGCGAUAGUCCUUUAAUGGCUUAGUUUGACACAAAGUUUAAGAAAGAAAGAACGAUUUUUGAAACAUGCAAUCUUAAACAUGUCAUAACACUUGUGCGUCUAUAAAAAAUUGUCAUUCAUUAGUAUAAAGUGAAAAGUUCAAGUCAAAUUGUUUCAAAAUUUACAAAUGUGUAGUCAUUUUCAUAGCGGACUUAUAAGGAAAUAAUAUCAUUGGGAGUGAGUAAUAUAGAUGAAGUAGAAGAUUUUGACCUUGUUCAUAAACUCGUCCAAAUUGGGAAUGUCCACAAGCCUUACUGUGUUCCUCCCCAUAAUCAACCUGCCCUCCUUUCAAAUAAUAGAACAAUCCACGAGCCCUGAAAUCUAAAAUCCAUCAAUUGUUGCAAAAACUAUAGAACAAGAAGCAAUACUAUAACUAUUGACAUAUGUGGCAAUCUCAUCUAAAAGUUUAAGCUAUUACGGAAAGCACAUUUUUAUUUAUUUAGCUAUGUUUUCAAAAAGCCCAUCACGUACAAGAGCUCGUUGUUCAAACAACUUUCAGAGUUCCUAGAGCUCCUCGUAAGGUUAGUAGGAAAACCCGUUUGGUUAGGUGUAUUAUUAUUCAUAUGAAGUGGAUAGCUCAUCCUCAAAAACUAAUUCAUGAAGUGAACAGCUCAUCCUCAACCAAUAUGCGACGCUUAACAAUAACACAAUAUAGCAAAGAGAAGAUAAUCAAGCAUUAAACCAAAAAAAAUAGAAAAUAUUCACCUGUCAUAUAUGCUAGUUAGCGAACCCAAAUCUGGAACAAGAACCUUGUCAUCCCUUUUCUCUGCACCAGCAAAAUACGAAAGUCCUCCCAAUCUCUACAAAAAAAAAAAAUUACAUUUCCAAGCCCACAUGACAAUAAGAACAAAUAAAUGUAGCAUCUGUAUAGGGAAGAAAAAAGGGUCAAAGUUCCCUCUAUAUUAUUCGAAAUUGAGCAACUUUAUACUCUGGAGCUAUACAAAGGUUUGAUUUUUACCUUUAACCCCUAACGGAACUCCAACUUGAGUAAUUUAAAACCAUAAUCAAAGCAUAAAUUUUGACCCUUUUUCUCGAAGAAUUUGAACACGUGGAGUUCACUCAUUUCAAGCUAAAGCUCCAGUAAAGACAAUGGCAAAUACGAGACUGAUUUGUUAAUGACAAGACUAUGAAUGAACCAAAUGUGUGAACAGAUGACAAAAUUGAUCAAUUUCCUAUACUACAUGGACAAAUUAGGAAAAAAGCCUGAAUAAAUUUUGAUCCUUUUGAUCAAAGAAUUUGAACACGUGGAGUCCCCUCAUUUCAAGCUGAACUCCAUUAAUGACAAUUGCAAAUACGAGACUGAUUUGUUAAUGACAAGACUAUGAAUGAACCAAACGUGCAAACGGAUAAAAAAAUUGAUCAAUUUCCUUUUCUACAAGGACAAAUUAGGGGAAAACCCAAACAAAACAACAACAUACACAGUAUAAUCUCACAAGUGGAGUCCACUCAUUUCAAACUGAAACUCCAUUAAUGACAAUUGCAAAUACGAGACUGAUUUGUUAAUGCCAGGACUAUGAAUGAACCAAAACGUGCAAACGAAUAACAAAAUAGAUCAAUUUCCUAUUCUACAACGACAAAUUAGGGGGAAACCUAAACAAAACAAAGUAUAAUCUCACAAGUGGAGCAUGGAGAAGGUGAUGUAUACGUAGCCUUACCCCUACCUUGCGAAGAUAGAGAGGUUAUUUCCGAUAGACCCUCAUCUCAAGUGAAGCAAAAAAGAGAAAAGAACACUAGCAGCCACAAAUAGUACAACAAACAAAGCAAAGAAAACAACAGGUAACACUAAAAUCGAAAAAUACUAGUAAUAGAGGAAAACCCCAAAUGUGAAAAUGUGAAAAGGGGCAUUUACCCCUUUGCCAAAACCAAAGAUUCCAUGAACCAAAACAAUAGGAGGCAAAUCAUUUGAACUCUUUAUCUCUUUGUUACCCUCAAAUUUUGGCUUGAAAAUCCAAUUGUUCACUGACUGAGAAACAUCACCGGCGACGGCUGUGCUAAAUAAGUAAAACCCAUAACUCAAAUGAACCAAAGAACUCACAAAUAGCUCUGUCAGUUGAAAUGCUGUUACCCACCAUUUCACUAUCAUUCUACAGAUCCUUAGUGGAAAUUUCUCAAAAAAAAAGUUGUAAAAAUGCUCAAAUUGAGAGAAAACAAGAACACCCCACAACUUUUUGAAGCCCCUAGAAUGAAUUAAAACAGAAAAAAAUGGAGCUUUUGUUUCUUCAAAAAUGGUGAUUCUUGGAAAGAGGAGAAAGAAAUGAAGAAAAACACGUUUGGGUUUCCAUUUCUUUGGGGUUUUAUAGAGCUUGUUGAGAAUUGUUUCCACCACUUUCACGUUUCCAAAAUUGACCAAUCAAAUCCUUGCAUUUGUUUGGAUUGUCGUGUUAUAUUAUAUCGUAUUGUAUUAUAUUGUUAUUAUUGUGAAUAUAACGUGUGUGUAGAUCUUUUGUUAUUUUGAUAUGUUUUACUUGACGCGAGCGUCAUUCAAAAAUAGUUGCUCUAUACAGUAUCCUCAUCAUAUCCCACUUGUGUGAUAACACUAAAUAUAUUAUUGUUAUUAAAUUUUAUACUCCCUCCGUCCCUAUUUAGUUGUCCAUAUUUUCUCUUUUAAUUGUCCCUAUUUAGUUGUUCAUUUUGACAAAUCAAGAAAGGACAACAAUUUUUUUCUUAUUAUACCCUUAUUUAAAUAAAGUUGUCAUAAAUAAAGUAAAUAAACUUAUGAACUUCCCAACAUUGAUUAGUUGUCUUGAGUUAAUUUAUUUUGAAAUUAUAAAUUGUACUAUAAGGGUAAAAUUGUAACUUCACUAUGCUAAUCAUUGUUGCCUUAAUCUGUGUGUCAUUUCUAAAGUGGACAACUAAAUAGGGACGGAGGGAGUAUUGUGUAAUGAUAAAAAAAAAAAAAAAGUCAUUAUAUGGAAUGAUCACGUUGUUCUCCUGUUUUUUUCUCAUCUUGUCUUAUUUGUUUGUACUAGCGGUAGAGUAAGAUUUUUCUCUAAGAAAUGUCAAAAUAUAAAGAAGUAAAUCUACGAAGAAGUCAAGGGGUGGAAGUAUUUUAUCAUGCUAUAUAGUACUCCCUCCGUUUCACAAAGAAUGACCUCCUUUCCUUUUUAGUCAGUUUCAAAAAGAAUGACCUCUUUCCUUUUUUGGUAACAUUUUACUUUUUACUUUCCACGUGACAUAUUUAAGACCACAAAAAUUAAGGACAAUUUUGUACAUUUGACAUAACUUUAAUUUAGGACCACAAGAUUCAAAAGUCUUCUUUAUUUACUUAAACUCCGUGCCAAGUCAAACCAGGUCAUUCUUUGUGAAACGGAGGGAGUAUAAUUUUUCGACGAAGAGAUGUCGAUUGAGACACCUUAAGUAUUGGUGGCUCUGCCACUGGUUAGUACUUUAUUUGUCUCAAUUCAUGUGUCAUAAUUUGAAUUUUGAGAGUUAAACUUGUUAAUAAAAUUUAGAAAUACUCAUUUGACUCUCAAAAUUUAAAUAUUAUUACGUAAGUUAAGACGGAUAAAAUAUUUUGAAAAUUUUAUUUUCCCUUUUAACAUUUAGGGAGGGAAACAGUACAAUAACAAAGAGAACCAAAUUAUUAGUUAUAGAUUUGGAUUACAAUCCAAAGAUUAUGCCUAAAAUCUAGUGCAAUGAUUGAUUUUUAAGGUUUAUAGUUUUUGCAUUAUCCAAAAGACACCAUACAUAAACACGUUUUUUUACUUGGCUUCAGUUGACACAUUUGCCCUUCAACUUUGAUAUGCAUAAGUCGAUACUUAAAUUUAUAUAAAAUUGAAUAAGUAGACACACGCGUUCUACGUGACAUAAUACACGUAGAACACCAUAGGUGACACAAAAUUGUCAUGUAGGACGUCACGUAGGAUAAAUGUGUCUAUUUAUUUAUACAAGUUUAAGUGUUUACUCGUGCAUAUCCAAAAUUAGAUGAUAUAAAUAUCAUCUGAAGCUAAAUUAAAGAAUACGUUUAUAUAUUAUACAAAUCCAAAGUUUAGUCAUAAGAGGCGCAUCAAAAUGUGAACUUCAUCGAUUUUUACAACAACCUCACAUUAAUAUAAUUAUACUAAUAUUUUAAUAAUUAUAAAAUAUUAAAAAUUAAAUAUUCAUAAAGUUUAUGUCAAUAUGUCUCGAAACUUACAUCUUGACUCAUGUAUCAAAACUCAUGAAUCCUUUUAAUUGAGUAACCAUCCCAAAUUGAAAUUAGUAGCGUAAUUUUUUUAAUUAUAUACCGUAUUUACAAUAAAUCAAUAAAUAUAUAAAUUUAGUUAAGAUCAAAAAAUAUUUGGUCGUUGAAAUACCAUUGUUAUACUUGUACACUAAAUUAAUACUUAUCUUUUUUGUGAAUACGAAGGAGAAUUCAACUUUGAUUUUGAGAAAUUCAAUUAAUCUACUUCAAGUUAUCAACUUGGCAAAAUCAAAAUGAAAUUUGAAUGAUCCUAAAAUUAGUUGACCUGAAAAAAAUACAUAAGGAAAGCAAAGGAAAUUUAUGAGUGUGGUAAAGAGCUGCCUAAAAUUGUGGAUGUCUUUUUUUGUUUCAAUUUAUAUGAUACAUUUUUUCUUUUGAAAAUUAUAUAAUUUUUGCAAGUCAUCUCAUCUUUAAUGACAUGAUUGGUUGAAAUUUUACCCGGUCAAUACUACUCAUUUAAAACAAAAAAACAUGUGGAAUUCUUCAUGAUAUAUUUUUGUAAAUUUGGCAUACAUAUCAAAAGUCUUAGGUCUCAUUUAAAACAAAAAAACAUGUGGAAUUCUUCAUGAUAUAUUUUUGUAAAUUUGGCAUACAUAUCAAAAGUCUUAGGUCUCAUUUAAAACAAAAAAACAUGUGGAAUUCUUCAUGAUAAUAUUUUGUAAAUUUGGCAUACAUAUCAAAAGUCUUAGGUCUCAUUUAAAACAAAAAAACAUGUGGAAUUCUUCAUGAUAAUAUUUUGUAAAUUUGGCAUACAUAUCAAAAGUCUUAGGUCUCAUGUAUCUGUUUUAAUAAGAUUUAGACGUCUGAAUUUGAAUACAUAUUUAAGUAUUACGAUGUACAUAAAGAUUUAGAUAUCUAAAUAUAACUAUUUUAAUAUUGAGAUAUUAUAUUAAGAUCUGAAUAUUGAAUAAUCAAAAUUGUUUGUAAACAUUUGAAUAUAUAAAUUUUAUAUUUUUAAGAGAAAUUAAUAAAUAGUAAAUUUAAUAAUACUGUAUUAAUCUAAUAUAAUAUUAAUAAAAAUAUUUUUUAAUAAUUAUAUGGNNNNNNNNNNNNNNNNNNNNNNNNNNNNNNNNNNNNNNNNNNNNNNNNCGGUUGGAGAUGGUAAGGGCUAGUGGUAGUGGUUCUUGUGGGUGUUGGAUUGGGAUGGUGUCGGAUAAUGAUGGUAUUAUAGUUAUGUAAUAGCUAGUGGUAUUGGUGGUUGGCAAUUGUGAUUAAUAGUUGUAUGUAAUGGAUGAUAGUAAUAACUAAUAAUGGUGAUAAUUGUCAGUAGUGAUUGGUGAUUGUUGUGGCAAUAAUGAUCGGUGUGAUGAUUGUAAAUGGUAGCUAAUGAUGAUGACGACGGAUUGUAGUGUUUGAUAUUUGAUAGCAAAAAUGGUGGUGGUUGUGGAUGAUGCAUAGUGGUGAAUGAUGAUGGUUAGUGAUAGUGGUACAUAAUAGUUGAUAAUAACGAACGAUGACAAUAGUAUAAACAAGUGAAAUUGAUGAAUUGUUACCUUUGUAGAAAUUUUUGAAAACACAUCUUAAUGAAACUAAUAUUUGAUACAGAUCUAAAAAUAAAUAAAUCUAAUGACUGAGCUCAUAAUAAUUAAGAUUAUGAUUAUCAUUAAGUGCAGAUAAUAAAUAAAAAUAAUUUGACAAUAUAAACAUUUUCUUAUACUAACGAUUUAUAUAUAAGUCAAACACAUUAACAAAAAAAAAAUGGAUGAUUGAAUCCAAGUCUAAUUGGCUGACAUUGUUGAAGUCAUACCACUUUAUGCAUAUGUAGCAUGUGCUUUUAUUAAAUAACAAUAUAAAAUGAUAAUCAUAAGAAAAAUUGUUUUUUAUUCAUAGUAUAAUUACUAUUUAAGUCAAUAAUCUACAUUAACUAAUCAAUAGAUUCUCCUCGUAUUGUUUGAAACUAAUUAUAUUAUUAAUCAAUUGUUCAACAAUGAUUAUUCAACCCUACCUUUGAUUUUGAAGGUUUGAGUUAAAUCUAAUAAUUAAAAUAAAAUACUGAUACUGAUAUUAUAAUAUUGGAUAUCAAAUUAGGAAUAAUUUAGAUCAUUUUCGAAGCAAAAAUAUGUUGCUCAAAAUUCGACCACAAUAAGUUACGACGAUCAAUUCGAAUUAUUAGAUUUGUAGCCAAUUUUUGGUUAUUGUCAAGAUUUGUGACUAGACAAUCUGAUGAAUUUUAUGUCGAUCCACCAAAAUUAUCAAGAUUUGAUAGUUAAUAUUUGACGAUCGUUGAGAUUUAUGACAAAAAAAUAUGACCAAUUAUCAAGAUUUGGUAGUUAGACUUUGAGUUUGUUCUUGGACCUCUAGUUGGGCUUCUCUUAAUUGAGCCCAAAAUCAAGUGGGCCAGUCCAUACCAAAAUCAAAGCACCUUUCAAAGGGGUUCCAAAUUUCAAGCAACAGAAUAAAAAGUUCAAAAAUGUAAUAUAUAUAUAUAUAAAAAAAAAAUUAUUCCUAUGUAUACAGUGUAAUUUCUCGACUAGCUCCGUUACCACCAAGGAUUUGGUGAAAUUCCUUUACCCUUAAUUAGAAAUAUUGGUCUUAAGUUUGCGGAUAAGAAAACCCUGGUACAGAGCGUUUCCCCUUCGGGAAUGUCAGGAUUAAUUAUGAAUUUUGAACUUGCCAUCAAAUUCAUAGCAUGAUUUAAUUAUUGGGUUACCUCCAUCUUCAGUAAGAGAUCUCGAGUUGAAGUUUUGAGAAUGAACAAGUCUCUGAUAGAGACACCUUCCUCCAAAGAAGAAGUCAGUAUAUGAAGUUUAUGAAUUCUAUGACUAACGUGUAAAUUAAGUUGAUAAAAGAAACUUCUACUAUCAACAAAAACUUCUUGACUUUCUACAACAUGCAUGUAAUGACCUAAUUAAAUGCAAUUCCUUGGACCCUCAAAUGGAAUAAUAUUUACUUCCUUCAUUUCAUUUUAGGUAUUUUUAUUUGAUUGACCAUAAAAUACUUAAAAUAAAUAAAUUGUAAUCAUAAAUUAAACAUUUGUAUAAUGUAUCAAAAUAUUUCUUGAAUUCGUGAUCUUAAAUAAUAUUGUGAGAUGCUUACUAUUUUUCUUUGUCAGAAGUGCUUUCCAAAUAAGUAUUUCCAUAGAGUAGCAAUUUGUUUUUAACUAAUCAAUUUGAAAAAACGCAUUUAUCAAUACCGUUGCCUAGUUUUUGUUUGGCAAAGAUUCCAAAGAUAUUUACUACUCCCUCCGUCCACUAUUGUUUGUCAGGAUAAGGUCAUGCACAACCCUUAAGAAAAAUUUAAUAUAAGGUGCAAUUUGAUAAUAUAGCCCUACUAUCAAUCAUUAUUAAAUGGUUUGUACUUUUUGAAAAUUGUAAAAACAACUUUUUUCAUAUUAAAUUAGUCUUGUAACUUUAAAAUGACUACUUUUUGAAAUAAGUAGUUAUGUAAUCAUUAAGGGUAGAAUUGGAAAAAAGUGACUAAUUAUUUCUUGAUUGUUUAAAUUGACAAUUAAUUUUGGACAUCUAUUUUUAGUAUACCUGACAAACAAUAGUGGACGGAGGGAGUAUUUCCAGAGAAAAUACACUUUUUUCAACUUCUUCUCUUCUCAAUAACAUUUAUUAUUUUUUCCUAAAAGUUUAACAAAACAUUCUAACUCUUUAAAAUAAGCACCUUUAAUUUUCUAAAAACUUAGCCAAACAUUCUUCAAGUAUAAAAAUGAUCUUAUUUUUUAAAACAAAAAAUAAACACGUAAAUUGAAACAGAAGUCCUAAAGAAGACUUUGAAAAUAUUAUUUUCUAGUCCACAAAAAUAGUUUACUUUGAAUAGUUAUUAAUCUUAGUUUUCUACAGAAACAAAAUAUAGUUGUUCAACAUUAAUGCACUUUAUCAUGAUUAACUAAUAAAUAAUUAAGGCCAAAACACAAAUUAAUUGAUUAUAGUUAGAUAAUACCUUCUUAAAGUGAAAAUCUUAAGCGAAUGAUUAUACACCUUUAAUAUGGUAUUAAAUUAGACACUACAACAAAAAUAGCUUUUAGUGGCAACAAAUAUACACAUUAUCAAAGAGUAAUACAAAUUUUACCAAAAUUAAAAUAUGUUUUUAAUGACUAUUCAAUUAUUGUUGUUAAAUAAUUACCGCUAAAGAUCAUUACAUCAUAACUCAUAAGUCUUGAGGUUGUCUAACAAAAAGAGAUUUGUCUAUGCUUUAAAGCAUAGAAAAAAAACCAUUUUACAUAUGAAAAUGACAUGUUAGAGACAUAAUUAAAAAAAAAUAUCUAUAUUAUAUUAUACUACUAUUAAAUUGAAGUUUAGUUGAGAUGGAUGACAACUUAGGUAAUGGUUUGUCUUUCUACCAAAACUUCUUCUUGGUCAAAGAGCUCUCUUUUGACAAGUAGAGAAUUUUUUAUAAACACAUAAAUAUUUAUGACGUUUAAAAACACCAGUUUCAACAAGCUUAUAGCCUAACAAAAUAUUUUUAGAUCACACAUUUAAAAAAGGCAUAAUACAUAAAUGUGCCCUUUAAUUUGGCCUCAUUUUACAAUUAUGUCCUCCAACUUUGUGUAUGCAUAAGUAGACACUUAAAUUUGUAUAAAAUUGAACAAGUAGACACAUGAGUCCGACAUGAUACAAUACACGUAGGACACCAUGUGAUAUGUAGGAUGUCAUUUAGGACAUGUGUGUCUAUUUGUUCAACUUUAUACAAAUUCAAGUGUCUACUUGUGCACACCCAAAGUUGAAGGGCAUAUAUGUGAUUUGAAGCCAAGUUAAAGGGCAUGUAUUAUACCUUUAAAAACUACUCAUUUUUUAAAAAAGAUUUAUGUUGAGACAAACUAUGUCAGGUUAAUUAAAAGGGAGUAUCUUGUUUUCUUUUCCUAAUACAUGGAUAGAUGUCUUAACUUGUCCUUAAUUAAUAACUAACACAUAUUUAUAAUAGGCAUAAUACAUAAACAUGAUCUGUAACUUAGUUUUAGCGGACAAUUAUGCCCUCCAACUUUGAGUGUGCACAAGUAGGCACUUAAACUUGUAUAAAACUGAACAAGUAGACACAUGUGUCCUACGUGGCAUAGUACACGUAGGACACAAAAUUGCCAUGUAAGGUGCCAUGUAGGACGAAUGUGUCUAUUUGUUCAAUUUUAUACAAGUUAAGUGCCUACUUGUGCAUAUAAAAAACUAAAGGUCAUAGUUGUCAGUUGAUGCCAAGUUAAGAGUUGUGUUUAUGUUAUUAUGUAUUAUGCCUUUAUAAUAUGACAUUUAACUUGGCUUUGUUUGACAUCUAUGCCCUCCAACUUUGGGUGUGCAUAAGUAAACACUUAAAUUUGUAUAAGAUUGAAGAAGUAGACAUACACAUCCUAUGUGGCAUAAUGCACGUAGUACACCAUGUAGACACAAAAUUUCCAUGUAGGAUGCCACAUAAGACGAAUGUGUCUAUUUGUUCAAUCUUUUACAAAUUUAACUGCCUACUUGUGCAUACUCAAAAUAGGAGAGCAUAAAUACAAAAUAAAGUUAAGUUAAAAGGGCAUAGAUCCAACUUUGAGAUUGCACGGUUAGACACCUCAACUCAUUCCCACAUCAUCCCACUUAUGUCUAAUGGGAUGUUCCUAAGUUCUAAGUGUUGCAUAUGGUAGGAUUUUUGGUCAUUCGAGUAAAUUUAUUGUCUUGAAAUAUCCUUAACGUUUGCCUUAUGGACAAAAAUUAAAAUUUCCUAAAGGAAAGACUAAUUUUAACUUUUUUUUUUUGGUUAAAGCAGGAUUUAACCCAGUUUAUUAACUCGAUCUAUUUUGAUUCGACGAUAUAAAACUUGUAGCCCCACCCAGUGGCGGAGCCACAUGUAGUUGAGGGGUGUCGACCGACAUUCCUUCGUCUCAAAAUUACACUAUGUAGCUAGAGUAAAAAUAUUUUUUAUGUAUAUAUAUUACAUAUUGACACUCCUUAACUUCUACGUGAUUUUACUUCUUUAUAUUUUAACACCUCUUAGUUAAAGUUCUGACUCCGCCACUGGCCUCACCAUACCAAUAUAAUAAGGAGGGGAAGUUUCUGUUAAAAGAGGCGCGUCCUUUCAAAGUCUUCAUAGCUGAUUUGCAACUGUUUUUUUUUUAGUCUUUUCUUUAGAAAAAAAUGCACACAAAUAAUCUUCUUUUUUUUCACUUCUUUUUUCUAGUUGACUUCUCUCACAAAUUUAUUAAUAUAAUCGACAUUUUCAUUUCCAUUUUGAUUCAUUCAUCAAAAAAUAAAAAAUUAAAAAAAUUCCCUUCUUUUUUAUACCUUCAUUUUCUCUCUGUUUCUUCAUUACUCUGUUUCUACAACUUUGACAACAGCUGAUCAGUUUGCCUCGACGAUCUCUCUUCGUCGAGUCUAAAUUCGACAAAUUCUGAGCGCUCAGUGCUCAGAGGAUCGAACUUUGUGAGUGUUGCUUUUUUUUUUCUUCCUUAUUCUGUUUUUAUCACUGAUAUGCAAAUUAUGUCUUAGUUUCUGAGCUGAGGGUCUAUCGAAAAUAGUUUCUCUACUUUCAUUAGUUAAGAGUAAGGCUGGAUACAUUCUACCAUCACUAGACUCCACUUGUGGGAUUACAUCGAGUAUGUUGUUGUUGUUGUUUUAGUGCGGAACCGUUAUUUAAUAUUGGGAAAAUGCAUAAGUACCCAAACCUAUGCCCAAAAUUCCAGAGACACACUUAUACUAUACUAAGGUCCUAUUACCCCUGAACUUAUUUUAUAAAUAAUUUUCUACCCCUUUUUGGCCUACGUGGCACUAUCUUCUGGGCCCAGCGCGUGUUGACAAUUUUUUCAAGCUAUCUGGUUGAUAGUGUCACGUAGGCCGAAAAGGGGUAGAAAAUUAUUUAUAAAAUAAGUUCAGGGUAAUAAGACCUUAGUAUAGUAUAAGUGUGUUUCUGAGAUUUCGAGCAUAGGUUAGGGCUACUUAUGCAUUUUCCCUUUAAUAUUUGUUAAUAAAAAAAAUACUUGAAAUUUUCCUAAGGAGUAAAUGAACAUAAGAGAAAACCAUGUUUCCGGUGGAUGUUCUGUCUUUAACCAGAGGUGUCGGAUUUUGAACUUUAGGAAAUAAAAGAGAAAUCUGUUCAGCUGUGUGAAAAAACGAUUGCUCAUUUCACUGGUAUUGAAGAUUUUUGUAUAAAAUCUGCAAAAAUGAAGAUUAACAAUAAUACAGUUUUGACUUAAAUUAAAUAGAACCAAAUUUUCCAUCUGAACGCUAAAUAUUUAAUAUUGUUUGUUUGCUCAACACCUGAAUAUAUAAAACUUGUCAAUAUUUAAAAAUUAAUAAACGAUAUUAUUGUUGGAUCUAACUCAACCCCAAAAGUCAGCUCAAGCAGAAAGUAUUAUCCAAGUCCAUAUAAACAGGUCUAACUCAAUGUAGGAUUCUAAUAUUCCCUUCAUGCCCGGGCCCAAACUGGGGUGUGGAUCAGGUGCCUGAACAUGAAUGAAUAUGACUUUGUUACCAUGUAAAAAUAUGACAUCUGGGCUUAACUCAAUCCCAAAAGCUAGCUCAAGAGGAGAUGGUUGCCCAAAUCCAUAUAAACAUGUCACUAGUCUAUUCCCCAACCAAUGUGCCUCGGUCCAAGAUGUGCACUCACCGAACUGGUUUGGGCCCGUUAUAAGGCUUGAACAAUCUCCUCCCUUUGACCUAGCUUUUGGAGUGUGAGUUAGGCCCAAGGCCUAAUCCAUGAAUGUGCACGCACUGGACUUGGUUGGGCUCCUUGUAAGGCGUGAACAAUCCUCUUCUCUUUGAGCUAGCUUUUGGAGUGUGAGUUAAGCCCAAAGCCUAAUUUGACAAUUACAUAAUUCAUUUAAUACUAUAUCAAGAAGAGAAGUGGUUUGUGGUGGUCUUGGGUAGUAGUUAACAGUAGUGGUUAACGAUAGUGGUUGUCAGUUGAUGGUGGUAGUUGGUCGUGGUUACGGAUAAUUGUGGUUGAUAGUAAUGAUAGCUAAUGAUGGUAGUGACUAAUAUGGUGAUUAUUGACGAUAUAUAGUAGUGACUGAUGUAAUGAUUGGUGUCUAUUUUUGUCAGUUAAAUGUUACAUCAAUUAGUCCUCUUACAUUGUUUUCUCUGUUGUACAGUUCAUUUGGCAAAAUGGAGAUACCAUCCCCUUCAAUUUUAUGUAGCCUCUUUGUUAUUGUGUUGAUCCUACUUCUACCAGAUACAUCAGUGUGUGAACCAAGAUCGCAGACCGUCCAGAUCACAUGUAGUACUCAACUCGAGCAUAAUACGACAGCUUUUGUCCCAAAUUUUGUUGCAGUUAUGGAAACUAUAAGCCAACAAAUGAGAACUAGAGGAUAUGGAGUUGCAGUUUCUGGCACUGGACCAGACACUAACUUUGGACUUGCCCAAUGCUAUGGUGAUCUUUCUUUACUCGACUGCGUGUUAUGCUAUGCUGAAGCACGAACGGUUCUGCCCCAGUGCUUCCCUUAUAACGGAGGGCGAAUUUAUCUUGAUGGAUGCUUUAUGCGAGCGGAGAAUUACACAUUCUAUGAUCAGUAUUUAGGUCCAGAGGACAGACAUGUAUGUGGAAACAGGACGACAAAGGGUACAUUGUUCCAACAGAACGCUAGGCUAGCCAUUCAGCAAGCAGUUGUAGAUGCACCGACUAAUAAUGGUACUGCACGUGCUCAAGUGUCGGUGCCUGGUCCUUCUAACGAGACAGCUUAUGUUCUCGCUGAUUGUUGGAAGACGCUGAGCGUGAAUUCCUGUGCAGCGUGUUUGCAAAAUGCAUCUGAAUCCAUGUUGGGAUGCUUGCCUUGGUCAGAAGGUAGAGCUCUGUACACUGGAUGCUUCAUGAGGUAUUCCGAUACAAAUUUUCUCAAUGCUAUUUCUGUCAGUGAAGGUUCGUCAUCAGGAGGUAAUUUUUGCUCACCUUCUGUCCUGGUUUGCCAGUUUUUUAUUGACUGAACGCGUAAUAUAUCAGAUAAGUGGUCUGUUUUUCUUUCAAAUGACGAUAUUGUAGGAAGUGUUGUUGUCAUUGUAAUCAUUGUUGUUAGCUCCAUGGUCGUAUUGGGAGUAGGUGCUGUCAUUGGUAUUUAUGUCUGGAAGAACAAACAAAUCCAGAAGAAGAGAAAAGGUAAAUCCUUUUGUGUCAAAUAUUAGUGAUUAAGUCAUUAGGAUAUCAAUGAUGAACAUGUAUUGUAUCUUUAUGAUAAUAUUUACCUGAGAAUAUAGCGCGCGAUCAUUUGCACACAACUGUACUGAAAGCAAUUUUCAAGAACUAACUCGAGGCAUUAUGGUCUACUCAUGCUUUUCCGGGAAAAUUUGAACUUUGUAGGUGCAAAUGACGCGGAGAAAUUAGUGAAGAUCCUUCAUGACAACAGCUUGAACUUCAAGUAUUCUACGCUUGACAAAGCCACAGGGUCAUUUGACGAGGCCAAUAAGCUCGGGCAAGGUGGAUUUGGCACCGUUUAUAAGGUAUGAAAUGGUUGAAAAGUUGUAAUGCAAUACUAGAAGUGUUAUGUUAAACAAAGUCCGAGGCGCGGUUUAUUGCAGGGUGUUUUGGCAGAUGGCAGAGAGAUUGCUGUCAAAAGGCUGUUCUUCAACAACAAACACAGAGCUGCAGAUUUUUAUAACGAGGUUAACAUAAUCAGUAGCGUUGAGCACAAGAAUUUGGUAAGGUUAUUGGGAUGCAGCUGCUCAGGACCGGAAAGUCUUCUUGUGUACGAGUUCCUCCCUAACCAGAGUCUUGAUCGCUUCAUAUUUGGUAAGUAACCGGACUUUGCAACAACACAACUACUCCUCGGUCCCAAAAAAGUUGGGAUCAGCUAUAUGAAUCUAUACUAUUCCAUUUAAGCAAAACUCAUUUCAUAUUUGGUUCAAAUCUUUAAAUUGACAGAUUCUAUCAAAGGUAAAGCUCUAAACUGGGAGAAAAGAUUUGAGAUAAUCAUAGGGACCACGGAAGGUUUGGUAUACCUGCACGAAAACACAAAGACACGAAUAAUUCACAGAGACAUAAAAGCAAGCAACAUCCUGUUGGACUCGAGGUUCCGUGCAAAGAUUGCUGAUUUUGGGUUGGCAAGGUCAUUCCAAGAAGACAAGAGUCACAUAAGCACUGCCAUUGCUGGCACAUUGUUAGUAUUUCUUCGUCUCGUCUUCUACUUUUGUCGCGUAAAAGUAUAUGAAAACUAAUAUGGUACAAUAUGUGCAGAGGAUAUAUGGCUCCAGAAUACAUAGCACAUGGCCAAUUAACAGAAAAAGCAGAUGUUUACAGCUUUGGAAUUCUUCUACUCGAAAUCGUUACUGGAAGGCAAAAUAACAGGAGCAAACACGUCGAAUACACAGACAGCUUAGUUUCCAUUGUAAAUUUUUAUCAUACUACAAUAUUUUCAAUCUUGAAGAACUUAUUGCAUAUUGGUCUUAACUCUUAUAUUCGAUGAAAUUAACAGGCGUGGGAGCACUUUCAACGCGGGAUAGUGGAGAAGCUGUUUGAUCCAAAUCUCAUGUUGAAUAACAACCAUACAAUCAAUGUGAAAAAUGAGGUCGCGAGAGUCUUACAUGUGGGACUUUUGUGCACUCAAGAGAUCCCAACGUUACGUCCAUCCAUGUCUAAGGCAUUACAAAUGUUCGUCAAGAAAGAUGAAGAGUUGCCUCCUCCUACUAAUCCGCCAUUCGUGGAUGAGAAAACCAUGGAACUUCACGACCCUUGGGACAAGUACUUGCUUAAACAAGGCGAUUCUGCUUCGAUUGCCAACUUAUCUCACAGUUCUUUUUACCCCAGAUGAUGAUAUCUCUGUGCUCCUGAACUGAAAGUGAUGUAAAAAUUAUAGUUAUCUCAAGCAUAUAUAUCAUUUCACCUCGUGUUCUUGUAGGAGACUUCAUCGUUAUCGAGCAGUUAGUUACAACAACAACGACAACUAUGUUUCUGUCUCAAACAAGUUGAGCUCGGCUAUUUUAGUUAAUUAAAAAAAUACAUGCAAAUGAUCUCAAUUUUUUGUUGAAGUUAUCUAAGAUUCUAUGUUAUCUUGGUAGAGGUUAAAAGAUAAACUAUGGGAUGUAACAGAAUCAAUGUAAUGCAUUUUGGGUAGAAAUAGAAUAGAUGUAAACUCUAUUUUUAUGACAAUAAGAAACAAUUAUUAUAUGUACAUUGUGAAAUCAUGAAAUGCUCAACUUUCUUUUGAUUACACGUGUUCAAGGCACAUAUUGACAAGAGGUUUAAGAUGUCAAAUCUUCAAAAACGCUUUGUCGGAAAGGUAAAGACUAAAUAACCCCAAUAUUUCAUACGUAUAGAUUUUUUUCAUAUAUAUAAAAUAAAAAUUAAUAAAUAAAUUCCUAUUUUUCAUCAUAUGUUAUAGUGAUGGUAAUUAUUAAGCAAUUUUAAUUUAUUUUUGACUUAUGAUAAGAGUACUGAUUCUUUUGUAAUAAUUUUCACAAAUUUUUUCAAAAUUAAAUGCAUUAUAAUAGAAUAUUCCUUGCGAUUUUGAUAUAUUGUAAUGCUAUUCAUUGAUCAAUUGAAAAUUAACUAUGCUAUCAUGACACUAAAAAUGUAUAUAUAAAGUGCAUAACACAAAUAUAAUGUGAUGCUAUUUAUUGAUUAAUUUAUUUGACCAAUAAUAUAAAGUUAAUAAAUAAUAUUAAAGAAUUGAAAUAAUAGAUAACGUGAUAACGAUAUGCAAAAACUAUUUGUUUUAUAAUAUUCAAAGGUUAUGCACAUGACGUUACAAGAAUAUUAUUAUAAUUAGUAAAGAUAAUGAUGAAUUUAGAAAAACAAAUUUAAAAUAAGGAUUAUUCCAUUCCAAGUGGCAGCCUAAUACCAAGGCACUUGGUAGUUUUAGAACAAGACUAAAACAAAAAAUAAUGAUUUAUAAUUAAAAAUUCAUUUAAAAAUGUCAUGACAAAAAAUGAAAGAAGAAGAAAAUAUUAUAAAUCCGUAUUUUGCAACAUAGUGCCACAUGUUAUCAUCAAGAUAAUUCUCGACUUUUCAGUUUGAAUAUUUUAAAAGAAGAUUAUCUUCAAAACAAAUAAUUUUAUAGAUAAUUAUAUAAAAAUUUGUCAAAUAAAAUUGUAAGAAACACCAACGGAAAGUUAUAUAUUAUUAAUAAUUUGCAGAUUUUCUAAAGAAAUAAAUUUAUUAAUUAAAAAAAAAACUAAAAUAUUUCAUCAAAUGUUUUAUUUUUUAAAAUCUACAUCGAUAAUAAUUUGAAAAUUAAAAUAUAUUAAACAAAAAUAACGUUAUAGACAAAAAAUAAUAAUAUCAAACACAAUUGAUUUAAUCAAAAUAAAAGAAGCAAAAGAUAUAUUUCAAAUUUUGUUUUGCUUCUUUAAUAGAAAAAAUAGAACAUUACUAAAAAAAUGGAGCAAUUUUAAUUUUGAUUUACGAUAUUUAAAUCAUAGGAGAAGACUUAAAAAUUACUAUUACUCUCAAUUUUUUCAUUUACUCUCUGCAGAUAACUAAAUUCUUACUCAUAUAAUUCUCUAUCUCAAAUUUUUUUGUUUAUAUAAUAUGCAUUAUUUUUAUCUUUUGUAGUGCCUAAAUUUUUCAUAAUUCUUGAUACUAACUAUUCAUAUGAGGAGGUUGAACACUGCAUUUAUUAUAUCGAAACGUGUGAAUAAUAAAAUAUAAAAAUAUUAUAAGUGAAUAAUAAAAUUUAUACAAUAAUUUUAAUUCUAAAAUUAUGAUAUUUAAAAAUAUCCGCACAAUGCGCGGGUAUAAAUACUAGUAGUAUAAAAAGCCACUUUGAUAAUUUUCAUCAAUAAAACAAAUUUUACUUUCUUUUUUAUUCCUUCAUCUUCUCCUCUUUUAUCUCUGUUUCUACAACUUUGACAGCAACUGAUCAGUUUUCACCGGCGAUCUUUCUUUUCCGAUUCAAAAUUCCGGCGAAAUCAGAUCGACCAGUGCUCCGAAGGACUUUGUAAGUUUUGUUUCCUCCUACUUAUUCUGUUUUCAAUUUUAUACAAGUUAAAAUGAUAUAUAUAUAUAUUUAUUUAUUUAUUUAUUUAUUAUGCAUUUUGCAAAGUGUUUUGUUUUUUUGGAUAAGGCACAAUAAUCCUAGAUUAUGAUCGAAAGCUUAAAGAAACACUUUAAUUAAAUUAUGGUCCUAUUACCUCCAAACUAAUUUUUUUUGUAAUUUUAUACACUUUUUAGCUUACAUGGCACACUCCAUGACUCUACGUAGUUGAGGCGUGUGGGAGAUGUUUAGAUGCCACAUAAGCAAAAAGGUGUACAAAAUUAUAAAAAAAAAGGUUCAAGGUAAUAGGAUCUUUUACCUUAAUUUAGUUAAGGUGUGCUUAUGAGAUUUUGAGAAUAAUUGUGCCUUAUUGUUUUUUUAAAAAAAGAGCAUUUUUGAUGAGAAAUCAUUUGUGUUUGGCCAAGUAAUGUUGAUCAAGAAGUGUUUCUUGGAUGAAGUUAUCUUUCUAAAACCUUUUAUUGUUUCAAGGGAAAAAGUACAAGUACCCCUAGCCUAUGACCGAAAUCUCAGAAACUCCACACAGUUGAGGCGAGUGAGAGAUAUUUGGAUGUCAUGUAAGUCAAAAGGUGUAUAGAAUUACAAAAAAAAUGAGUUCAGGGGUAAUAGGACGUUAGUUUAGUUAAGGUGUGUCUGAGAUUUCGGUCAUAGUCUAGGGGGCACUUGUACCUUAUCCCUUGUUUAAAAGUUAUUUUGACUUAAAAUCACCUGAAAUAAGUCAAUACACACAUGUUGUAAGUAAGUUUUCUCAAGAGUGUUUUUCAAAAAAGUAGUUUAAAUUUAAAACUUUUUUUUAAAUUUUCGAAAAACAACUUCUGUUGCUCCUUGAAAACACUUUUUUUCUUCUAAAAGUUUGGUCAAAUACUUCAGUUAUAUAAAAGACACUUAACCUUGUAUAAAAUUGAACAAGUAGACACACAUGCCUUUGUAGCAUAAUACACGUAGGACGCCAUGUAGGACAGAAAAUUGCUAUAUAGGAUGCCAUGUAGAACGAAUGCGUCUAUUUGUUUAAUUUUAUACAAGUAUAAGUGUCUACUUGUACACAACCAAAGUUAAAGGUCUUAGUUGUCGGCUGAAGUCAAGUUAAGAGUCAUGUUUAUGUAUUAUGCCUUUAUAAAAUAAGCAAUUUUGACCUUCCAAAUCUGCUCGUUUCUUUUCUUUUUUCUUAUUCAGUUUACUUGAAAUUUGGUGGAACACCUAAAGACCAACCUAAAUUAAGCAUGAAUUAUUAGUUGAAUGCCUAAACUAUCAUAGUCUUAAUUACCCUAAAAGGAUGGGAUUGUGCAGGAUAAAAACUAUCAAAUAGCCAAGUUCGGGGGUGAUUUAGAAUUCUAAUAGUUCAGGGUGCAACUAAUAAUUUGUGUAAAGUUUAAGGGGCCACAAUUAUUCUACCUUGGAAAAAGAAUAUUUAUUAGCCAUCAACUAUUUUGAGUUGUGUAUUACAUCUUCUUCGAACCAACAACGUAAAAGAAAAAUUAGUUGAAACUCCAUUACAUUUAGUCAAGUAAAAUUUCUAGCCUAAACAAUGGAGUUCAAAGUUUAGACGAAGUUCUGAGGUAUUAUGCCAUUUGAAUUACCCCGUCUGUUUUUACUAAUAUUAAGACAUCCAAAUUUGAAUACACAUCUCAAUAUUAAGAUAUGUAUUAAGAUUAAGAUGUUUGAAUAUAAAUAUAUAUUGUCUUAUUGAGAUAUGAAUACUAAAUAACUGAAUUUAUAAAAUUUAUCUUUAAUUAAAAAUUAAUAAAUAUAAAAUACUUUAUCAGAACAUAUGUGCAACGCACGUGUUGAAAAACUAGUUAUCUAAUAAGUGAGAUAUCUCGAUCCCUAAUCACUUUAUCAGAACAUAUGUCCAACACGCAAAUUAAAAGAGAAGUAUCUUUUUUCUUUCUCCUCUUUAUUAUUUUAGUUUUGGCAUUAAGUAAAGUAGAUUACGAAAGCAGCCCCACAAAUAUCUUUUAAAAGUCUUUCAAAGAAGUACUGGUUUUAGUCUUGAGUUUGAAAAAUUCUAACAACAAUUUUUUUUUACUUUUCAGCUUUAAUUUGUUUGUCUAAUUUUGUCUUGAUAGAAAAUAUUUAAAAAAUUAUAUAUUUUUAAAAUAUUGUGAUUUUAAAUUAAAAAUAGAUAAAAUAUACCAAAUAAGGAGUUGAUGGACUAAAACAAAAAAUAGGACAAACAACUUGAAAUUGAAACGGAGAGAGUUCAAAGUUUCUUGUUCGAUUUUUAUUGAGUAUAAAAUCAUCUCUAUCAGGAAAUAUUUUACCACAACAUACAUUUUUUAAAUAUGAAUUCAAAUUUAAUCGAUUUCAAUACAGAUAAGAUAACGUUAUUUUGACACCAAAUUGGGAUGCCAAAAACAGUAUAAAAGGACUUCUCUCACAAAGCCACUUAGAUUCAUUUUCAUCAAUAAAACAAAUUUUCCUUCUUUUUUGUUCCUUCAUUUUCUUCUCUUUUCUCUCUAUUUCUUCAUCACUCUGCUUCUAUAACUUUGACAGCAACUGAUCAGUUUUCACCGGGCGAUCUUUCUUUUCCGACUUGAAAUUCCGGCGAAAUCAGAUCGUUUAGUGCUCAGAAGGACUUUGUGAGUUUUUUUUCUCCUCCUGCUUACUACCUCCGUCCACUUUUAAUUGUCAUGAUUUCUUUUUUUAGAGUCAAACGAUUUGUAUUUUUUCAUCAUAUUGAUAUACAAAAAAUUGCAAGUUAUAAUACUCUUCCUAUAGUUUUUGAAUAUCUAAAUUUUUUACUUAAAAUAUUGAAUUAAUGUAAUCUAAUUUCACUUUGAAAAUUAGUUAAAUUGACUUUCGAAAAAUGCAAUAUGACAAUUAAAAGUGGACAGAGGGGUAUCUUGUUUUCACUAAGAUUAUUAGGCUAUUUGGCCAAAUUUAUAAAUUUAGUUAAUUUUUUAAGGUACAAUACAUAAACGUAUCCUUUAACUUCACCUUAGCCAACAUAUGUAUCUUUAACUUGUAUAAAAUUGAAUAAAUAGAUACAUUCGUUCUACGUGGCGUAUUACAUGACAAUGUUCUAUAUGUAUUAGGGCAUAUAGAAUACAUGUUUCUUGUUUAAUUUUAUAUAAGUUAAAAGUGUCUAUUUGUUCAUAUCCAAAAUUACAGUGCAUAGAUAUAAGUUAAGGGCAUAUGUAUGUAUUAUGCCUUUUGUAAAUUUAUUUAUUUUUUAGAAAAAUAAAGUAUUUUUUGAUGAGAAAUCAUUUGUGUUAGGCCAAUUAAUGUUGAUCUAGCUUUUAGAGGUGUUUCUUGGAUGGAGUUGUCUUUCCCUUUUUAUUGUUUAAAAGUUAUUUUAGCUUAAAAUCAUCCGAAAUAAUUCAAUCCAUACAUGUUGUAAGUUUUCUCAAGUGUUUUUCAAAAAAGUAGUUAAAUUUAAAACUUUUUUUUUUAAUUUUUGGAAAACAACUUCUGUUGUUCCCUGAAAACACCUUUUUUCUUUUAAAAAGUUUGGUCAAAUACUUCACUUUUAUAAAAGGCAUAAUACAUAAAUAUGUUUUUUAAUUUGGCUUCAACUGACAUUUAUACCCUCCAACUUUGAGUGUGCACAAGUAGACAUUUAAAUUUGUAUAAAAUUAAACAAGUAGACAUACGUGCCUACGUGGCAUAAUACCACAUAGGACGCCACGUAGGACACAAAAUUGUCAUGUAGGACGAAUGUAUUUAUUUGUUUAAUUGUAUACAAGCUUAAGUGUCAACUUAUGCACACCCAAAAUUAAAAGUCAUAGUUGUUCGCUGAAACCGAGUUAAAGGUCAUGUUUAUAUAUUAUACCUUUAUAAAAUAAGCACUUAUUUUUUGAAAAAAAGAAGCACUUGUGACCUUCCAAAUCUUCUCUAUUCUUUUCUUUUUUCUUAUUCAGUUUACUUGAAAUUUGGUGAAACACCUAAAGACCAACCUAAACUUAGCAUGAAUUAUUAGUUGAAUGCCUAAACUAUCAGUGGUCUUAAUUACCCUAAAAGGAUGGCAUUAUGUGGGGACUAUCACAUAGACAAGUUCGAGGGUGAUUUAGAAUUCUAAUAGUUCAGGUGUGCAACUAAUAAUUCGUGUAAAGUUUAAGGGGCAACAAAUAUUCUACCUUGAAAAAAGAAUAUUUAUUAGCCAUCAACUAUUUUGAGUAGUGUAUUACGUCUUCUUCGAACCAACAAUGUAAAUUAGUUGAAACUCCAUUACAUUUAGUCAAGUAAAAUUUCUAGCCUAAACAAUGGAGUUCAAAGUUUAGGCGAAGUUCUGAGGUAUUAUGCCAUUUGAAUUACCCUGUCUGUUUUUACUAAUAUUAAGACAUCCAAAUUUGAAUACACAUCUCAAUAUUAAGAUAUAUAUUAAGAUUAAGAUGUUUGAAUAUAAAUAUAUAAUGUUGUAUUGAGAUAUGAAUACUAAAUAACUGAAUUUAUAAAAUUUGUCUUUAAUUAAAAAUUAAUAAAUAUAAAAUUCAAAUAAAAUGUUGAUUAAUCUAAUACUAUAUAAUCAAAUUAUUUUAGAAACUUUAUAUGAUUGUUGGUGGUGAUGGUGAUCAGGUGAUGGCUAAUAGUGGUGAUUGUGGGUGUCAAUUGCGGAUUGUCAUUGGCGAUAAUGUUGGUUGAUGCUAGUGAUGAUGGUGGCAAUAAAGGAACAACCGUACUUAACAUGAGUGAGAUCUGAAUGGUUAAGACUUAAACCUUAAAAAGGCACAUAUAAUGACUAAAAUCCAAAGGAUUAAGACUCAGACAUUCAUUAAAUGCAAACAGACGCGGCCUAUGUUGUUUUUCUUACACUGUUUUCUAUGCUUUACAGCUCAUCUGGCAAAAUGGAGGGAGCUACCCCUUCAGUUUUAUGUAGUCUCUUUGUUGUCAUGUUGAUCCUACUUCUACCAGCUACAUCAGUGGCUGAACCAAGAUCCCAGAUAAUCCAGCUGAUACGUGGCAACAGAUUGACAGCUUCCGUCCCAAAUUUUGUUGGUACAAUGGAAACGUUGAGUGAACAAGUGAGAGCUAGAGGAUAUGGAGUAGCAGUUACUGGCACUAGACCCGGUGCUACCUAUGGAAUUAGCCAAUGCUAUGGUGAUCUAUCAUUACUCGACUGUGUCUUAUGCUUCUCUGAAGCUCGAACGGUUCUGCCCCAGUGCUUCCCUUAUAACGGGAGAAUUUAUCUUGAUGGCUGCUUUAUGCGAGUGGAGAAUUACAUGUUCUAUGACCAGUAUUUAGGUCCAGAGGACAUGCAUGUAUGUGGAAACAGGACGACCAAGGGUACAUUGUUCCAACAGAACGCUAGGCAAGCCAUUCAGCAAGCAGUUGUAAAUGCACCGACUAAUAAUGGUACUGCACGUGCUCAAGUGUCAGUGCCUGGUCCUUCCAAUGAGACAGCUUAUGUUCUCGCCGAUUGUUGGAAGACGCUGAGCGCAAAUUCCUGUGCAGCGUGUUUGCAAAAUGCAUCUGCAUCCAUGUUGGGAUGCUUACCUUGGUCAGAAGGUAGAGCCCUUUACACUGGAUGCUUCAUGAGGUAUUCUGAUACAAAUUUUCUCAAUGCUAUUUCUGCCAGUGGAGGCUCAUCAUCAACGGGUAAUUUUAACUCUUUUUUCGUCCUGGUUUGCCUGUUAUUUACCGACUGAACUGUAAUUUUGCUGAUAAAUGGUCUUUUUUUUUUACGUUCAAAUCACCAUAUUGCAGGAAAAGUUGUAGUCAUUGUCAUUGUUGUUGUUAGUUCCGUUGUCGUUUCGGGAGCAGCUGCUUUUGUUGGUUUUAGUGUCUGGAAGAACAAACAAAUCCAGAAGAAGAGAAAAGGUAAAUACUUUUAUGCGAAAAUUUAGUUAUAAAAGUCAUUAGGAUAGUUAAAUGAUGUACAUAUAUUGUAUCUGUAUUCUAAAACUUAGAAUUAAAAAAUUGAACUUUUUAGGUGCAAAUGAUGUUAAGAAAUUAGUGAAGAUCCUUGAUCAAAACAACUUGAACUUCAAGUAUUCGACACUUGACAAAGCCACGGGUUCAUUUGAUGAGGCCAACAAGCUCGGACAGGGUGGAUUUGGCACGGUUUAUAAGGUAUGUAAUGGUUGAAUGUAGUGUGAUUAUGUUAACAUCAAUGCAAGAAGUGUUGGCAAUUAGAUAGAGUCUGAGUCACAUUUUGUUGCAGGGUGUUUUGGCAGACGGGAGAGAGAUCGCUGUCAAAAGGCUGUUCUUCAACAACAAACACACAGCUGCAGAUUUUUAUAACGAGGUUAACAUAAUCAGUAGCGUCCAGCACAAAAAUUUGACAAGGUUAUUGGGGUGCAGCUGCUCAGGAACGGAAAACCUUCUUGUAUACGAGUUACUCCCUAACCAGAGUCUUGAUCGCUACAUAUUUGGUAAGUAACUGGACUUUAACUACGUGUCCGUCCCAAACAAGUUGGGGUUUAGCUAAACAAACCCUCACUAUUCUAUUUAAGCUAAACUCAUGUAUAUCAUUGCACCAACUAAAAAAAAAAGUACAAAUAAGUUAAACAUAGGUAACCGACUUUGCAUUAAGCUAAGACUAAGUGUUGUGUUUUCACAUAACCAGCACAUGACUUUGUCAUGUAUAUUGAUUCUAACCUUAAAAUUUGACAGACCCUAUUAAAGGUAAAACUCUAAAUUGGAAGAAAAGAUUUGAGAUAAUUAUAGGGACAGCAGAAGGAUUGGUAUACCUUCACGAGAACACAGAGACACGAAUAAUUCACAGAGACAUAAAAGCAAGCAACAUCCUGUUGGACUUGAGGCUCCGUGCAAAGAUUGCUGAUUUUGGGUUGGCAAGGUCAUUCCAAGAAGACAAGAGUCACAUAAGCACUGCCAUUGCUGGCACAUUGUUAGUAUUUCUUCGUCUCGUCUUCUACUUUUGUCGCGUAAAAGUAUAUGAAAACUAAUAUGGUACAAUAUGUGCAGAGGAUAUAUGGCUCCAGAAUACUUAGCACGCGGUCAGCUAACAGAAAAAGCAGACGUUUACAGCUUUGGAGUUCUUCUACUAGAGAUUGUUACUGGAAGACAAAAUAACAAGAGAAAAAAUGACGAAGAUACAGUUAGCUUAGUUUCCAAUGUAAUUUCUGAUCAAUCACUUCUCUGAAGAACCAAAAUUUCAAUCUUGGAGAACAUAUUUGUCCAUUGAUCUUAACUUUAUUGAAUGAAUUCAACAGGUGUGGGAGCACUUUCAACGCGGUAUAGUGGAGGAACUGUUCGAUCCGAAUCUCAUGUUGCAUAACUACCAUACAAUCAAUGUGAAAAAUGAGGUUGCGAGAGUGUUACAUGUGGGACUUUUGUGCACUCAAGAGAUUCCAUCAUUACGGCCAUCCAUGUCUAAGGCAUUACAAAUGUUCGUGAAGAAAGACGAAGAGUUGCCUCCUCCUACUAAUCCGCCAUUCGUGGAUGAGAAAACCAUGGAACUUCACGACCCUUGGGAUAAGUACUUGCUUAAACAAGGCGAUUCUGCUUCGAUUGCCAAACUUAUCUCACAGGUUCUUUUUACCCCAGAUGAUGAUAUCUCUGUGCUCCUGAACUGAAAGUGAUGUAAAGAUUAUAGUUAUCUCAAGCAUAUCAUUUCGCCUCGUGUUCUUGAAGGAAACUUCAUCGUGAUCGAGCAGUUAGUUACAACAACGACAACUAUGUUUCUGUCCCAAACAAGUUGAGGUCGGUAAUAUGAAUUCUCAGUAUUCCACAACUCAUGAUCAAGCAGUUAGUUGUAAGUUCAAAACUUCAUAAUACAUUUUUCAAUUUUUUCAUGUAUUAUUUGUCAAUUAGGAAAAUAUUUUAUCUAGGAAAACAAGCUCCACAAGACGCAAGUGACAACCCAACUAUGCGUAAGUGCAAGGGCAGAGGUAGGUAGGGUCGAAGGUGUUCAUCUGAACCCCCUUCAAUAGAAAAUUAUUCUAUUUAUACAUGUUUUAAUUUUUAUUUUUUUUAUGUAUAUACAAUAACCUCUUCGAUUUCUUCACAGGGGCGGAGCUAGGUGGGGGUUCGUGGGUUCGGAAGAACCCAAUAGCUUUUCCGUAGAUCUUGUAUUUGUACCAAAAAAUUCAAUAAAUAUAUAUAUGUAUAUUAACUCGUGAACCCCUAACAAAACUGAUUGACAACUUAGUGGUAAGGAAGAGGCUGUGAAAAUGCUUUCCACACUAGAGUUGUGGGCUCAAAUCCACUAUCAACAAAAAGUUUAGAACCUCCCAAUUCCUAAUCCUAGCUCCGCCUCUGUAAUAAAUUCUUCAUGUAUUUACUUUUUUUAUAUUUUGAAUUCUUGGAUGAAAAUGCUAGCUCCGCCACUGCCUAAUAAGUGAGAUAUCCACAUUCCUAAUCACUUUAUCAAAACGUAUAUCCUUACAUGUUAAUUUCGUGUCAAAUCAAACAACGUCACACAAAUUAAAAGGAGAAGUAUCUUUUUUCUUCUCCCCUCUUUAUUAUUUUGGUAUGGGCAGUAAGUAAAGUAGUUAGGAAACCGGCCCCACAAAUAUCUAUUAAAGUCUUUCAAAGUAGUAUUCAAACAACAAUGUCUUUCCUCUUGUUGACUUCUCUCAACAAUUUUUUAACUUUCUCCGUAUUAAUUUGUUUGUUUAGUUUUGACUUGACAUUAAGGGUCCAGUUGGCCAUGAGAUAUAAAUUAUGAUCUGAAAUCAUUAAAUAGAGUUGGAGUUUUGUUUGGACAUGUGAUUUGGACUUUUUAUGUUGUUUAUUUUAUCAUAAACAUAAAAAUCCUAUAAGUUAUAAAACUAUUAAAAUUGUCUCAAUUCUUUAUUCAAUCUUACCAAAUAAGCAAAGUUUAUAAAAUUCCAUAAUACAUCACAAAGAUAUUUUUAAAAAUACAGUAUUUAUUGAUCAAACUUUAAUUCAAUUAAAAAAAUAAAAUUAAACAUAUAUAAGUUGUGGUGUACUAGGCUUAAAUAUAGUUCAGCCACAUAGUACAUUCAAUCUUCUCAGUUGAACUUGCAUUUCUCGUUCAUAUGACUGAUAAGACAAACCAACAUUGCUACUUUGAGCCAUUUAUGGUCAAUUUGGUUGGUAAAUUAAUUUGAUAAAAAAUAAUGAAUUUGGUGAAUAUAAAUGGUAAAGUAGAAACUGAUUUGAAGUAGUAAUAAAUUAUAUGUUAGUGAGAAUAAUCAUUAUAUGAGAUGUAUAUGAUUUAAAAAGUAAUGAUAUGAAUUAUAAAUUUUAUUUACAUAUGAAAUAAAUGGUUAGCAGUAUAAAUGUGAUGUUUUACAAAAUAUAAAUUUGUGAGUCAAUUUUUGUAUUUGAAAAAUCUCAAAUUUUGAUUUUUGGAAAAUUUUAGAUUUCAUCUCGAGAUGAAAUAAACAGGAAAUCAUAUGUCCAAACGCCUACCAAAUUUAUUAUUGUGAAUAUUAUGAACUUAGAUUAAAAAUAUAUAAAACAUACCAAAAUAUUGUUUAAUCUUGUGGCCUUAUAUAUAUCGUAUAGAAAAUUAGAAAUAAAGAGUUGACAGACUAAAAUAGAAAGUUAGACAAACAAAUUAAAAUUAAAACAUAAAAUUCAAAAUGAUAAAUACUUUUUCAUCCUAAACUAAAAGUUUCUUGUUCGAGUUUUAUUGGGUAUAAAAUUAUCCUUGUUAGAAAAUAUUUUAGCCCAAUAUAAAAAAUUUCAACACAAAUCAGAUUUAAUCGGCUUCAAUAUAGAUAUCGUACACCAGAUUGGGAAACCAAAAAUGAGUUAAUACUCCCUCUGUCCCAAUUUAUGUGACACAUUUCGAAUUUCGAGAUUCAAACAAGUCUAUCUUUGACCGUCAUUUUUUCAUUUAUCUUUUAAUUAUUUUGAAUUAUCAAUUAUUGAGACUUAUAGUACUUUUUAUGUAGUUUACAAAUAUAUAAAUUUUCAUUUUAAAAAAUUUGAAGAUUCCAUGAGCAAAUUCUCGAUCAAACUUAAACUGUUUGAUUUUCGAAAAGCGAAAUGUGUCACAUAAAUUGAGACAGGGACUUCUUCACAAAGCCACUUUGAUUCAUUUUCAUCAAUAAAACAAAUUUUAUUUCUUUAUUUGUUCCUUUCAUUUUCUUCUCUCUUCUCUCUGUUUCUACAACUUUGACAGCAACGGUUACUUUAUUUGUUCCUUUCAUUUUCUUCUCUUUUCUCUCUGUUUCUACUACUUUGACAGCAACUGUUUCUUUAUUUGUUCCUUUCAUUUUCUUCUCUUUUCUCUUUGUUUCUUCAACACUCCGUUUCUACAACUUUGAUAGCAACUGAUCUAUUUUCACCGGCGAUCUCUCAGUUUCGACUCGAAAAUCGGGUGAAUUCAGACUGUUUAGUUAUCACAAGGAGUUUUGUGAGUGUUUCUUUUUUUUUUCCUUCUUCUUCUGUUUUCACUAAUUAUUAAGUUGUUUGAUCAAAUUUCUAAAAUUAGCUGGUAUGGAAAAGUGUUUUUUCAAAAAAAUAUUUUUUGGUGAGAAAUAAUUUGUGUUUCAUAAAAAUAACUUGAGCAGCAAUUAAUAUUCAUCAAACUUUUAAAAGUGUUUUUAAAUUUGUAAGCCUAACUUAAUUUAUGACUUUUUGAUUUAUUUUUGUUAUUUGGCUUUAAAAAGGAACUUAAAAUCACUUCUUUUAUACACUAUUAUAAAGACAUAAUACAUAAAUAUGUUCUUUAAUGGGUUUUAUUUCACAUUUGUGCCCUUUUAAAUAUGUAAGGCAUAAUACAUAAACAUGACCCUUAACUUGCCUUCAGCGGACAACUAUGCCACCAACUUUGAGUAUGCACAAGUAGACACUUAAACUUGUAUAAAAUUGAAUAAAUAGACACGCGUACCGUAAGGCUAAGUUAAAGGGCAUUUAUGUAUUAUGCCUAUUAUAAAAGUGUUUAAAAACUAUUUUCACUUUAACAAAUCUAAAAUAAGUCAAUCCAAAUAAGCUCUAUAGUAAGUUUUCCUCAAAAGUAUUUACCAAAAAAUUACUUUAUGGAAAAACUACUUUUUUUAGCUUCUGAAAAAUAGCUUCUGUUACACUGGAGAACUUUUUUUUUUCCCCUCAAAAGCUGGACCAAACACCCCAUUUUUGUAAAAUAAUCAAUUUUUACCCUCCAAAUACUUGGCCAAACAGACUAUAUAUUUGUUUGAGUGCAAAUUUGGUAGAACACCUAAUGACCAACCUAAAACUUAGCAUGAAUUAUUAGUUAGAAUGCCUAAACUAUCAAUAGUCUUAAUUACCCUAAACGGGACGAGAUUGUGCGGGGUAAAGACACUAUCAAAUAUCUAAGCUCAGGGGCUUAUUCAGACUAAUAAUAGUUUAGGUAUGCAACGAAUAAUUUGUGUAAAGUUUAGGGGGGUCUUUAUAUUUUCUACCUUGAAAAUUUGGUAAGGAGUAUAUAAACAAAAGAGAACCAUCAGCAGUUGUGGUGGACGGUAAGUACUCCCUACAUUAACAGUUGUAACGGUACUGUGAACACCCAAUAAUUUAAGUACGAAAGUAGCAAAAAGUUAUAAUUUAGCCAAAUAAUAUGUUUUAAGCCAAAAUUAUGAUUUUCAACUACUUAUUUCUUCUCUAGAUGCAAUGACAUUUGUUUGAGUUGUGUAUUUCUUCUUCUUCAAACCAAAUCCGUAAAAGAAAAAAUAGUUGAAAGUCCAUUCAAAUAAAAGUUCCCGCCUAGAAAUGCAGUGCGAUUAGGAGUGAAAGUGGAUGGAGUAGUGUUGGAAUAGCAUCUUUGUAGAAAUUCUUAACAUCUUAAUGAUAUUAAAAUUUUGUUAUAGGUCUUAGUUAUUUAGAUAUACUCAGACUCGUUAAGCGGUGACAAAACAAAAGAACAAAUGAACUUAACGAUUGAUUAAGAUUUAGCCAUUAAAAGGCACAUAUAAUGACUAAAAGAUGAAGAAUUAAGACUCAGACAUUCAUUAAAUGCAAACAAACGCGGCCUAUGUUGAUUUUCUUACAUUGUUUUCUAUGUUGUACAGCUCAUCUAGCAAAAUGGAAGGAGCAACUACUUCAGUGUUAUGUAGUCACUUUGUUGUCAUGUUGAUCCUACUUCUACCAGAUACAUCAGUGGCUGAACCAAGAUCCCAGAUAAUCCGGCUCAUAUGUGGAAACAGAACGACGGUUUCCGUCCCAAAUUUUGUCGGUACAAUGGAAACGUUGAGUGAACAAGUGAGAGCUAGAAGAUAUGGAGUAGCAGUUACUGGCACUAGACCAGAUGCUACCUAUGGAAUUAGCCAAUGCUACGGUGAUCUAUCAUUAGUCGACUGUGUCUUAUGCUUUUCUGAAGUACGAACCCUUAUUCCCCAGUGCUUCCCUUAUAACGGAGCACGAAUUUAUCUUGAUGGCUGCUUUAUGCGAGCGGAGAAUUACAGUUUCUAUGACGAGUAUUUAGGUCCAGAGGACAGGCGAGUAUGCGGAAACAGGACGACAAAGGGUUCAUUGUUCCAACAGAAUGCUAGGGCAGCUGUUCAGCAAGCAGUUGGAAAUGCACCGAGUAAUAAUGGCUAUGCGCGUUCCCAAGUGUCAUUUCCGAGGGAUUCCAAUGAUACAGCUUAUGUUCUCGCUGAUUGCUGGAAGACACUGAGUGCAAAUUCCUGUGCAGCGUGUUUGCAAAAUGCAUCUGCAUCCAUGUUGGGAUGCUUGCCUUGGUCAGAAGGUAGAGCUCUGUACACCGGAUGCUUCAUGAGGUAUUCCGAUACCAAUUUUCUCAAUGCUAUUACUACCAACUGAGGCUGGUCAUCAAGGGGUACUUUUUUCUCUUUUUUCGUCCUGGUUUACCUGUUAUUUAUCGGCUGAACACGUAAAUUUUACUUGCAAAUCACCAUAUUGCAGGAAAAGUUGCAGUCACUAUCAUUGUUGUUAGUUCCGUUGUCGUUUUGGGAGUAGGUGCUUUCAUUGGUAUUGGUGUCUGGAAGAAUAAACUAAUCCAGAAGAAGAGAAAGGGUAAAUACUUUUGUGCCAAAAAUUAGUCAUUAGGAUAUCAAUGAUGUACAUAUAUUGCAUCUUUAUUCGAAAACUUAGAAUAAAAAAAUUUGAACUUGUUAGGUGCAAAUGAUGCCGAGAAAUUAGUGAAGAUACUUCAUGACAUCAGCUUGAACUUCAAGUAUUCGACGCUUGACAAAGCCACGGGGUCAUUUGAUGAGGCCAACAAGCUCGGGCAAGGUGGAUUUGGCACGGUUUAUAAAGUAUGUAAUAGCUGAAUGUAGUGCAAUUCAAUAUAAUACUUGAAGUGUUGGCAAUUAAUCCGAGUUUGAGGCGUGAUUUGUUGCAGGGUGUUUUGGCAGAUGGGAGAGAGAUCGCCGUCAAAAGGCUGUUCUUCAACAACAAACACAGAGUUGCAGAUUUUUAUAACGAGGUUAACAUAGUCAGCAGCAUUGAGCACAAAAAUUUGAUAAGGUUAUUGGGAUGCUGCUGCUCAGGACCGGAAAGCCUUCUUGUAUACGAGUUCCUCCCUAACCAGAGUCUUGAUCACUUCAUAUUUGGUAUGUAAGCGUCAUCCUCCCAAUUUUAUUUACGCUAAACUCAUGUUAUCAUCACACAAACUAAAAAUAAAAGUGAAAAUAAGUAACCGCCAUCGCGUUAAGACUAAAUGUCAUGUUUUCACAUAGCCAUGCCAGAGUGAUUCUAACUUUAAAAUUUGACAGACCCUAUAAAAGGUAAAGCUCUAAACUGGGAGAAAAGAUUUGAGAUAAUUAUUGGUACAGCAGAAGGAUUGGUAUACCUUCACGAGAACACAAAGACCCGAAUAAUCCACAGAGACAUAAAGGCAAGCAACAUCCUGUUGGACUCGAGGCUCCGUGCAAAGAUUGCUGAUUUUGGGUUGGCCAGGUCAUUCCAAGAAGACAAGAGUCACAUAAGCACUGUCCCUGCUGGCACAUUGUCAGUAUUUCUUCGUCUCGUCUUCUAUUUUUUCGCGUAAAAGUACACAAAAAAUGCAAAGACUAAUAUGGUCCAAUAAUGCAGGGGAUAUAUAGCUCCAGAAUACUUAGCACAUGGUCAAUUAACAGAAAAAGCAGAUGUUUACAGCUUUGGAGUUCUUCUACUAGAGAUUGUUACUGGAAAACAAAAUAACAAGAGAAAAAACGACGAAGAUACAGUCAGCUUAGUUUCCAAUGUAAUUUCUGAUCAAUCACUUCUCUCUUGAACCAAAUUUUAAAUCUAGGAAAACAUUUCUGUUCAUUGAUCGUAACUUUAUUAGAUGAAAUUAACAGGUGUGGGAGCACUUUCAACGUGGGAAAGUGGAGGAGCUGUUCGAUCUGAAUCUCAUGUUGCAUAACUGCCAUACAAUCAAUGUACAAAAUGAGGUUGCGAGAGUGUUACAUGUGGGACUUUUGUGCACUCAAGAGAUCCCAAUGUUACGUCCAUUCAUGUCUAAGGCAUUAAAAAUGCUCGUGAAGAAAGACGAAGAGUUGCCUCCUCCUACUAAACCGCCAUUCGUGGAUGAGAAAACCAUGGAACUUCACGACCCUUGGGAGAAGAACUUGCUCAAACAAAGCGAUUCUGCUUCGACUGCCAACUUAUCUCACAGUUCUUUUUACCCCAGAUGAUGAUAUCUCAGUGCUCCUGAACUGAAAGUGAUGUAAAAAUUGUAGUUAUCUCAAGCUGUCAAGCAUAUACUUUCGCCUCGUGUUCUUGAAGGAGACUUCUUCUUGAUCGAUCGAGUAGUUUGUUACAACAACCACAACAACUAUGUUUCUGUCUCAAACAAGUUGAGGUCGGCUAUAUGAAUUCUCAGUAUUCCAUUUAAGCGGUUAGUUGUAAGUUUAAAAUUUCAGAAUACAUUUUUCAAUUUUUUCAUGUAUUAUUUGUCAAUUUGGAAAAUAUUUUAUCUAGGAAAACAAGUUCUUUAAAAAGGAGGAAAAAAUGAUUUUCCUAGGUUGAGAAAACGAGUUUCGCAAGUGACGAAGAAUUUAUCUUGAUGGAUGCUUUUUUCGAGUGGACAAUUACAUGUUCUAUGACCAGUAUUUAGGUCCAGAAGACAGGCAUGUAUGCGGAAACAGGACGACAAAGGGUGCAUUGUUCCAACAGAAUGCUAGGCUAGCCAUUCAGCAAGCAGUUGCAAAUGCACCGAGUAAUGACGGCUAUGCGCGUGCCGAAGUGUCAGUACACGGUCCUUCCAACGAGACAGCUUAUGUUCUCGCUGAUUGUUGGAAGACACUAAGCGCGAAUUCCUGUGCAGCGUGUUUGCAAAAUGCAUCUGCAUCUAUGUUGGGAUGCUUACCUUGGUCAGAAGGUAGAGCCCUUUACACUGGAUGCUUCAUGAGAUAUUCUGAUACAAAUUUUCUCAAUGAUACUUCUACCAGUGGAGGUUCGUCAUCAAGGGGUACGUUUAGCUCUUUUUUCGUCCUGGUUUACCGGUUAUUAUGAACUAAUUUUUACUUUCAAAUUCACCAUAAUGCAGGAAAAGUUGUAGUCAUUGUCAUAGUUGUUGUAAUUAGUUCCGUUGUCGUUUUGGGAGCAGGUGCGUUCGUUGGUUUUGGUGUUUGGAAGAACAAACAAAUCCAGAAGAAGAGAAAAGGUAAAUACUUUUGUGCCAAAAAUAUCAAUGAUGUACAUAUUGCUGAGUAUAUAUCUUGCGAUUUGCACACAACUGUACCGAAACAACUUUCAAGAAUUAACUUGAGGCGUUAUGGCUACUCGUGCUUUUCCUGUGAAAUUUGAACUUGUUAGGUGCAAAUGAUGUUGAGAAAUUAGUGAAGAUCCUUCAUCAAAACAGCUUGAACUUCAAGUAUUCGACACUUGACAAAGCCACGGGGUCAUUUGAUGAGGCCAACAAGAUCGGGCAAGGUGGAUUUGGCACAGUUUAUAAGGUAUGUAAUGGCUGAAUGUUAACAGCAAGGCAAUUAAACAGAGUUUGAGAUACAAUUGUUGCAGGGUGUUUUGGCAGACGGAAGAGAGAUCACCAUCAAAAGGCUGUUCUUCAACAACAAACACAGAGCUGCAGAUUUUUAUAACGAGGUUAACAUAAUCAGUAGUGUCCAGCACAAAAAUUUGACACGGUUAUUGGGAUGCAGCUGUUCAGGACCGGAAAGCCUUCUUGUAUACGAGUUACUCCUUAACCAGAGUCUUGAUCGCUUCAUAUUUGGUAAGUAACCCGACAUUGCAACAACAAUUACUAUACCUCAGUCCCAAACAAGUUAGGGGUCGGCCUUAUGAAUCCUCGCUAUUCUAUUUAUGCUAAACUCAUGUCAUCAUUACUCCAACUAAAAAAAAAGUGAAAAUAAGUUAAACUCAAGAAACCGACGUUGCAUUAAGACUAAGUGGAAUGACUUUGUCAUGUAUAUUGAUUCUAACCUUAAAAUUUGACAGACCCUAUCAAAGGUAAAGCUCUAAAUUGGGAGAAAAGAUUUGAGAUAAUUAUAGGGACAGCAGAAGGAAUGGUAUACCUACACGAGAACACAAAUACACGAAUUAUUCACAGAGACAUUAAGGCAAGCAACAUCCUGUUGGACUCGAGGCUCCGUGCAAAGAUUGCUGAUUUUGGUUUGGCCAGGUCAUUCCAAGAAGACAAGAGUCACAUAAGCACUGCCAUUGCUGGCACAUUGUUAGUAUUUCUUCAUCCCAUCUUCUAAUUUUUCGCGUAAAAGUACACAAAAAAUGGGAUGAUUUACCCUUUUUAUGCAGAGGAUAUAUGGCUCCAGAAUACUUAGCACACGGUCAGCUAACAGAAAAGGCAGACGUCUACAGCUUUGGAGUUCUUGUUACUGGAAGUCAAAAUAACAAGAGAAAAAACGCCGAAUAUGCAGUCAGCUUAGUUUCCAAUGUAAUUUCUGAUCAAUCACUUCUCUCUUGAACCAAAUUUUUAAUCUUGACAAACAUUUACGUUCAUUGGUCUUAACUCUUAUAUUUGAUGAAAUUAACAGGCGUGGGAGCACUUUCAAUGCGGGAUAGUGGAGGAACUCUUCGAUCCCAAUCUCAUGUUGCAUAACUACCAUACAAUUAAUGUGAAAAAUGAGGUUGCAAGAGUGUUACAUGUGGGACUUUUGUGCACUCAAGAGAUUCCAUCAUUACGGCCAUCCAUGUCUAAGGCAUUACAAAUGUUCGUCAAGAAAGACGAAAAGUUGCCUUCUCCUACUAAGCCGCCAUUCGUGGAUGAGAAAACCAUGGAACUUCAUGACCCUUGCGAGAUGUACUCGCUUAAACAAGGCGAUUCUGCUACGACUGCUGACUUAUCUCACAGUUCAUUUUACCCCAGAUGAUGACAUCCCAUUGCCCUGAAACUGAAGUGUAAAAUUGGCCUCAACUGGCAACUAAACACUCCAACUUUGCCUAUGCACAUCUAGACACCUCAUUUCUAAAAGUAGGGGGGGGGGAUUGAAUUAUUUUUGUAGUUUGUCUAUAUAAAAUUAUGAGUUUGAUUUAAUGUGGAUCUGAGGCCUCAUUUGUUUUCAUUAAGAUUUAGACGUUUGAAUCUGAAUACAUAUUUGAAUGAUUAAGAUUGUUUGUUUAAACAUCUGAACGUACAUAAUAUUAUAUAUAAUUCAAACAAAAAUUAGUUAAAUAUUAAUAAAAUAAUUAUUUGAUUUUAAAAGAAUAAAACAUUUUUGCUUGCUAAUGAUGAUGAAGAUACUUUGUAGUGGUGGUGGUAAUAGUUGUUGUUAGUGUCUAGUAAUGAUGGUGGUGGUAGUUGUGAUGGUGGAGGUGGUUGGUGUUGUGGUGAUGACUAUCAUAAUGAUGGCAAUUGGUAGUUGUGUUGGAGGUUGUAAUUGUGAAGUUGGUUGAUGUUAGUGGUUGUCGGUGAUAAUGGUGGUGAUUGAUUAUGUGUUUGUGGUAGUUAGCGGCGAUGCUAGUUAUGAGAUGAAGGUGGUUGGUAGUGGAGAUUGACCACAGUAAUGGUAGUGGCUGAUAGUAGUAGUGGAGGUGGCGGUGGUGGGGUUGUGAUAGAAGAAUGUAUGGUGGUAGUUGGCGGCGGUGCUAGUGUGAUGGUAGCAUUUGUUGGUAGUAGGAAUUUUCUUGAAGACUGAAGUGGUGGUAGUGGUUAAGAGUGGUAGUUGAGGUAGCGGGGGAUGUAGAGACGGGAGGUGGUGAUGACAAUUGAUAUAAUUAUAAUAUGGAGGAGGUAAGUGUGGUAGCAGCUUCCAGUAGUGGUUAGCAAUGGUGAUGGUUGUGAUGACAUAGGUGGUUGGUGGUAGACGACAAUAAUUGUGGUUGGCAAUGGUGGUAGUAGCGGUGGUUGUGAUGGCAGAGGUGAGUAGUGGGGGUUGGUGAUUGUGGAUAGAGUGAUGGUGAAUAUUAUCCUCACAAGAAUACUUUAUGAUGUUAAGACUCGGUUCUAGAUCUUAAUAAUUAACACCAAUUUAAACCAAUUAAUUGCUUAAAUCUUAAUGAAAAUAUAUGUUUUUAAUGGUCUAAUGUUUGAACCAUUCAGAUUCAGACAUCAAUUAAGUGCAAACAAAUGAGGCCUUAUCCUAGUCCCCUUGGGUUGCAAGUUCUCCGUACGUUCUUGAAAUUUGUCUUGUUCUGUGAAGUGUAUUUCCUACGGUAUCUUUUUUCUCUUGAUUAAUCCAAUGCCUCACAACAAUAUUUUUCCUCUCUUACCCUAUUUUGAUUACACAGUGUCACAUUAGUGUCGGGUGUUCAUGAAACACAAUGAGGAUGAGUUGGAUGGUAUAGUUGUUUGUUGAGACCAAGUUGAGGUGUCUAGAUGUGUAUUCAUAAAGUUAGAGUGAUGAGGUCAAAUUUGAGUGAUUGUUUAUGUAUUAUAUCUAAAUGAUAAGCAUCUUUUUGCCUCGUCUUCUUGAAAUAGACUUUAUCACGAUCGAGUUGUUAGCUACUUUAGAUCCUUACGCGGUGCAAAUUUAUAUUAGUUGAAUUUUUGAAUUUCAAAUAUCAUAUAAAAUAUACCAAACAAUCAAGCAAGCAACUUGUAAAUAAAUAUAUUUCUAAAAAGUCGUACAUCAACAUCUUAAAAAGUCCUGCACUUGUUUUUCCUUCUAUAAAUUGAAAGUUAAAUCAAUUUCUAAUAAGAACGCAUGUGAAACCUUUAUAGUACCAUAAAUAUUAGUAUAUCUUUUUUUCAAAGACAAACUUCAAAAUUUUUACAUCCACACAUAGAAUUAUAACAUGUCAAAGAUCACAAAAAUAUUUAUUUUCUUGUUAAUUUUCGUAUCAAAUUAAACUUUAUCAUAUAAAUUUGAACAGAAGAAUAUGUUUCUUUCUUCUUCUUUUCUUCUUCUCCUUUGGCAGUAAAUGUACAGUAGAAAAAGACCCUUGUAGACUUCCUAGCCUUUAUUUUGAAAAAUUCAAACAAAUAAUCCUUCCAACAAAUUCUUCCUCUUGUUCACACACAAAAUAAAAUAAAAUAAAUUAUGGUAGAGUAAUAAAUAUUCUUUAUUUUUAAUUAAAAAUUUUAAAUUCAAACUCCAUAGCAUCGUUUUUGUCAGAGAAUAUUUUCUUCACCCCCAAUAUAAAGUUUUUCGGCAUGAUAUAAAUAUGGGACACCAACUUAUCUCCUUUCUACGAUGUAAAAUUUUUCAGCAUGCAUUCAAAUUUAAUCCACUCUAAUAUAGAUAUCAAAUAUCGCCGCCUCGAAAAAAAAAGUUGGAAGUAAAAAAACUUCCCUCACAAAACGACCCACUAAUUAAUACUACCUCCGUCCACUUUUAAUUGUCAUAGUUUUCUUUUUUAGAGUCAAAUUAUAAAAACUUUGACUAACAUUUCACAAUAUAUUCAUAUUGAUAGGUAAAAAAAAUUGCAAUUUAUAGUACUUUUCGUAUAGUUUUUGAAUACCUAAAUUUUUUGUUCAAAAUAUAAAAUUAAUGUAAUCUAAUUUAACUUUAAAAAUAAGUCAAAUUGACUUUCGAAAAGCCCAACAUGGCAAAUAAAAGUGGACAUACGGAUUAUAAAUUGCCCUUCAUUUUUCCUGUUUUCUCUGUUUCUACAACUUCGGCAGCAGCUGAUCAGUUUGCACCGGCGAUAUCUCUCUUUUCCGACUCAAAAUCCGGCGAAUUCAAACCGUUCAGUGUUCACAAGACUUUGUGAGUGUUCUUUCUAUUUUCAGUGAGAUUCAAUGAUUGUGGCAGGCGGUAAAAAAUCCUUCGUACUUAAUAAGUAAGAGUUAUCAAGUUCGAGCUUUAGAAAUGAAGUUAGCUCUUUAAUUUGAGCUGAAUUUGGGCGGGUUAAAUCAAUGAAUGGGUUAUUGUCUGGGUUAAACAACGGGUCAUAGCUCAAUUCGUCUUACUUGACCCAUUACUUGUACAAAUUUCAAACUCAUAUUCUAUGGUAUUUCUAUGGUGUUUUACAUAUAUAAAUAAGAAUAGCAUUUGAUAUCUGGUAUUGUUUUGUUUUGUUUUUGUAGUGAAUAAGAUUCAAUAAUUGCUUAGUUUUCCUGUUAUGAAUUGUGCUAUGUUUAAUUUCAUGGGAUAGAUGAUAUUUAGUUACUCCCUUAGCCUGAAAUGGGCGGGUCAAUAAUCAAUCCAAACUUGGGGAGGUUUGGCGGGUUAUGAUUUCAUGGGAUAAUUAUGUCAUCCUUAGUGAUGGCGGGUAGUAGCUAGUGAUGGUGAUGGUUGGUGGGGUGGUUAACAAUGGUAAUUGAUGGUGGUGGCUACCGAUAAUUGUGAUGGAUGGUAGUAAUAGUUAAUAGGGGUGGUGACUAAUAGCGGUGAUUGGUGAUGGUGGCGAUUGCCCAUAAUGAUUGGUGAUUAUUAUGGUAAUGCUAAUUGGUGGUGAUAGUUGUAAAUGAUGACUGACUGCAGAGAUUGAGGGAAUGGUAGCUGUGGAUGAGGAUGGUGAUUGUGGAGUUGUGAUAAUUGAUAUGAGUGGACAACAAUGAUGACAACGAUUAGCAGUUGUCCCGCCUUUGUUAAAAAAUAUUUUCAUAUUUUUCAAGAUCAAAAGGGUUAUCAACAUUGAAAGUGACAAAAUUGUGUUUCUAAAACAAGUCCAACUCCAAAUGACUUAUCAUCAAUAGAGAUUUCGGUUAAGAAAUUUGGUUGACUGAGGGGAAGGUGUUGGGCACCCUCAAGUAUCAUGGUUCUGGCAUGGAAGAAAACUUUAAUUUCUUUCUCUUUAUGGAUAACCAAUUAAUUUCCAAAUAUAGUUGGGAGAAUUUACCCAAGAAAUGGGCCAAAAAAAUGGAAAGAUCGGAACAUGGGAAUAGAUCUGAUACCAAUACAGACUACCUAUUUCAAUUGUUGUGCUUUAUGAACCUAUACAAGGGUUCAAGUUUCAAUCGAUAUUUGCGGAGUUGAUUAUCCCUCUCGAAAACAAAGAUUUGAAGUGGUCUAUAUGUUUACUGAGUAUUCGGUAUAACUCACUCAUUCGUGUACAAACCAGUGCAGACGAAGUAACACGAAUAUCUCCGAUGGUCAGUCUAUUUCCAUCAGCCGGCCGGUGGGAGCGAGAAGUUUGGGACAUGUUUGGUGUUUCUUCGCUUUACUGACUCGUAUUGGCUUAAAAUAAAAACUUAACUAAACAAACUCACACACACCCAAGUGUGCGCACAAACAAGGUGUUCUAAAACAAUGUCCGAACUAUUACAGUCCAAAACAAACUAUUUUCUUAUGUUUUUUCUCUAAUAGUAGUUCAAUUAGUCCUCUCACAUUGUUUCUGUGUUGUACAGCUCAUUUGGCAAAAAUGGAAAGAGCAACCCCUUCAAUGUUAUUUAGUCACUUUGUUAUUGUGUUGAUCCUACUUCUACCAGAUACAUCAGUGUCUGAACCAAGAUCCCAGAUAGUCCAGCUCAUAUGUGGAAACGAAACAACAGGUACCGUCUCAAUUUUUGUUAAUGGAAUGGAAACUAUAAGUGAACAAAUGAGAACUAGAGGAAAUGGAGUAGCGGCUACAGGCACUGAACCAAAUGUUAGCUAUGGACUUGGCCAAUGCUAUGGUGAUCUUUCAUUACCGGACUGUGUCUUAUGCUUCUCUGAAGUGCGAACCCUUUUUCCCAAGUGCUUCCCUAGUGGCAAGUCGCGAAUUUAUCUUGAUGGCUGCUUUAUGCGAGUGGACAAUUACAAUUUCUAUGACCAGUAUUUUGGUCCAGAGGAUAGGCAUGUAUGCGGAAACAGGACGACAAAGGGUUCAUUGUUCCAGCAAAAUGCAAGGCGAGCCAUUCAGCAAGCAGUUGCAAAUGCACCGAGUAACAAUGGUUACGCGCGUGCUCAAGUGUCAGUGCCCGGGUCUUCCACCAUGACAGCUUAUGUUCUCGCUGAUUGCUGGAAGAAGCUAAGUGCAAACUCCUGCGCAGCGUGUUUGCAAAAUGCAUCUGCAUCCAUGUUGGGAUGCUUGCCUUGGUCAGAAGGUAGAGCCCUUUACACUGGAUGUUUCAUGAGGUAUUCUGAUACAAAUUUUCUCAAUACUAUUUCUACCAGUGGAGGCUCGUCAUCCAGUGGUACGUUUUUCUCUUUUUUCGUCCUGGUUUACUGGUUAUUUAUAAACUAAUUUUUACUUUCAAAUCACCAUAUUGCAGGAAAAGUUGUAGUCAUUGUCGUUGUUGUUGUUAGUUCCGUUGUCGUUUUGGGAGUAGUUGCAUUCAUUGGUUUUGGUGUCUGGAAGAACAAACAAAUCCAGAAGAAGAGAGAAGGUAAAUACUUUUGUGCCAAAAAUUAGUUAUAAAAGUCAUUAAGAUAUCAAUAUAUUGCUGAGUAUAUAUCUUGCGAUUUGCACACAACUGUUCCGAAGACAACUUUCAAGAAUUAACUUGAGGCGUUAUGACCUACUCGUGCUUUUCCUGGGAAAUUUGAACUUGUUAGGUGCAAAUGAUGUUGAGAAAUUAGUGAAGAUCCUUGAUCAAAACAGCUUGAACUUCAAGUAUUCGACACUUGACAAAGCCACGGGUUCAUUUGAUGAGGCCAACAAGCUCGGGCAAGGUGGAUUUGGCACAGUUUAUAAGGUAUACAAUGGCUGAAUGUAGUGUGAUUAUCUUAACAGCAAUGCAAUACCAGAAGUGUUGGCUAUUUAACAGAGUCUGAGGUGCAUUUUGUUGCAGGGUGUUUUGGCUGACGGGAGAGAGAUCGCGGUCAAAAGGCUGUUCUUCAACAACAAACACACAGCUGCAGAUUUUUAUAACGAGGUUAACAUAAUCAGUAGCGUCCAGCACAAAAAAUUUGACAAGGUUAUUGGGAUGCAGCUGCUCAGGAACGGAAAACCUUCUUGUAUACGAGUUACUCCCUAACAAGAGUCUUGAUCGCUUCAUAUUUGGUAAGUAACCAGACUUUGCAACAACAACUACGCCUCAGUCCCACACAAGUUAAGGUCAGCUAUAUAAACCCUCACUAUGUUAUUUAAGCUAAACUCAUGUCAUCAUUGCACCAACUAAAAAGAAAAGUACAAAUAAGGUAACCGACUUUCAUUAAGACUAAGUGGUGUGUUUUCACAUAAGCACGCCCGAAUGAUUUUGUCACGUAUAUUGAUUCUAACCUUCAAAUUUGACAGACGCUAUCAAAGGUAAAGCUCUAAAUUGGGAGAAAAGAUUUGAGAUAAUUAUAGGGACAGCAGAAGGAUUGGUCUACCUACACGAGAACACUAAGACCCGAAUAAUUCAUAGAGACAUAAAAGCAAGCAACAUCCUGUUGGACUCGAGGCUCCGUGCAAAGAUUGCUGAUUUGGUUGGCCAGAUCAUUCCAAGAAGACAAGAGUCACAUAAGCACUGUCAUUGCUGGCACAUUGUUAGUAUUUCUUCGUCUCAUUGUUUAUUUUUUUCGCGUAAAAGUACACAAAAACAAAUAAUGGAUGAUUUACCCUUUUUAUGCAGAGGAUAUAUGGCUCCAGAAUACUUAGCACGCGGUCAGCUAACAGAAAAAGCAGACGUUUACAGCUUUGGAGUUCUUCUACUAGAGAUUGCUACUGGAAGACAAAAUAACAAGAGAAAGAACACCGAAUAUACAGUCAGCUUAGUUUCCGAAGUAAUUUCUGAUCAAUCACUUCUCUCUUGAACCAAAUUUUAAAUCUAGGAAAACAUUUCUGUUCAUUGAUCUUAACUUUAUUGGAUGAAAUUAACAGGUGUGGGAGCACUUUCAACGCGGGAUAGUGGAGGAACUGUUCGAUCCAAAUCCAAUGUUGCAUAACUGCCAUACAAUCAAUGUACAAAAUGAGGUUGCGAGAGUGUUACAUGUGGGACUUUUGUGCACUCAAGAGAUCCCAACAUUACGUCCAUUCAUGUCUAAGGCAUUAAAAAUGCUCGUGAAGAAAGACGAAGAGUUGCCUCCUCCUACUAAUCCGCCAUUCGUGGAUGAGAAAACCAUGAAACUUCACGACCCUUGGGAGAAGAACUUGCUCAAACAAGGUGAUUCUGCUUCGAUUGCCAAGUUAUCUCACAGUUCUUUUUACCCCAGAUGAUGAUAUCUCAGUGCUCCUGAACUGAAAGUGAUGUAAAAAUUAUAGUUAUCUCAAGCUGUCAAGCAUAUUCUUUCGCCUCGUGUUCUUGAAGGAAACUUCAUCGUGAUCGAUCGAGCAGUUUGUUACAACAACUAUGUUUCUAUCUCAAACAAGUUGAGGUCAGCUAUAUGAAUUCUCAGUAUUCCAUUUAAGCGGUUAGUUGUAAGUUCAAAACUUCAGAAUACAUUUUUCAAUUUUUUCAUGUAUUAUUUGUCAAUUUGGAAAAUAUUUUAUCUAGGAAAACAAGUUCUUUAAAAAGGAGGAAAAAAUGAUUUUCCUAAUGAAAGUUGAGAAAACGAGUUUCGCAAGUGACAUCCCAACUAUGUUGACUUCCACAUGUCUUUUUUUUGUUGCUUUUAUUGUUUCCACUUCUUUGUUGCAUAAGUGCAAGGGCAGAGGUAGGUAGGGUCAUAAGUGUUCAUCUGAAUCCCCUUCGAUGGAAAAUUAUACAUCCUCCGUUUAGAAAAGAAUGACCUCGUUUCACUUGACACGGAGUUUAAAAAAUAAAGAAGACUUCUCAAUCUUGUGAUUUUAAAUUAAAGUUAUGUCAAAUAUAUCAAAAUGUCCCUUAAUCUUGUGGACAUAAACAUGUCACGUGAAAAUUGAAAUUAAAGUGUUACCAAAAAAGGAAAGGGGUCGUUCUUUUUCAAACCGACUUGAUAGGAAAACAAUUGAAAUGGAGGGAGUACUAUUUAUACAUGUUUAAAUUUUUAUUUGUUUAAGGUAUAUACGGUAGAUGGUGAACAUUGUAUUUCCAUCCCUAGUCACUUUAUCAAAAUAUGUAUUCAACAUAUUAAUUUCAUUUUAAAAUUUCAUGUCAAAUCAAAAUCAUAUCACGCAAAUUGAAAGAGGAGAAGUAUCUUUUUUCUUCUCCUCUUCUUUAUUAUUCUGGAUUGGGCAGUAAGUAAAGUAAUUACAAAAAAGGCCCCACAAAUAUCUAUUAAAGUCUUCUAUUGUACUGUUUUAAGUUCGUUUGAAAAAUUCAAACAACAAUGUCUUUCCUCUUGUUGACUUCUCUCAACAAAAAAAUAAAAUAAAAUUACUUCCUCCGUAUUAAUUUGUUCGUCUAGUUUUGAUUUGACAUUAAAUUUAAAUUAUUAUUUUGAAUAUUAUGAUAUCAAUUACUGUUUAAUCUUAUGGUCUUAAACAUGUCAUAUAGUAUGUUAGAAAUAAAGAGUUGUCGGAGUAAAAUGGAAAGUAGUACAAACAAAUUGAAACGAAGAGAUUAUAAAAUAAUGGGAGUUGCCCCAAAAUCAUCUUAUACUCUUUCAUCCUUAGCUAAAAAUUCCAGAUUCGAGCCUGUUUAUUUUAUCCCAAUAUAAAAAAUUUCAACACGAAUCCUAAUUUAGUCGGCUUCAAUACGGAUAUCAUCAUACUUGACACCAGAUUAGGAAACCAAAAAUAGUAUAAAAGGACUUCUCUCACAAAGCGACCCAUUAAUUCAAAGCCACUUUGAUUCAUUUUUCAUCAAUAAAACAAAUUUUCUUCUCUUUUCUCUCUAUUUCUUCAUCACUCUGUUUCGACAACUUUGACAGUAGCUGAUCAGUUUUCACCAGCGAUCUCUCUGUGCCGACUCGAAAAUCCGGCGAAUUCAGACUGUUUAGUGAUCAGAAGGAGUUUUGUGAGUGUUUUUUUUUCCCUUUUUCACUAAUUAUUAAGUUAUUUGAUCAAAUUUCUAAAAUCAGCUUAUAUUGAAAAGUGUUUUUCAAAAUAAAAAUAAAAAUUGGUGAUUAACAGUUAGAGUUCAGCCAAUAAACUUAUAAAAAUAACUUGAGCAGCAAUUAUAACUUAUGGCCCCAUAUGUUUUUACUAAUAUUCAGACGUCCAAAUUUGAACACACAUCUCAAUUUUAUUGUAUUAAUCUUAAGAUAUCUGAAUACGAAUAUAUAUAUCUAUAUAUAUGAAUAUAAAAUUGUUGUAUUGAGAUCUGAAUAUUAAAUAAUUAAGAUUGUUCGUUUUUUCAAUAUCUGAAUGUACAAAAUUUGUCCUUAAUUAUAAACUAAUAAAUAAAAAAUUCAAAUAAAAUACUGAGUAAUCUAAUACAGUAUCAUCAAAUUAUUUUAGAAAUUUAAUCUGAUUGUUGGUGGUGAUGGAUGGUUGAUAGUGAUGAUUGUGAGUGCCAAAUGAUGAUUGUGGUUGGUGAUGAUUGAUGUUGGUUGAUGUCAGUUGUUGUGGGUAGAGGCUAGUGAUAAUGGUGGCUAAAAGUUAGGGGCAGAGCUAACAUUCCGAUUAUGCGUUUGGCAGAACAUAGAAGGUUUUUACAUAGAUCCCAUAUUUGUGUUAAAAAAUUACUUAAUAUGUAUAAAUAACUUAUCAAGAACGCAGUAACUUUCUUGUUGUGGAAUCUAAAAUUCGUAAACUCAAAAUUCUAACUCUGUCUCUGCUGAUAGUAGUGGCUAAUAAUGGUUGUAGAUGGUGGCCGGUGGAUGAGAAUAAUAGUUAAUGGUGAUGAUGAGUGAUCACAAUGAUUGAUGAUAUAUAGUGGAGACUGUCGGUAGUGAUUGGUGGUGAUGAUCGUAAAUGAUGACUAGUGGUGAUUGGUGACGACGUCAGUUGUGGUUAUGGAUGGUGCUCAAUAGUACUCACAUUGUUUUCUAUGUUGUACUUGUACAGCACGCGCCCAUCUAGCAAAAUGGAAGGAGCAACUCCUUUAGUGUUAUGUAGUCACUUUGUUGUCAUGUUGAUCCUACUUGUACCAGAUACAUCAGUGGCUGAACCAAGAUCCCAGAUAAUCCAGCUCAUAUGUGGAAACAAAUCGACGGUUUCCGUCCCAAAUUUUGUUGGUACAAUGGAAACGUUAAGUGAACAAGUGAGAGCUAGAGGAUAUGGAGUAACCGUUACUGGCACUGGACCAGAUGCUACUUAUGGAAUUAGCCAAUGCUAUGGUGAUCUUUCAUUAAUUGACUGUGUCUUAUGCUUCUCUGAAGCGCGAACCCUUUUUCCCCAGUGCUUCCCUUAUAACGGAGCGCGAAUCUAUCUUGAUGGCUGCUUUAUGCGAGCGGAGAAUUACAGCUUCUAUGAUCAGUAUUUAGGUCCAGAGGACAGGCGAGUAUGCGGAAACAGGACGACAAAGGGUUCAUUGUUCCAACAGAAUGCUAGGGCAGCUGUUCAGCAAGCAGUUGGAAAUGCACCGAGUAAUAAUGGCUAUGCGCGUUCCCAAGUGUCAUUUCCCAGGGAUUCCAAUGAUGCAGCUUAUGUUCUCGCUGAUUGCUGGAAGACUCUGAGUGCGAAUUCCUGUGCAGCGUGUUUAUGAAAUGCAUCUGCAUCCAUGUUGGGAUGCUUGCCUUGGUCAGAAGGUAGAGCUCUGUACACUGGAUGCUUCAUGAGGUAUUCUGAUACCAAUUUUCUAAAUGCUAUUUCUACCAACGGAAGCUCGUCAUCAAGGGGUACUUUUUGUUCUUUUUUCGUCCAGGUUUACCUGUUAUUUAUCGACUGAACACGUAAAUUUUACUUGCAAAUCACCAUAUUGCAGGAAAAGUUGUAGUCACUAUCAUUGUUGUUAGUUCCGUUGUCGUUUUGGGAGUAGGUGCUUUCAUUGGUAUUGGUGUCUGGAAGAAUAAACUAAUCCAGAAGAAGAGAAAAGGUAAAUACUUUUGUGCCAAAUAUCAAUGAUGUACAUAUAUUGCAGCUUUAUUCGAAAACUUAGAAUAAAAAAAAUUGAACUUGUUAGGUGCAAAUGAUGCCGAGAAAUUAGUGAAGAUACUUCAUGACAUCAGCUUGAACUUCAAGUAUUCGACGCUUGACAAAGCCACGGGGUCAUUUGAUGAGGCCAACAAGCUCGGGCAAGGUGGAUUUGGCACGGUUUAUAAAGUAUGUAAUAGCUGAAUGUAGUACAAUUCAAUAUAAUACUUGAAGUAUUGGAAAUUAAACCGAGUCUGAGGCGUGAUUUGUUGCAGGGUGUUUUGGCAGAUGGGAGAGAGAUCGCCAUCAAAAGGCUGUUCUUCAACAACAAACACAGAGUUGCAGAUUUUUAUAACGAGGUUAACAUAGUCAGCAGCAUUGAGCACAAAAAUUUGAUAAGGUUAUUGGGAUGCAGCUGCUCAGGACCGGAAAGCCUUCUUGUAUACGAGUUCCUCCCUAACCAGAGUCUGGAUCGCUUCAUAUUUGGUAAGUAAGGGUCAUCCUCACUAUUUUAUUUACGCUAAACUCAUGUUAUCAUCACAGAAACUAAAACUAAAAGUGAAAAUAAGUAACCACCAUCGUGCUAAGACUAAACGUCAUGUUUUCACAUAACCAUGCCAGAGUGAUUCUAACUUUAAAAUUUGACAGACCCUAUAAAAGGUAAAGCUCUAAAAUGGGAGAAAAGAUUUGAGAUAAUUAUAGGUACAGCAGAAGGAUUAGUAUACCUACACGAGAACACAAAGACACGAAUAAUACACAGAGACAUAAAGGCAAGCAACAUCCUGUUGGACUCAAGGCUCCGUGCAAAGAUUGCUGAUUUUGGAUUGGCCAGGUCAUUCCAAGAAGACAAGAGUCACAUAAGCACUGUCCUUGCUGGCACAUUGUCAGUAUUUCUUCGUCUCGUCUUCUAUUUUUUCGCGUAAAAGUACACAAAAAAUGCAAAGACUAAUAUGGUUCAAUAAUGCAGGGGAUAUAUGGCUCCAGAAUACUUGGCACAUGGUCAAUUAACAGAAAAAGCAGAUGUUUACAGCUUUGGAGUUCUUCUACUAGAGAUUGUUACUGGAAGACAAAAUAACAAGAGAAAAAAAGACGAAGAUACAGUCAGCAUAGUUUCCGAUGUAAUUUCUGAUCAUUUCUCUCUUGAACCAAAUUUUAAAUCUAGGAAAACAUUUCUGUUCAUUGGCCUUAACUUUAUUGGAUGAAAUUCACAGGUGUGGGAGCACUUUGAACGCGGGAUAGUGGAGGAGCUGUUCGAUCUGAAUCUCAUGUUGCAUAACUGCCAUACAAUCAAUGUACAAAAUGAGGUUGCGAGAGUGUUACAUGUGGGACUUUUGUGCACUCAAGCGAUCCCAACGUUACGUCCAUUCAUGUCUAAGGCAUUAAAAAUGCUCGUCAAGAAUGACGAAGAGUUGCCUCCUCCUACUAAGCCACCAUUUGUGGAUGAGAAAACCAUGGAACUUCAUGACCCUUGGGAGGAUUACUCACUUAAACAAGGCAGUUCUUCUUCAAUUGCCAACUUAUCUCACAGUUCUUUUUACCCCAGAUGAUGAUAUCUCAGUCCCCUGAAAUUGAAACAUAGAUUAUUGGCAUAUACAUAGACACAGUCUAGUCCCCUUUGGUUGCAAGGGUGUUCUAUGUGAGUUCGUGAAGUUUGUCGUGUACAAGAUAUGUGAAGUGUAGUUCCUAAGUCUAUAUACACUUAAACUUGUAUAAAGUUGAAUAAGUAGACACGUGAGUUCUAUAUGACAUAAUUAAUGCACGUAGGACACAAGCGUAGGACGUGUGUGUCUAUUUGUUCAACUUUAUACAAGUUUAAGUAUCUACUUGUGCACACCAAAAGUUGGAGGACAUAAAUGUGAAAUGACGCCAAGUUAAAUGACAUAUUUAUAUAUUGUGCCCUACCUUUGAUGGGUUCUUAUAUGGUUUCUUUGAACUAGUCAUUUGAGGUCUUGGACAGAGAUGACAACUUUGAGUAUGCACAUUUAAACGCUUCAACUCGUCUCCACUGUGUCAGUUGAGUCGUAACAUUAUUGGUUGACUUAAGCCUUGUAAUUUAUCAUGGUUAAGUAAUAAUAAGGUCAAAAUUCACAUUUGUAUUUAGUUUUUAUUUUAAAUCAAUAUAUUUUAUCCUGAAUAAGUAAUAACAUGUCAAAGAUCACAAAUUCUAAAUUCUUUUUCAUUCUUAAACCCGUAUCAAAUCAAACUAUGUCACAUAGAUUUAAACAGGGGAGUAUCUUUUGUCUUCUCCUUUUUUUUUUUGGCAGUAAUGGGAAUUUUCAUAUAUAAAUCCAAUAAUCAAAUAGGCAGUAACUGUUACUCUUUGAAAAAUUCAAACAAAUGAUCUUUUCAACAAAUUAUUUCCUCUUGUUGACUUCUCUCUCACAAAGAAAAACCAAUAAAAAUUGCGGUGGAGGGGUAACUACUUCAUCUAUAAUUAAUCAGAAGGUUUGGGUUCGAGCAUUCUUGGGUAUAUAAUUGUCUUUGUUAGAAAACGUAUUACCCCUAAUGAGGAACUACUUCCCGAUAUCAAUUCAAAUUCAAUCUGCUUCAAUAUGAAUACCGGAUACUCGACUGAAAAAACAAAAAACAAAAGUGAAAGAAAAAAAGACUUCUAUUACAAAACUGCUCUUACCAUUUCCUGUUUGACCCAUUAAUUAAAAAAUUCCCUUUUGUCUCUUUUAUUCAACAUUUUUCUUCCCAUUAUCUAUCAGCCUCAUCUCUUCUGUUGACUUCUCUCACAAAAAAAUAAAUAAAUAGUCGCGGUGGAGUGGUAAGUACUCUUUCGUCUUUAAUCAGAAUUUUCGAGUUCGAGUGUAGUUAGGAAAAAAGUUGUCUUUAUUAAGCUUUAUCUCAGAUACAUCAGUGGCUGAAUCAAUAUCUCAGAUAGUCCAGAUCAUAUGUGGAAAUGAAACGGGGGCUUCCGUCACAAAAUUAUAUGGAUACAACGAAAAACAUAAGUCAACAAAUGAGAACUAGAGGAUAUGGAGUAGCAGUUACCGGCACUGGACUAGAUACUAACUAUGCACUUGCCCAAUGCUAUAGUAAUCUUUCUUUAGUCGACUGCGUCUUAUGCUUCUCUGCAGCGGAAACUCUCCUGCCCCAAUGCUACCCUUAUAACGGACGAAGAAUUUAUCUUGAUGGAUGCUUUUUUCGAGUGGACAAUUACAUGUUCUAUGACCAGUAUUUAGGUCCAGAAGACAGGCAUGUAUGCGGAAACAGGACGACAAAGGGUACAUUGUUCCAACAGAAUGCUAGGCGAGCCGUGCAGCAAGCAGUUGCAAAUGCACCGAGUAAUGAUGGUUAUGCACGUGCCGAAGUGUCAGUACCCAGUCCUUCCAACGAGACAGCUUAUGUUCUCGCUGAUUGUUGGAAGACACUAAGCGCGAAUUCCUGUGCAGCGUGUUUGCAAAAUGCAUCUGCAUCUAUGUUGGGAUGCUUACCUUGGUCAGAAGGUAGAGCCCUUUACACUGGAUGCUUCAUGAGGUAUUCUGAUACAAAUUUUCUCAAUGAUACUUCUACCAGUGGAGGCUCGUCAUCAAGGGGUACGUUUUGCUCUUUUUUCGUCCUGGUUUACCGGUUAUUUAUGAACUAAUUUUUACUUUCAAAUCACCAUAAUGCAGGAAAAGUUGUAGUCAUUGUCAUAGUUGUUGUAAUUAGUUCCGUUGUCGUUUUGGGAGCAGCUGCUUUCGUUGGUUUUGGUGUUUGGGAGAACAAACAAAUCCAGAAGAAGAGAAAAGGUAAAUGCUUUUGUGCCAAAAAUAUCAAUGAUGUACAUAUUGUUGAGUAUAUAUCUUGCGAUUUGCACUCAACUGUACCGAGACAACUUUCAAGAAUUAACUUGAGGCGUUGUGGCCUACUCAUGUUUUUCCUCGGAAAUUUGAACUUGUUAGGUGCAAAUGAUGUUGAGAAAUUGGUGAAGAUCCUUCAUCAAAACAGCUUAAACUUCAAGUAUUCGACACUUGACUAUCCUUGAAAAAAUUGCCAACACGCGCUAGUCCCACAAGAUAGUGCCACGUAGGCCAAAAAGGGGUUGAAAAUUAUAUAUAAAAUAAGUUCAGGGGGGUAAUAGGACCUUAGUAAAGGUUAGGUGUGUCUCUGGGAUUUCGGGCAUAGGCUGGGAGGUACUUAUGCAUUUUCCCUUAAAAGAAUGAACUAAUAACUUAAAUGUUAAAUUAUUAUAAUACCCCCAACUUAAAACACCAAAUGUAGUAUAUCUUCUAUAUUUUAUAUUGUAUUAUAUUUAUUUAUGUGUAUUAUAUUAUAUAUUAUAUUAAAGUUAGACAACUUUUCACAUUGAAGGGUUGUGAUAUUUUCGAAGAGUUAUAAAUUUUCCGAUGAGUUGUGACUUUUUUGAAGGGUUGUGACUUUUCUAUAGGGUUGCGACUUUUCCGAAGAGUUGUGACUUUUCUGAAGGGUUGCGACUCCGAAGAGUUGUAACAUUUCCGAAGGGUUGCGACUUUUCCGAAGAUUUAUGACUUUUCCGAUGAAUUUUGACUUUUCUGAAGGGUUGUGACUUUUCUAAAGGUUUGUGACUUCUUUUUGAUAAGGCACCACGAGCAAUUUUUCAUACACUACCCUCUGUUGGCCAUAAAAAAAAAGGGGCUUCAUCACUUCUAUAUUUUUAUGAUAAGAAACAAUAUGCACAUACUAAUACCACACAUGUUUAACUAUAAAUGGACAGGUUUCCUCACAUUUUUAAACUACGGUUUUUUAUGUUUUCUAUUCUUCUCUUCUUAAAACCUCAAGUUUGAUUUAUAAACGUUGACAAUCUCAAAGUUCAGUGAAACUAGAACACUCCAUAACAUGAAUGUUAAAUUAAUCUAAUACUCCAGCUAAAACAUCCAAUUUAGUAUAUCUUCUAUAUUUGAUAUCAAUAUUUAUUUAUAUUUUAUUAUAUUAAAAGUAAGAACACCUACAAAACAAUAAUAACAAAGUAAUGCACUAUGGGGAAGGGAGUAGAAAGUUUAUUUAAGAUGUGUAACUAAGAGGUUUUAAGAGUGACUAAUUUUUUAUUUAGCAAUAUUCAUAUUAUUUUUUUAAAAUAGUGUGGUACAUGGUUUGAUUUUCACAUGCAACGCACGUGUGUCAAAACUAGUAAUUAUAAUGAUAGAGGAGGUAGGUGUAGUAUCAGCUGCUAGUAGUGAUUAGCAACGAUGAUGAUUGUGAUUGUAGAGGUGGUUAGUGAUGGUGGUUGGUGAUUGUGGAUAUAUAGAAUGAAAAGUAUCUCGUUUGAUCCGUUUCUCAAAAAGCUUUGUAACAAUUUUCUAAAAAGAUUUGCAAUCAAGCAAGCAAUUUGUAAAUAAAUUUAAAAAGUCUUACAACAACUUCCUAAAAUGCCUUACUCUUUUUUUCCUUCAUAAAUAGAAAGUUACAUCAAUUUCUAGUAAGGACGCAUGAGAAGCCUUUAUAGUACCACAAAUUUUAUAUCUAUUUUAAGACAAACUUCAAAAAAAUUGCAUCCACACAAAGAAUUAUCACAUGUCAAAGAUCACAAAAAUAUAUAUUUUCUUGUUAAUUUUAUAUCAAAUCAAAUUUGUCACAUAAAUUAGAACUGAAGAAUAUAUUUUCUGUUCUCCUUUUUUCUUCUCCUUUGGCAGUGAAAAUACAGUAGAAAAAGACCCUUGUCGACUCGUCUUUAUUUUGAAAUUUCAAACAAAUAAUCCUUCCAACAAAUUUUUCAACAAAUUUUCCUCAGGUUCACACUUCACACACACACAAAAAAAAAAAAAUGGUAGAAUAAUAAAUAUUUUUUAUUUUUAAUUAGAAAUUUUGAAUUCGAACUCUUUCUUAGAAAAUAUUUUUUUCCCCAAUAUAAUUUUCUUCAGCAUGAGUUUAAAGUUAGUCCACUCCAAUAUAGAUAUCGGACUGAAUUACUUUCUUUCCGCGAUAUAAUUUUUUUUUCAACAUGGUUCAAAUUUAGGUCACUCCAAUAUAAAUAUCGGACGUCAACUCGGAAAACCAACAAAAGUUGGAAGUAGAAAAGUCUUCCCUCACAAAACAACCCAUUAAUCAAAUAUGAAAUUGCCCUUCAUUUUUCCUAUUUUCUCUCUGUUUCUACAACUUUGACAGCAGCUGAUCAGUUUGCACCGCCGAUCUCUUUUCUCGACUCAAAUCCGGCGAGUUCAGAGCUCAUAAAAACUUAGUGAGUAUUCUUUUCUUCUUUCUAUUUUCACUGAGAUUCGAUGGUUGUGGGGGCGGUAAGUAAUGAUUCGUCCUUAAUAAGAGGUAUCGAGUUCGAGCUUUAGAAAUGAAGUUCUCAGUGAGCUCUUUAAUUAUGUGAAAUGAAUAAAAAUGUCGUCCCCUAAUAAUUUGAUCCAAAAAUACUCUUAUGGUUACUUAAUGAGUUAAAAAUGUGCUUGCUUUUAUUUUGCAUUACAAUUAUCUAUCAUUCACUUAAUAAAAUAGCCUGUGGGGCUUGAUUUAAAAAAAAAAAAGAGUCCCUUUUCAAAUAAUUUUUUUUUCUUUUUAAAUACAUUUUUUCGUAAUGAUGAGUUUUUAAUUAGAAAACAUUCAUCCUACUUAAUUUGAAAAAAAAUUAAGAAUAAAAUAUUUUCUAUUUUACUAGAUUUUUUUUUAUGGUUAUCUCAAUAAAAGUGAUGACAAGGUUACUAUGAGAGAAUACAAUAAUUAUUAUGAAGGAAUACUGAUAAAAAGAUUACUUUUAAAGAAGACUAGAUUAUAGGUUUAGCAAACAUAAAAAUCAUAUUAGCACUUUAUAGCUAUAAUUUUGUUAAUUGCAUUGCUAUGGAGCAUCAGAUUUGUAUAAACUCGCAGGCAGCAUCUGAUUGUAUAAAAUCGCAGGCAUCUGAUUUGUAUAAAUCACAACGAUUUGUAUAAAUCGGGUGUCUGUGUCGAUGAAAACUGUGUUUGUAUAUGUAUAUGUUCUUUGUGUUUGUAUAUCUACAUAAAAUUUGAAUUUGUAUACAAUUGAAUCGAGUUAAAACAAUUGUAUUUGUAUAUCAAACCUCUCUCUCGCUUUAUACAAACACAAACCAUAUGUUGUAUUUUGUAUAAUUUGUGUUUGUAUAAAGUGAGAAAGAGAGAAAGACAAAAGAGAAUUGGACAUGAGAAGAUUUGUAUUUGUACAAUUAUAAUUGUUUAAGACGAAAAGAUAUGUAUUUGUAUAUACAGUUCACUCUCGCUUUAUACAAACACAAACACAAUUUAUACAUUUAUAUUUAUAUAAAGUGAGAGAGGCGAUGGAGAGUGGCAAGCGAAAUUCAGGAGAGUGGCGAGCGAGAUUCAGGGGAGAGAGGCGAAUGACAAAGUAUUUGCUACGAAUUAGAAUUAAAUGAAACUGUGGUUAUAACAUUUAUUUUGAAUUAAUAAUUUGCUAUUUCAUACAAUUUUCUCUUUAAAGAAACUUUAUUCUUAUUUUUCUUCUUUUAAAAUCACUUUAACUAAUAAAUAAGUAGGAAAUAAUAUUUUUCUUUUCUUAAUCUCAUUUUAACAAUUAAAAUAGAAUAACUACAUGUAUCAUUUUAAUUGAUAAUAUGGGUCAUAUAUAUAAGAUCAUAAUAAGUGGGUCACUAAUUUUCAUAAGCUAACUAUAAAAAAUUUCUACUAAAAUAAAAAAAUAUAUUUUUAGUUCUUAAUUUUUUUUAUAAAUUGAAGUAGAAUAAACAUUUUCUUAUUAAAAAGAUCAUCGUUAGGAAAAGAAUGUGUUUAAAAAAAAAAAAACUAAAAUAUUUAUUUGGAAAAGAGCAUUUUUGACUCAUUAAGUAACAAUAAGGACAUUUUGGGACCAAACUAUCAGGUGAGGAUAUUUUUGUUCAUUUACAUAGUUUAAGGGCAUUUUUUAUCCUUUUCUAUACAUAAAAUAAAAUUCUAUCCCUAUAUAUAUAUAGUGUAAUUUCUCGACAAAAAGGGGUCGAUACCCUAGCUCCGUCUGUUACCACUAAGGAUGUAGGGGAAUUCCUUAGUAUUGGUCUCAAGUCCUGCGAAAGCUCUCGUAGAAAGCACUUCCCUUUCAGGGAUGUCAGGAUCUGAAGUUAAUUAUGAAUUUUGAACUUUCCACAAAAUUCAUAGCUCGUUUUAAUUAUUGGAUUUCCUCCACCUUCAGUUAGAGAUUUCAAAUUCAAGUUCUGAAAAUGAAGAAGGCCCAGAUAGAGACGCUUUCCUUCAAAGACGAAAUCAGUAUUUGAAGUUUAUGGAUUCUACGACUAACGUGUAAAUUAAGUUGAUAAAAAAAAAAUCUAUUAGCAAUUAUCACUUUUGACUUUCUGCAACAUGCAUGUUAUAAUUGCCUAAAUGCAAUUCCUUGGACCAUCAGAAUGGAAUAAUAUUUAGAGCCCAUUUGGAUUGAUAUAAAAAGAGCAAUUUUCACAUAUAACAAACAUAAAAAUCAUAAAAAUAAGUUGUUUUUAAGUCAAAAAAAUAAAAAGUCAAAUAAUAAAAAGUAGGGGAAGACCUACUUUUGAUUUUUAACCUUUUUAAAGUCAUUUAAAACUUAUUUUAAGUUAUUUUUAACAUUAUCAAACACUUUCAAAAACUAAAAAUUACUUAAAAUAGGUUUGACCAACUUUUAAUUCAAUCCAAACAGGCUCUUACUUCCUAUUUUUCAUAAUUUAUGUAUUUUAAUUUUUAUUUAGCAUAAAAUUUAAUAAUGCAAGAUUAUUUCUUACAAAAUAUAGUAAUCAUAAAUUAAAGAUUUGUAUAAUGUGCUAAAAUAUCUCUUGAACUGGUGGUUUAGGGGGAAAGACUGAUAGUUAAUUAAUUUCAGGGAUCCUUAACAGUGUCAGUUGAUAGUGGUAGUUGGUGGUGGCUUCUGAUAAUUGUGGUUGAUGUAAUAAUAGCUAAUGAUGGUGGUGACUGACACCGGUGAUUGGCGAUAUAUAGCAGUGAUUGAUGGUGGUGAUUUUUUGUAGUGACUAGUGUCUAUUAUGGAUGGUUGGUAGUGCUUGAUGGUUAUUGUGACAAAAUUGGUAGUGAUGAUUGUAACUAGGGGCUAGUGGAGGUUCAUCUGAACCCCUUCGGCAGAAAAUUAUAUUAUUUAUACAUGGUUAAAAUAAUUUUUUAUGUAUAUAUAGUAGAUCUCGAACCUCCUUCAGCUACUUCGUGUGUCUAUUUCUACAGACUUUGAAUUUCCUUAUUGAAAAUCCUGGCUCCGCCACUGAGUUGAGGGUGUCGACCGAAUAGUGAUGAUUUGUGGCUAGGUGGUUGUGGUUGAGGGUGGUGGAUGAUGGGUGAGGUAAUUAAUAACGGUGGGUAGCGGCGAUUAGCGGUGAAAUUGGAUGGAGUAGUAGUGAAAUAUCAUCUUUAUGAGCAUUUAGUCAUUUGAUCUUACUUAUUUUUGUCAUUUUAAUGUUACAUCAAUUAGUCCUCUCACAUUGUUUUCUCUGUUGUACAGUUCAUUUGGCAAAAUGGAGAUACCAGCCCCUUCAAUUUUAUGUACUCUCUUUGUUAUUAUGUUGAUCCUACUUCUACUAGAUACAUCAGUGUGUGAACCAAGAGCGCAGACCGUCCAGAUCAUAUGUUGUACUCAUGAACUCGAGCAUAAUACGACGAUCUAUGUCCGAAACUUUGUUGCAGUUAUGGAAACUAUAAGCCGACAACUGAGAAAUACAGGAUAUGGAGUUACAGUUUCUGGCACUGGACCAUAUACUAGCUAUGGACUUGCCCAAUGCUAUGGUGAUCUUUCUUUACUCGACUGCAUGUUAUGCUAUGCUAAAGCGCGAACGACUCUGCCCUCGUGCUUGCCUUAUAACGUAGGGCGAAUUUAUCUUGAUGGAUGCUUUAUACGAGCGGAGAAUUACACGUUCUAUGAUCAGUAUUUAGGUCCAGAGGACAGACAUGUAUGUGGAAACAGGACGACAAAGGGUACAUUGUUCCAACAGAACGCUAGGCAAGCCGUUCAGCAAGCAGUUGUAGAUGCACCGACUAAUAAUGGCUAUGCACGUGCUCAAGUGUCAGUGCCAGGUCCUUCCAAUGAGACAGCUUAUGUUCUCGCUGAUUGCUGGAAGACGCUGAACAUAAAAUCCUGCGCAGCAUGUUUGCAAAAUGCAUCUGCAUCCAUGUUGGGAUGCUUACCUUGGUCAGAAGGUAGAGCCCUUUACACCGGAUGCUUCAUGAGGUAUUCUGAUACAAAUUUUCUCAAUGCUAUUUCUACCAGUGGGGGCUCGUCAUCAAGGGGUACUUUUUUUCGCCCUGGUUUGCCUGUUAUUUAUCGACUGAACAUAUGAUUUUGCUGAUAAAUGAUCUUUUUUUAAAAAAAAAAACUUUCAGAUCACCCCAUUGCAGGAAAAGUUGUAGUCAUUGUUGUUGUUAGUUCCGUUGUCAUUUUGGGAGUAGCUGCUUUCAUUGGUUUUGGUGUCUGGAAGAACAAACAAAUCCAGAAGAAGAGAAAAGGUAACUACGUUUGUGCCAAAAAUUAGCUAUGAAAGUCAUUAGGAUAUCAAGGGAAAAUGCAUAAGUAAUCCCAGCCUAUGCCCGAAAUCCCUGAGACACACCUAACCUAUACCUAAGGUCUAUUACCCCCGAACUUAUUUUAUAUAUAUUUUUCUACCCCUUUUCGGCCUACGUGGCACUAAUUUUGAAAAAAAUUGUCAACACGCGCUGGGCCCACAAGAUAGUGCCACGUAGGCCGAAAAGGGGUAGAAAAAUAUAUAUAAAUAAGUUCGGGGGGUAAUAGACCUUAGUAUAGGUUAGGUGUGUCUCAGAGAUUUGGGGCAUAGGCUGGGGGGGUACUUAUGCAUUUUCCCGGAUAACAAUGAUGUACAUAUAUUGUAUCUUUAUUUGCUGACCAUAUAUCUUGUGAUUUACCCACAAUAUACCGAAGACUACUUUCAGUGUUAUGGCCUACUCAUGCUUUUCCUGGGAAAUUUGAACUUGUUAGGUGCAGCUGAUGUUGAGAAAUUAGUGAAGACCCUUCAUCAAAACAACUUGAACUUCAAGUAUUCAACACUUGACAAAGCCACGGGGUCAUUUGAUGAGGCCAACAAGCUCGGGCAAGGUGGAUUUGGCACGGUUUAUAAGGUAUGUAAUGGCUGAAUGCAUUGCAAUUAUGUUAACAUCAAUGCAAUACCAGAAGUGUUGUCAAUUAAACAGAGUCUGAGGCACAUUUUGUUGCAGGGUGUUUUGGCAGAUGGAAAAGAGAUCGCCGUCAAAAGGCUGUUCUACAACAACAAACACAGAGCUGCAGAUUUUUAUAACGAGGUUAACAUAAUCAGUAGCGUCCACCACAAAAAUUUAACAAGGUUAUUGGGCUACAGCUGCUCAGGACCGGAAAGCCUUCUUGUAUACGAGUUACUCCCUAACCAGAGUCUGGAUCGUUUCAUAUUUGGUAAGUAAUAGAACUUUGCAACAACAACUAUAUGCCUCAAUCCCAAACAAGUUAGGGUACAGCUAUACAAACCCUCUCUAUUCUAUUUAAGCUAAACUCAUGUCAUCAUUGCACCAACUAAAAAUAAAAGUACAAAUAAGUUAAACAUAGGUAACCGACUUCGCAUUAAGACUAAGUUGUGUGUUUUCACAUAACCAGCACAAUGACAAUAUCAUGUAUAUUGAUUCUAACCUUAAAAUUUGACAGACCCUAUCAAAGGUAAAGCUCUAAAUUGGGAGAAAAGGUUUGAGAUAAUUAUAGGGACAGCAGAAGGAAUGGUAUACCUACACGAGAACACAAAUACACGAAUAAUUCACAGAGACAUUAAGGCAAGCAACAUCCUGUUGGACUCGAGGCUCCGUGCAAAGAUUGCUGAUUUUGGAUUGGUCAGGUCAUUCCAAGAAGACAAGAGUCACAUAAGCACUGCCCUUGCUGGCACAUUGUUAGUAUUUCUUCGUCUCAUCUUCUAAUUUUUCGCGUAAAAAGUACACAAAAAUGCAAAAACUAAUAUGGUCCAGUAAUGGAUGAUUUACCCUUUUUAUGCAGAGGAUAUAUGGCUCCAGAAUACUUAGCACGCGGUCAGCUAACAGAAAAGCAGACGUUUACAGCUUUGGAGUUCUUCUACUAGAGAUUGUUACUGGAAGACAAAAUAACAAGAGAAAUAACUCUGAAUAUACAGUCAGCUUAGUUUCCGAUGUAAUUUCUGAUCAAUCACUUCUCUCUUGAACCAAAAUUUCAAUCUUGAAACAUUUUUGUUCACUGAUCUCGACUUUAUUGGAUGAAUUAACAGGUGUGGGAGCACUAUAAACGCGGGAUAGUGGAGGAACUCUUCGAUCUGAAUCUCAUGUUGCAUAACUACCAUACAAUCAAUGUAAGAAAUGAGGUUGCAAGAGUGUUACAUGUGGGGCUUUUGUGCACUCAAGAAAUCCCAACAUUACGGCCAUCUAUGUCUAAGGCAUUACAAAUGUUUGUCAAGAAAGACGAAGAGUUGCCUCCUCCUACUAAGCCGCCAUUCGUGGAAGAGAAAACCAUGGAAACUCACAACCCUCGAGAGAAGUACUCGGUAAAACAAGGCACUUCUGCUACGAUUGCCAACUUAUCUCACAGUUCAUUUUACCCCAGAUGAUGAUAUCCCAUUGACCUGAAGCUGAAGUAUAAAAUUGUCCUCAACUGACAACUAAACACUCCAACUUUGUCUAUGCACAUCUAGAGACCUCAAUUCUGAAAGUAUGGGGG
Molecule: long non-coding RNA, 104845 nt
Filed under: Solanum tuberosum (potato)
Lineage: Eukaryota; Viridiplantae; Streptophyta; Magnoliopsida; Solanales; Solanaceae
Description: long non-coding RNA (STUB_LNC001239)
Source: RNAcentral